GCCAACAACCCUCUUGAAAUUAAAGGUUAAGGAAAGCAUAGCAGUAGCUUUAAGCUAAGCACUUAAUUUUCAGCAAUGGCUUCUUCAGUGAUGUCCACAGCAACUGUUGCCACCGGCGCCAAUGCUGCACAAGCCAGCAUGAUUGCAUCCUUCAAUGGCCUUAAAUCCGCAGCCUCUUUCCCUGUUACAAGAAAGCAAGACCUUGACAUCACCUCCAUUGCUAGCAAUGGUGGAAGAGUCCAAUGCAUGCUGGUUCGUAAUAUUGGAUUUAACUUAUAUAUACUGACACAGUACAAGGAAUUUAAAACUAAUUGUAGUAGGUUAUCUGCCUUAAAUUUUUAAUUGUCAAGUUACUAAUCUCAGUUAUUAUGAACAAUUGUGUCCGUAUGUCAUUCCAAAAUUUAAUCUACACUAUUAUUUUGCCUUAAUUUCACCAAAUAUAAUUAUGUACAUAGGAAAGGAUAAAUUUCACUGACCCUGUUUUAGAUUUAACGUGUUACCUCCUCUCUUGAAGCUUGUUUAGCUAAUUAUUUACGUGAUAUGUGUAUAGGUAUGGCCACCAAUUAACAAGAAGAAGUACGAGACUCUUUCAUACCUUCCUGAUUUGUCCGACGAGCAAUUGCUCAAGGAAAUUGAGUACCUUUUGCAAAAGGGAUGGGUUCCUUGUUUGGAAUUCGAGACUGAGGUUAACAUCUCUCUGUUCUUAAAAUAUAUGAUAAUUAAUAACAACUAAUUAGUAAUAUGUUAUGUUGAUGUUGUGGAUGUGUACAGCACGGAUUUGUGUACCGUGAGCACCACAGGUCACCUGGAUACUACGAUGGCAGGUACUGGACCAUGUGGAAGUUGCCCAUGUUCGGGUGUACUGAUGCUACCCAGGUCUUGAAUGAAGUCCAGGAGGCAAAGAAGGCUUACCCACAGGCCUGGAUCCGUAUCAUCGGAUUUGACAACGUUCGUCAAGUGCAGUGUAUCAGUUUCAUCGCCUACAAGCCCGAAGGCUACUAAAUUCUCCAUGUUUAAUGUAUAACUUGGCCCUAUAUCUUUAAGGGAAGCUCGUUUAAAUCCUCCUCAAGUUUUUUCCCGCAGAAACUGUAUUGAUUUUCCAUUGUUUUCCUUUUCUCUAUUCAGUGUAUGCUCUUGGAUUCCAGUUGAGUUUAUGAGAACUAAUAAUAAUAAUCAUUUGUUUCUUUGCUUAUUUACCUUAUGAGACAUGAUUUCUGGUGCAUAUAUAUAUAUAUAUGAAAUGUUUAUGCUCUGCACCAAUUAUGAUAUAAGGCGAUAUGAACAGAGAAGAUUUAUUAUCCAGCCGAUCCUAACUAGUCUUGCAUUGAGGCAUAGUGGAUUGAUUGGGCGAAACCGACAGCGUACAUACAUUACGUUUUCAGUUAUAGCACAAACUUAAGAAGAAAUUGUCCGUAACUUUCAUAAUAAUGAUUGUUAAUCGACACAAUUGACAAGUUAUCUGUAACUAUGAUCUAUUUUGUUAUGCCAUGAAUUUCUUUCCCCUUUUGAUUAUCAUAUCUUCUAUAUGUAUAUAUAGCUCCGAAUCGAUGUAACAUACCAAUUAUCAACUACAUUUGGCAUUAUUAUAAGACAACUNNNNNNNNNNNNNNNNNNNNNNNNNNNNNNNNNNNNNNNNNNNNNNNNNNNNNNNNNNNNNNNNNNNNNNNNNNNNNNNNNNNNNNNNNNNNNNNNNNNNNNNNNNNNNNNNNNNNNNNNNNNNNNNNNNNNNNNNNNNNNNNNNNNNNNNNNNNNNNNNNNNNNNNNNNNNNNNNNNNNNNNNNNNNNNNNNNNNNNNNNNNNNNNNNNNNNNNNNNNNNNNNNNNNNNNNNNNNNNNNNNNNNNNNNNNNNNNNNNNNNNNNNNNNNNNNNNNNNNNNNNNNNNNNNNNNNNNNNNNNNNNNNNNNNNNNNNNNNNNNNNNNNNNNNNNNNNNNNNNNNNNNNNNNNNNNNNNNNNNNNNNNNNNNNNNNNNNNNNNNNNNNNNNNNNNNNNNNNNNNNNNNNNNNNNNNNNNNNNNNNNNNNNNNNNNNNNNNNNNNNNNNNNNNNNNNNNNNNNNNNNNNNNNNNNNNNNNNNNNNNNNNNNNNNNNNNNNNNNNNNNNNNNNNNNNNNNNNNNNNNNNNNNNNNNNNNNNNNNNNNNNNNNNNNNNNNNNNNNNNNNNNNNNNNNNNNNNNNNNNNNNNNNNNNNNNNNNNNNNNNNNNNNNNNNNNNNNNNNNNNNNNNNNNNNNNNNNNNNNNNNNNNNNNNNNNNNNNNNNCCUGUUACAAGAAAGCAAGACCUUGACAUCACCUCCAUUGCUAGCAAUGGUGGAAGAGUCCAAUGCAUGCUGGUUCGUAAUAUUGGAUUUAACUUAUAUAUACUGACACAGUACAAGGAAUUUAAAACUAAUUGUAGUAGGUUAUCUGCCUUAAAUUUUUAAUUGUCAAGUUACUAAUCUCAGUUAUUAUGAACAAUUGUGUCCGUAUGUCAUUCCAAAAUUUAAUCUACACUAUUAUUUUGCCUUAAUUUCACCAAAUAUAAUUAUGUACAUAGGAAAGGAUAAAUUUCACUGACCCUGUUUUAGAUUUAACGUGUUACCUCCUCUCUUGAAGCUUGUUUAGCUAAUUAUUUACGUGAUAUGUGUAUAGGUAUGGCCACCAAUUAACAAGAAGAAGUACGAGACUCUUUCAUACCUUCCUGAUUUGUCCGACGAGCAAUUGCUCAAGGAAAUUGAGUACCUUUUGCAAAAGGGAUGGGUUCCUUGUUUGGAAUUCGAGACUGAGGUUAACAUCUCUCUGUUCUUAAAAUAUAUGAUAAUUAAUAACAACUAAUUAGUAAUAUGUUAUGUUGAUGUUGUGGAUGUGUACAGCACGGAUUUGUGUACCGUGAGCACCACAGGUCACCUGGAUACUACGAUGGCAGGUACUGGACCAUGUGGAAGUUGCCCAUGUUCGGGUGUACUGAUGCUACCCAGGUCUUGAAUGAAGUCCAGGAGGCAAAGAAGGCUUACCCACAGGCCUGGAUCCGUAUCAUCGGAUUUGACAACGUUCGUCAAGUGCAGUGUAUCAGUUUCAUCGCCUACAAGCCCGAAGGCUACUAAAUUCUCCAUGUUUAAUGUAUAACUUGGCCCUAUAUCUUUAAGGGAAGCUCGUUUAAAUCCUCCUCAAGUUUUUUCCCGCAGAAACUGUAUUGAUUUUCCAUUGUUUUCCUUUUCUCUAUUCAGUGUAUGCUCUUGGAUUCCAGUUGAGUUUAUGAGAACUAAUAAUAAUAAUCAUUUGUUUCUUUGCUUAUUUACCUUAUGAGACAUGAUUUCUGGUGCAUAUAUAUAUAUGAAAUGUUUAUGCUCUGCACCAAUUAUGAUAUAAGGCGAUAUGAACAGAGAAGAUUUAUUAUCCAGCCGAUCCUAACUAGUCUUGCAUUGAGGCAUAGUGGAUUGAUUGGGCGAAACCGACAGCGUACAUACAUUACGUUUUCAGUUAUAGCACAAACUUAAGAAGAAAUUGUCCGUAACUUUCAUAAUAAUGAUUGCUAAUCGACACAAUUGACAAGUUAUCUGUUACCGUGAUCUAUUUUGCUAUGCCAUGAAUUUCUUUCCCCUUUUGAUUAUCAUAUCUUCUAUAUGUAUAUAUAGCUCCGAAUCGAUGUAACAUACCAAUUAUCAACUACAUUUGACAUUAUUAUAAGACAACUUUUUCACCGUAGAAGUAUCUCAGUUUUCCCUCACCAUAGUUAAGGAAGUGGAGAUAAAAGGAUCAUGUCCAAACCUUUUUUAUUAAAGAACAAAAUUGUGUAAAACCUAUUAUCUACUCCCAAAAUCUCAAAUUAAACGAUGAAGCCAUAAAAAUUUGGGAUAACUACAAUCCAACCUUUGGAUAAUCUAGUUUACGAAAUAGCCGGUAAAUGUAUAUGUUUGUUAUAUCUUAUAAGUAAUACGAUACAAACAUACAAAUAGAGUACACAUAAUCAAUGUAUAAAUUUUAUAUAAUUCGACCAUAUUGGUAAAUAAAUUUGUCAAACUGUACGUAUUGAUAAAUUCUCCUAAUAAUUUCAAUCAAAUAAAGCUUCAUAUCCUCCUAUUUUUUUUUAUAUAUUUUUUUUUGUAGUCGUCCACCAUAAUGGUGUUCCUUUGCUAGCCAUAAGGCCCAUAACGGCAAUGGGUUCAUGCAUGACGUUGACAUGUGUGGUCAUGCUAACAACUAGAUAGACCUAAAAAUACUGUUGUUUCCUUUUGUUGCCUUUUACUAAAGUUAAUGUGAAAUAUCAGGUGAUUCAAAAACAAUUUGGCCCAACUAGGUUUCCCUUUCUAUAGGUAAUAAUAUCACAUUUCUCCUAAAAGAGAAAUACGCACCACCAAAAAUGUAGCAGACAAAUCACAUUAAUAAGAAUACUCCUAAGAAUGGUUACUUAAUUACCUAAUUUGCAGUUGAUCUCAAAGUGAUUCUGUUUUAUUGAUACCAUUGAUGCACAAAGUUUAUUGAGCAACGCAUGUAUGUAACUUCAUAAUUUUUUUUUAUGUUGUUGAUGCUUCUUGAUUCAUAAUAGUUAAUUAAGCAUCGCUCUUGAGUAACUUAAUAAUUUUUUUGACACUAAUAAUGCACAAAAGUUAAUUAAGUACCACAUUAGAAUAACUUUAUAGUACUUUUUUGACACUCUUAUUGCACAAUAGUUAAUUAAGCACCGUUUUUGAUAACUUCAUAAUUUUAUUGACACUAUCGAUGCACAAAAGUUAAUCAAGCACCACAUUUAAGUAGCUUUAUAAUUUUUUUUGACACUAUUGAUGCACAAAACUUAAUUAAGUAUCACAAUCUUAAGUAACUUCAUAAUCAUUUUGACACUGAUGAUACACAAAAGUUAAUUAAACACCGCUUUUUAAUCAACUUUAUACCUUUCUUUGGUACAAAAUUAAUUAAUCACCACUUUUAAGUAACUACAUGCAGUAAUAUUUAUUAAGUUCCCAAUCUCAUCGAUCCUCUAUCCAUGCUUUACUUUUUGUUGCCUAUUUCUUAUGUACUAGCUUUUCGUUAGUCCAGUUUCAGGAUUGUAGGAAGAAAAACAUUAUUGGUUUUCAUUAAUUACUUUCUCUGUCUCAAAUUAUCCGUUCCAAAUUUUCUAAUUUGAUUUCUCAUUUUACUUGUAUUUUUUCAUUAAUCAAGAAGAGACAAAUUUUUUUUUUCCCAUGUUUUACCCUUUGCAUUAAUUACUUUUUCUUCAAAUUAAAAUGUAAACAUCAAUUAAUAGGAGUAUUAUAAUAAAUUAAACAUGUUAUUAAUUAUUUUUCUUAAUCAAUGUGUCAUCUUUAUUUGGGAUGGGUAAUUUGGAACGGAGGAAGUAUCUCAUUGUCAAAUUGGGGAGUAGAAAUAACAACACAAUGACAAAAUUGUCUAAUUCUCAUUCAAAACCAAAUUAAACCCCAAAUUUACGAAAUUAAGGUACGUAGCUUCUUUAUUUAUUUGAUACAACACUUGAUACAACUGUUCACAUAUCUACACUUGUUUAAGUAGGUGGUAAAAAGCCUCAAAUGGAGAGGCUUUAAACACUGCUCUUAGGUAAUGUCAUAAUUAUUUUUUUUUGAUGUAAUUGGUGCACAAAAGUCUAUUAAACAUUGUUUUUAAGUAAAUACAUAAAUUUAUUGAUAUUGUUGGUAUACAAAAGUUAAUUAAGCACCAUUUUAAGUAAUUGUAUUUUUGAUUUAUUGGUGCACAAAAGUUAAUUAAACACCAUUUUUGUGUAACUUCAUAAUUUUGUGACACUAUUGUUGUACAAAAGUUAAUCAAGGUCCACAAUUAAGUGUCACACCCUUUUUUUUUAACUCCAAAAUGAUUUGUUUUAAGGUUUCGAAAGUGUUUUUAUUGUUAACCUGACAAAAUAAAGAUUUGUUUCAAAAAAGGAUUAUUUUUAUAUUAAAAACUCAGAGUCGCCACUUGACAUAAUCCGAUGUGCCAAGUCACCUUUGAAAAAUCCUUUUCAAAACAAUUUGACUCUUUAAACUGGUUUGCGAACAGAGAUUCCGGUUAAGGAAUUCUGUUGACCGAGGGAAAGGUGUUAGGCACCCCCCAAUUCCAUGGUUCGACCAUGGUCGCUUGGUAGAACGUAUCGGCUAAUUUGACACUACGAAUGUAAAAAUCACAAAGGAGCACGUAAAUCAAUCAAAAAAACAAACCAAAUAAAAAGAAUAAAAGUAUAGUGUUCAGUCCAAUUAUACAGUUCCAAAAUAAAAAAAGCAAAAAUAAAUCCUAUCUAACCUAUACUAAUCCUAACUACGCUCCCAGGUUUUACCCGAUGCCUCGGGCCUUCCUCACGAACUUCUUCCACCAACAUAGUACGUCGGGGAAUUCCUCAGUGAAUAAAUACAAUGUGUCUCGGGGCAUUCCCCAGCUAAAUGAUACAUUCGAUCCAAAAGCAAUAAAAUCAAACCAUUCAACACGCAUUUCAAGCAUUCAAUAAUUCAACGAGCAAAACACUUAUUCCUAAAUAUUUGCCUACCCGAACCUACUUUUAGCUAUUCAUUCGAUGGCCUAAUCAUGAUGCUAUCCAUUUCAACAAUAUUCAGUAAUGAAUCAAGAUAAACAACCUUCGACUUAUUCGAUUAUCAAUUUUCGAUCCCAAGCCCCAAAUUCAUUCUUAAUGAUUAAGCCAAUUCUAUACACAUUUCAUCAAUCAAGUUUUCAACUCCAAAUUCAACAUCAAACAAACAAACAAUGAGGAUUCGAAUAUGCUCAAACACAAAUCAUUCGUAAUCACGGAAAAAUAAAAAAAAAAGAGAAGUUAGAAUUGGACCUCAAAGAGCUUUCGAUUGACUUAAUAAAAGAAAUAAGAGCCCGUCCAAGAACCUCGAAGAAUGCCAACGAAAGCCCAAUUCUUCGAAUCAAUCGAGAAACAAUCCAAGAACGCAAUAAACUCUAAAUUUCAAUCCGAACCAAAUAUAUCUAUGAGUGAAAUCGAUGAACAAGGCUAGACCAAACACUUAAGUAUCGGCCGAAUCAACCAAAAUCAGCCAAGAACGACGAACAACCAAACUAGAAUUUCCAAUCAACAAAAAAAAGAAAAUGGAAGAACCGAACCAACGAGACCAAGUUUCCGGCGAGCUGAGACAACGGCAGAAGGCUAUGUUAGUGGCAUUACCUAUGCUGCUGUAAUAUGUUAGGGGCUUGUACUUGCUGUCGUAGUAGAAUUUUUGGGGCUUUAUAUAUGUUGCCGUGGACUUGUCGGGGUGUUAGGCCGAUCAUCUUCACUGUCGUUUAUGACAAGUCGUGAGUGUGGAUUGAAUUGUUAUAGGAUGGUAUUUUGAACCUCUUUGAAAAUCUUAUUGAUAUUAUUUUAUGAAAGAUAUUAUGUACAUAUUAUUUGUGUAUCUUUGUUGUGCUUUGUAUUCUCUAACACUUAUUCCAGGGGUAUUAAAGUAGCGAGUCGAGUAUCUUACUGGGUUAUAUUUAUAUAGCUCACUCCUUACUUUCAUACGUACAGAUACGGUUGCAGAGAGAGAGGCUCGUGGCUGACUGUAUUUACGUGUGGAUUCUAUCUCUAAGGUGAACUUUCGCAUUAUUCGUGAAGGCUGUAAUUCAUCUCUCGUUAUUUUAGCUUAUGUUUCCGUUCGUUGAGUUUGUAUGCCCAAAAGUUGAACUCAUGUAAUUCUGUUUAGAUGCUCUAUGAACUCUGUGGGAUUUGGGUUAGAGAUUUGUUAUCUAAACUAUUGUAGUUUUCAUAUAUCGCUAUGCGAUGUCUUGUUGGAUAAUGAUCCUGCGUUGAUAAUUAUUUCGUGCACAUAGUGUUGUGUAUGUUUUUAUCUCAGUAUUUAUAGAUAUGGUGAAUGCAUAGAAAAUUGGUCCUCCCGGCAAGCGGUGUUGUCGGGAGCCAGUCACGCCUAAGGGUUAUUUUGGGACGUGACAGUGGGCUCAUCAUUUGUAGCCUAAAUUAAUGGGCUAGCCCAAUAAAAAUUGGACUUUAAUUAAAUUCACACAUGUUUGGACUUAAAUAAUUAAUCCAAUUAUAUUAAUCCGCAAUAUUUAUUUGGGACUAAUCUAUUUUUAAUUACCAUAAUCCAAAUUUCGUACGUAUUUCAAUUUAAUAAAAUUUCUUGCCCAUAAGUAUAUCUAAAAAUGAUUUAGAUUUUUUCUUAUUCACGAAAUAAGUUUCAUAUUUUUUUAAAAUGACUUUUCUCAAGGAAUUAGGAGAUAUAUAUUCCACAAAUGUCUCUACACAUUGAUUAUAUGUGAAUUUUUGUAGGAUUGUUUUUCCUAUUCAACAACAAUAACAACAACAACAAAUUCAGUGUAUUCCACCAAGUGGGGUCUGGGGGUAAAAUGUACGCAGCCCAUACCAUUACCUCCUAUGUUCGCAGUCCUAUUUAAAUUGUACAUAAAUAUAAAAAGCAUUUUAUCUAUUUUUGUUCCAUGAUUAAUGUCACUUUCUAUUUUGUCCAUCCAUGCAUAUAAUGCAAUGCCAUGUAUAAAAAAGGUUGAAUACAUAUACAAGCCCCUCAACUAUUCGACUUUUUCCGUUUAGGCGCCUCAAUUAAUCCAUGUACCUAUUGAACCCUUUACUUCUUCACAAAAUGAGUCAAUUGAGCCCAAUCGAUGACGCGGUCCUGACAUAGCGUGGCAUAAUGUGUAAUACACUCUCAUUUGAGAGAGUGAGAAACCAUAAUUAAUUAAAAAAAAUUAAACAUAAAAAAUUCCAACCAAUAAAAAAACAUAAAAAGAAGUUUUAAAAACAAAUAAAAGUAAUUAAAAAAAAAAGCUAUCAUCUUCUCUCUUCUACACACACACAUUCCUCACCAUUGAAACACACUAAACACACGUAACACACACAGAUUUUCUCUUCUACACAACACACAACAGAAUUGAUAUCUACAUACACAUCACAAAAUACAUAGUCCAUAUACGCACACAGCUCACAGAACCCGCACAACUCACAACACACGCAGCUACACAUAUACGAUACACACAGAAGAAUCGGGGAGAAUGAAGGGAAAAAAUAGUAGCAAAGGAGUAGAAAAACGAGAAUUCGAGGAAAACAGUGGAGAAACUGAGAGAAUAGAAAGAAAGAAGGUGCGAGGAAGAAACAAUCGAUGGAGAAAUAGUGAACGGAGAAGAAAGAUGCGAUUGACCUCAUCAGAAAUUUAACCCAUUUUUCUUUAAUUUCCUCUGUCACCGAGCUCGUUGGAGCUCCGGUGAAGUGAAAAUAGCGACCCAUCCCCAUUCACGAUCAAACCCUCAUUGGAGAUUAUGAAUGGGUUCUGUUGGUCAUCGUAAUACAAAUCAAGAAAUUUAAGGUAACUUAAUUUGCAAAGGGAGUAUGGUAGAGGUUCACUGGGUGAGUUUGUUUGAAGAUCAACAAAUACCAGUGUCUGCCAUGGUAGAUGGUCCAUAUCCAACGAAAUCUAGCUUUUUCCAAAUACCCCAAUACACUAAUUCAUUUGAAAUUAUUGUUGGGUAUUGUUUUAGUGGAGAAAUAAAGGAGUGAAGUGAAGAUGAAUAUUGUUGGGUAUCGACGAAAUUGAAGUGCUUCAAUGAUAAGGAAAGGGUUAUCGACGGAAUCAAAGUGCUUCAAUGGUGGGAAAGGGGUAUCGAAAGAAGAAGAAGAAGUUAUAUAUAUAUAUAUAUAUAUAUAUAUAUAUAUAUAUAUAUAUGUUUCUGUUGUGCAAAGAGGUGGGAAGGGGUGGGGUUAGGAUUAGGUAGGGCUGUAGUAGGGGGUAUUAAUGUUUUUUUUUUAAUUUUAAUUUAAUUAUAUUAAAAAAUUAUUUUUAUAAUUAUUUGAAUUAAAAUGCCACAUGUUGUUAUUUAAUUUGCCACUUUGCCACAUCAUUGGCGUGUGUAUUACAAGCAAUUUAAAUUUUUUGCCACGUCAGCAAAUUGGGUUCAAUUGAAACCAUUUGUGAAGGAGUAAAGGGUUCAAUAGGUACAUGGCCUAAUUGAGGUGCUUAUACGGAAAAAGUCAAAUAGUUGAGGGGCCUCUAUAUGUAUUUUGUCUAUAAAAAAAAUAAUGCAUUUAGUGGUCACUUUUCUAAUUAUUGAUCACUAAUUUGGAGGACUUCCUCUGUUCGAUAACAAGUAAAUUGUCGAAGUAUUGUAUAUCUAUUAUAAAAAGAAAAUUAAGAUAUAAAUUAGAUACUAUUUCUUAUUUUUGUCCUUUUCAGUUAUUAGCAAACAACACUUAAAAACUCAAAACAAUUAUCAUGAUAAUUUCUUCCAAUACUGACUUUUUAAAAACUAAUUCAAAACAAUAAAUAAAUAGGAACAAUUAAAUUUCUUAAAUUCAUGAUAUAAGAAAUACAAAAAUGAAGUAUAAGAAUAAAUGAAAAUUUCAACAUUAUUANNNNNNNNNNNNNNNNNNNNNNNNNNNNNNNNNNNNNNNNNNNNNNNNNNNNNNNNNNNNNNNNNNNNNNNNNNNNNNNNNNNNNNNNNNNNNNNNNNNNNNNNNNNNNNNNNNNNNNNNNNNNNNNNNNNNNNNNNNNNNNNNNNNNNNNNNNNNNNNNNNNNNNNNNNNNNNNNNNNNNNNNNNNNNNNNNNNNNNNNNNNNNNNNNNNNNNNNNNNNNNNNNNNNNNNNNNNNNNNNNNNNNNNNNNNNNNNNNNNNNNNNNNNNNNNNNNNNNNNNNNNNNNNNNNNNNNNNNNNNNNNNNNNNNNNNNNNNNNNNNNNNNNNNNNNNNNNNNNNNNNNNNNNNNNNNNNNNNNACCUUGACACCAAAACACAAGUUUCAAGCAAAAUUCAUGUUCUUAAUCUCAAUUUUCAUUAGUCCAUCAUGAUUUAUUUUUGGUAAGUGCAUCUUUGAUGGUGGAGCAAGUUUUCGAGUAAGUUUUCAUUUGAUGUUUGUUAUAUAUAUAUGAUACAUGAUGCUAACUAUUUCAAGCCUUAAUCCUUUUAUUUCAAAUCUGUUAUUACUAUUGUUCUAUUAUACAAAUUAAUUAAUUCAAGUUUUAAUCUAUUUUCUCUAGAUCUGUAGUUAAUAUUGUUACGGUAGUAACUAAUUCAAUUAUCCUUUGGAUAUCUUCUUGUUCUGCGAUACUAAUUAAUUAAAGUUUUGAUCUUUUUAUAUUAGGAUCUGUAAUUAGCUUUGUUUUUGAUAACUUAAAUUAAAGUUAAACCUUUGUAAUUGUUGUUGUUUUACUUUUCCUAAAGGUAACAAUAAUUUUUAGUGCUAAUUUCUGGUUUAAUCACUUUAUUUUUAUUGAUGAAUUGGCAGGCAGGAAGUGGAGAGGAGUCAAAUAAGUUGAAGCUCUAUUCGUAUUGGAGGAGUUCAUGUGCAUUUUGUGUCCGAAAACCACUCAAUUUGAAAGGUUUUUUAUUUUUUAAAAUUUUUACGAUUGCUUUCUUGUUCAGAGAAAAAAAAGAAUUAACCCCUUUUCCUAUUUGUCGUCGUGAGGCAGUGUAGUUAUAGAAAAGCUGAGUUUAGAUUAUGUACAGAGUUUGUUUAGUAGAGUUCCACCAGUUCACUGAUGAUAACCUGUAGACGUGUAAAUGUAGUAAGUGGUGUUUUUGCAUCAGUAAUCUGGAAAUUCGAAUAGUUGGAGAUGAAAAACAAUUGUCUUGGUGUUAAUGGUUCUUUUUCACUAUACUAAAGAAGGAUGAUUUCCAAAUUGUUUUGUUCCUUUUUACUGAGUGAAUAUCUCAAAGUUUAUUUUGAAAUUUAGAUGUCCGACAGUAUCUGCUUUGGAUUGAUGCAAUAAACUGAUAUUCAGACCAUUCUUACAGUGCAUUUCUUUUCAAGUAGAAAAAAUGUGUGACUAAGUUGCUACCGCAUUUGACUGCAGAUAUACGGAUAUAAAAUGUCACUGUGGGCAGAGCACACUACAACUAUAGAGCAAUUUUUUGAGCGUCCAGAGAGUCUUGAAUGAGUGAGACGGAUGAGAGUAUUUGGUGAACACAACUGACUACAGUACACGGCUGAUGAAGUCACUGAAAUGAGAGGCCACUUUCUUAAGUAUCCUGUUGAAAUUGAUCGAACGGGGACAGUUAAGUUGCUCCAUGGUAAGUUUUUUCCCCUCAUUCUAAGCUUGUGGGGGGAUAUUGUUCUAUCCUUCCCCUUUUAAUAGAUAUAAACUAGGAAAUAGUAACUUGUUUGGAUAAUGCAUUACAGCUGAGUUUUUGGAGCUCACUAAUAACAUAGUUCUUAAGUCUUAACUAUGUAAAUAUCACUAUCAUGUGUUUAGAAUGUUCGCCUUCCGUUAUAAUUCAUAACAAACUCUGAAUAGCAUAUAGAGACUUAACUGGAUGAAACUACAUAAUAGAGAUUUAAGAGAGUGAAAGACAGUAAUGAUGUUUUAUUUUGAAAUCUUGAAGAUCAUGGAGAUAAUUAUAUUCAAAUAUGAAAAAGGAAAAAAAAGGAAAAAAGAAAAAAAAAGAAAUAAAAGAGAGAAAAUAAAGUGAAAAAAAAAUGAAAAGAAAAUAAAAUAAAAAAUAAAAUGAUAAAAAAAUAAGGGUAAAAGAUAUGACUAUAUUUGGAGGAGAUGAAAUAGUGGAGUGAAAAUAGGAAAAUGUAAAGUAGUGAGAGUAAAACAUGCACUUCCCUAGUUAAUGAUUUAAAUAAUGUUACUCUUGCUAUAAACUGUAAUUUUACAAAAGUGUUGUCAUUUAUUGUAAUUAUAGUCUUAAAUAUGCUACUUUCUGUAAUUUUUUUAUUUCAAAAUGCAGAACUGAGGCGACCAGGAUCAAAAGGACAUUGCAAACAUUGUUCUCCAAAAUAAGCACACCUAAGUUGAUUAUCUAUGAAUAUAUCUUGUAGCAAGGAGGAUCGACUAUAUGUGUACCCGGUAAAAACUUUUCACCAUCCUGNNNNNNNNNNNNNNNNNNNNNNNNGUUGACACGAAUGUACCCCUCUUUUCAACUCUAUAAUCACUUGGUAUAUAAACAUUAAAGUCUUUCUAGAAUCAUGCAAACGACAAAUUGUUUUCAUGAAUUCGUUUUCCUUCUUCAGGCCAAUCAAUACACCACUCGGAUCAAAAGUGAGUGGCGAAUCAAUUGCCACUUUGCUGACCCUUGUAGCUCCAUCCCUUAGACUAGCAGAACUUGUGAUGUUCAACAGAAAAAUAUGUAGCCCAACUGCAACCCGGAUUGUUGUAACCAAGCUCCUUGCAAAUUCUACUAAACCAAAUGUUCCUAGACCGAAAAUUCCUAUUUUGACUCGACUGUUGGUUGACCAGUUCACUGCCAACUCUAAUAGAGUACCUUGGAACCAUGUAACUUGGCUAUUUGCAAGUCUACCAUAGAAGUUAAGACAACUAGAACUCAUUAUCCUGCAGAUGUUGUAGUCCUACAGACACCUCACUUUACAUAGCUUAUAGACAAGGUGAUAAACAACUUUUUCCACAAUGGUAUGAUACUUUAGAAUGGUACUACCUGGAUCAAAUAGCAAUGGUAAGAAAUUAUGCAUUAUAGGAACUCUCCUUGUCUUUGGAACACUCAACUUCAUGUUGAACCAGGUAGUAUAACCUCUAUUUUCAUACACGCCACAACUCUUAUUUAAUGCCAUAGAAUAGAAGUUUUCCUCCUCAUUGACAAAUGUGACAAAUAACUCUUUAGAUAAAAUCGUCACAUCAUGCAUCAUUUUGUUCCUUUCGAGUAUUUCUUGAAACAAGACGCAUAUAACACAAUCAUUAUAAUAAAGGAAAAUAAUACCCACAUCUUCAUAGUCUAUCCAUUUCUCUACCAGAUCUGAUUGUGUACCGGGGUCUUUGAGGCCAAUAUUAACAAGAAGGUACAGUAGCUUUGAAGUCCAAUUAACCUUAACACUAAAAAUUUGUCCAUGAACUUUUGACAAAGUAUUCACUGUUUUGACUCUAAAGAAAUAUCCUUGAGCACUACCUACUUUCAUUUCUUUCAUUUUCUUUUUCAGUAAUGCCUCUGCCAUUUUGCAAAUCUGUAAAGGUGUCAGAAUCCUUGAUGAUGCUUCCACAUCUAUAUUUUUCUCUUGUUUCUGAUUGUUCGACUACUCCAGUGUGGCUUCAAUACGAACAAUUUUGGUGGUUUUCACCCAUGCCUCAACUAUGAUACUAUCAGUCCACUUAUUGCACCUUUCAGUGAGACAUACACACUCACUAGAUUUAUCUACUGGCUUAGAAAUCUCAGCACCUGUAAUUUUAAUUAGUUCUGAUGCGCACUUGUCCCAAUCCUCUAAUUUUACAACAACUGGUGUUGGUAUCUAUAACACCUCAAUUUUAUGAACUAGAAUGCUACACAGUGCUCAUGACCCCGAAGGACCACAGGCUAACCCAUGACUGAUAUCUGUACCUGUAUACUGCAUAAUAUAUAUAAAAUACGGAAACAUAAACAUAAAAGGCCAUAAGGUUCGAACAGAAUAAAUGUCUGAUAACAAAAUGUCUGAAAAAGGUAUAACAAUACCAAAACAAGUCAUAAAUACUGAAAAUAAUGAGAUCUGAAUAUCUAAUCUGACAUCUAGUCUGAAAGCCUCUAACUGAACUGAAUAAGGAGUUGAAGGAACAUGUCUCCAAAUAACUCCAUCUAGCAACUGAAUAGUAAAUGUAGCAAUAAUCAUAUCAUCCUCGAAUGAGAAGGACUCACUACAAACUCUGAACACUGGAAUGAUACUACUGAUCUAGAGCCCGUGCCUCUGAACCUAUGGUGUAACAUAAGAGAAAGCACCAUAGCGCAAAUGCAUCAGUACGUCUGAAUGUACUGAGUAUACGAGUGAGGUAGGCUAAAUGCAAAGGGUUAUAUGCAUGAAAAAUGCUAACUAAUAUGAAUGUGAGAAUACACACAUUCAUAAACAACUAUAACUAAACUCGUGAUGAUGUUGACUACUGAGUCUGAAUCCUGACGAAAUGACUUUACUAUUACUGAGGUACUAAAUAGAUUAUUGACUAUUUUUGAUAAUUCAAAUUAUGAAGAACUGGUUUGAAUGACUGUGUCUAACAGUCGUGAAAUUGAAUACUAGUAACGUGAACUAUGACAACUGAUAUAGCUGAUAUAAUUGUAAUGAUCGAACUAAUCGAUAUAAUCGAUACUGAGCGACUGUAUCUGACAGUCUAAGUUCAGAUAGAACUAUCUGAGUUCCAUUCUACUUGGAGUAACUAAAUGUAAGAUCAGUCCUAUGUAGCGGGUGAUCAUGAGUAUGCUGAUAAUAAGGAUGAUUUGACUUAGUUUGUGAUCAGUCCUAUCUAGCGGGUGAUCUUUAAAUCUAAUGAUUCUGAUACUGAUUAAUCAUAGUUGAGAUCAUUCCUAGCUAAUGGGUGAUUUUGAAGUCUACUUACAAUGAUAAGCAUUGAUUAUAUCAAACAGUACUAAAUCUGUACUAACACGGUAAGUUGACUGUGUCUGAAAGCCCUGAUUCUGUAACUGAAAUUGUGGGAUGUGUUCAUCUAACUGACAUGCCCCAAGCUAAGCUGACUGGGGUCCAAUCUCUACCCUGACUGGAAGGGUGUCAGUACCGUGUCACCAGUAAAGACAUCUGUUGUAGAGUCAGUCCUAAUCUAGCAGGUGACUCCUGGGAUCAGUCCUAUACAUAUAAAUGUACUAAUGGGUGACCCCUGAGUAUGUCAUUCCUAUCUAACGGGUGACACUCGUACCUAUGCUGGAAACGUAGUUCUGGAACUUAGGAAUUGCUUCUAGGGAUCUCAGUCCUAUUCUAGCGGGUGAGCCCCCAUCCCUAGGUUCGCUCGGUGCUGAAUCCUACUCCCAUCUGAAAGACACUGAACUGAAUAACUAGGCUAAACUAAAUAACUUAACUUAACUGAUUUGCUUAACUGAUACUAAUUAACUGAACUGAAAAUAGUGGUAUUGCUUAGCUUUGCUGAAAUUGAGUUUACUGGAUUCUGAUGACGGAUGAAAUAUAAUGAGUUCUGAGGACUGAUUAAGAGUACUGAAGUUACUAAGAUUUACUGUGAUUACUGAGGUUACUGAGCACUGAGAUUAUUGAGGAUACUGAACUACUGAGAUUACUGAGUUUUCCUGAGUUACAUGACUGACUGAUUUCUAUAGAUAAUGGCUUGACUGAGAGUAUCGUGAAAACAUGACAUGGCUCUAGGCACACAACUAUAUUUUUCGGGUACAAGUACCCCCAGGACUCGAUGGAAGGAAACUGACACACACGACUGACUUGAUCAUAAGAGUAGAGUCCAUAAUCCACAAUAUCAUAAAUAAGGGAUUUCAUACUAAGCAUUGUUCUCAACAAUCUAUUUCAUGGAAGGGAAUUUCAUACAACAUGUAUAUACUUGCAUAGCUUUCAAUAUCAUGCUCAUUACAUAUUACAACGACAAUUCAUAAUAUCAUAACUUGGUGAAUUUCAUGAAGUACAUAGGUAUUCUACAUCUUGUACAUGAGUGGGUUUUGCAAGUAAGCAUAGCAUAAUUCCAAAAGACUAGUUCAUGAGUAAUCCAACAGUGCUCACAAGACACAUUAUCAACAUAGAUGACAUUGAAUCAUAGAGGCCUAUCAUGAAUCCUUCACUUAGUCACAAUUUAGCUAUAAUGCAUGAUUUCUAGUCUCUUAGGUAUUUUAUCAAACACCUUACAUGCACAACUUAGGCAUAGGUGUAAAUCAUACAAUUACUCAUCAUAAAUAAUCAAACUUACAUGUUUUCAACUCAUCUGAUGUCAUAGAUUGAUAAUAACACAUAAAGAUUCUAUCUUGACAUCAUUCAACACAUAAACAUAAUCAACAAUCCAUUCAUAACAUGAAAACCAUAAUAUAUAGUUUUAGAAAAAAAAAGGGUUCUUGAACUUCAUCGAUGAAAGGAGUCCAUGAAUGAACAAACGCAUACCUUAUAAAGGAAACCUUGAUGAUUUGCUGGAGAGUUCUUGGAUUGGGAAAUUUAAUUCUUGGUUAUCUUGGAAAAAGGCUUGAAUCUUGCUUUUGAGAGAUGAGUUUGAUGGAAACCCUAAUCUUAUGGUUGAGAGUAUAAGAGAGGGUUUUUGAGAUCCUUAACUGAAGAAAAAUGGGAAAAAUUACGUCUCUUUCAGGUUAUAAGUCGUGGAAGGUUAAGGAAAUGACCAAAAUACCCUUGCAAAAAUGCCUUUGAAUUGCUGGAAAAAUAUACUUGACGCCAUCCAUGACAGGCCGUCAGGCCGAGAUAGGCCAUCACGAAUGGUCAUCACAAAAGGGGUCCAAAUUCUUGAUUUUUUGCCCAGGGCUGACGGCGUCGUCAGAAAUGUCAUCAGAAUGUGACGACGUCAUCAAAAAGGUCGUCAGAAACAUCGUCACCGUUUUCCAGCUUGACAUGCUGGAAUAAAAUGGGGAUAACUCUUUUCUCCGACAUCGGAUUUAGGCAAAAUUGGUAUUGUUGGAAAUAUAAUUCAAUUAUCUAUUUGUUGAUAGGUCAUGAGCUCAAAAAUUCCAAGUAUAAUGAGAGAUAUGCUCAUUUGAAGUUGACUAUACCAAUAUCCUUCUCAAGAUUUCAAUCGGUAAGGAAUGUUUUGAUUCGUCUGAUAGUUGGGAGUUAUUUGAAGCCUUAAUAUACAUCUAACUUACUCAUAAAAAUAUAAAAGAACCAUGAUGUACUAUGAAUGAGCUUGGUACAUGGCUCUAAUAUUGGUUUGGAUUUUUUGGGGUAUUACAGUAGCUUUGCUUCAGCAUUUACAACAUUCAGAAAUAGAAAUCCAUCGACAAAAUUGGAAAGCAGAACUAGACUAAAUGAAUACACACCCAAUUUUUCCCUAUCAUAUAAAGCCUAAAAAACCUGUCCAGUAUCAACCCAAUUAUAAAUGAAUAAAACCAAAACAUGUAGGAGUGAACCAAUCGUUGCAUGAGGAACCCAAAAUGCGACCAAAAUAUCCCCCUCCGUCUUUAUAUUGAAUAGCAUAGAACCAAUCUCCAUGUCCAGAAGUACCUUAAUUGAAACUGAUGAAGAUGCAGACUUAAGGUGUUUCAUGACAUUAUAAUAACCGGACAGAUCAUUUAAACCCAUCAAUUUUGGUAUGGUAUCCUCAAUAGCAAGAACAUAAAGUCGUAAAUAUAGAUGUGGGUUCAGGAUCUCAGUUUUCGUGGUGUUUUUAUUUUGGAUGGAGUGAAGUUCAACUAGAACUUCAGAUUCGACCCAUUGAGGACAUUCGUCGAACUCCUGGUCCUUAUUGUAUUCUGAAUCAAUCUUACUGCUAUUUUCAAUCUUUAGCAGUUUAGCAAUAGCAUAGUCAUCUAAAACCACUUUAGUUUGUAUUUCCUUUACAUUUAUUUCCCUCGAACAUACAUAAAGACAAAAGCAACAUUGGCAGUCAAGGCUGCAUACACACCCAUAGACGCAAGAGUUGCAUUGGCAGUCAAUACUGCAUUUGCAAUUCUUACACCAUCUUUGAAAUUAUUUUAAAUCCACAACUAUUCCUGAAACUUCAUCCAUAGGUGCCCUUCUAUUGGCAUUGUUUCGUUCAACCAAUUUAACCAAAGUUGAUGAUUCCAUAAACAUCUUCUUCGAAUUACUACCCAUAGUCGAGACAGAUUCGUUUCUCUGAUACCAAUUGUUAUGAUCCCAAAUCAAAUCAUAACAAAAUUGCUGUAACCAAACAACCAACACAGUAUUUUUUGAGAAAUUUUCUGUUUAUAUCGAAAAAUAGGGAAAUGAAAUUUAAAAUAACGAGAAAAUUCUAUCUAUGAAGAGAAAACAAAUUUAUAGAGAACUCCAUGAAUUAGUCGAUCUGCUGGGGAAGAAGAUGAGAAGACAAAGUUAAAUUUAGAUGGGGAUAGAAAGGAAUUGGGAAGGAAAAGAAGAACAAUUGAUUUACCAAAUUUUAGUUAUGCCCUUCUUUCUCCUAUGAAGUGUGUAUAUAACCACCGUGCCAUAUGGCAUCAUCACAACCCUUGCGAUUCUUUUAAACUUGAGUAAUCUUGACCCUUUAUUCUCAAUCUUGUGCAUUUCUAUUUGCUUUCUAUUCCCAACUUUGAAUCCAAACAACUAACAUUUGAUCGACUAUUAUUGAGAUCAUAACAAUCAGUGCCUGAUUUUUCAUCAACAUUGAGGAAGGAGAAUCGAAAGCCGCCGCCUACUAUGAUGCCGACUUUGAAGGAGAAGUCAGCUACUCCGCCUCCGUCUGGUGCAAAAAAUGGCAAGUUUUAUGAGGUUGUUGGGAGUAUUGGAGGUAGCAAAUUAGUGAAUUCAGUGGAGAAGAGGAUUGGGGGUUUGAUGACUAGGAAGAGUUAUGCUAAUGUGGAGGAACUCAAGGGAUUGACUUCUGUUGCAAGGACUUCCAUAAUGGUGAAAACAGAGUAGGAAGAACUAACAGAGUUGCUGGCAGGACUCUUCUUGGUUACAGACAAUUAUGAUUGUUACCUCUGAAGAAUGAAGGAGAAUCAUUCUUCAUGUGGUUUUGAUUCUUCGAUCUUUUUUACAUUUUAUUUGCCUACAAGGGAGUCUUGGUGUAACCAAUAAAGUUGGCAUAACCGAUAAAGUUGCUACCAUAUGACGAGGAUGUUUCAGGUUCAAGCUAUGGAAACAUAAUCUGCUUACAAUAGACCCUUGUGGCCCAAAACCUGCACAUAGCGGGAGUUUAGUGCACCGGAUAGUCCUUUUUACUUGCUUGAAAGAUUGGUUUUUGAUUUGCAUUUUCUUUUUACAAAAGGUUGAUUUUAUAAAUUUGUCUUAAGAGUUGUAUAGAGCAAUAGGUUUGAAUCGGACCGACUCAUUGUAACCUACUAGGAAUUAUAGAAAGUAAUUUGCUUAUGGAUUGAUGAAUAUUGAAUAUCAUAAUAGUUCAUAUGCAUCCAUUUAGGCUUAUUGGGUUUCCUUUAAAUUGUUCUUACAUUUCAACCAUUUUUCAUUUUUUGCUUGUAAUGUUCUUCUUCAAACAGAUGUUCACGAAGGGAUUGUUCUUAAUGUUCAUAAAUGCAAAAGCACAAGUAUAAUAAGUAGAAUCAGAUGCAGAAUCAAUGAUUUGUACAAAAUAAUUUGCUUGACAUUAUUGAGGCAAGAGUUAUGACAUGAGAACAGCACUGAUAGGCUUGCAACAAAGUCUCAAAAAGAGGAGCUACUAACAGUUCCAUCCAAAUUUAGCUAGAACUAUAGAGGUCUAAAACAACUUCAUCUACUAAUUCUUGGAGAAUAUGCCUAGGAACUUCUGUGCCACAUUCAUAUUCUUCAAUCUCGAAGUCAGUAGAGGAUGGGUUCCCAUUCUAUUAGCUCAUCUGGAUUCAAAUCAAGAAUUCUGUCCAAUCUUCGACCUCUUCAAUAACACCAGCAAUCAGAAUCUCUUUGGUCAUACUUGAUGGUAGUUUGGUGAAGGUUCUGAAACCAGAAUUAGAGUAUCGAGCAAAUUUUGAGUCUCGGUACUCUAAUAGACAAUCAAAGGCGAAUCCUUUAAGCUAAUUCAUUUGUUUUGGGUCGUUAAAGCCAAGCAACUGACCAACAUUCAUCCACAGAAGACUUGAAAACAUUUCAUGUUCAUUGAGGAGAAAAUAGCUCACAAAGAACCCAUCCUCUACAGGUAGAGCCUACUGUUGAGGUGUAGUUCCAAAUAUGAGUUCAGUGUUCAAAAUGACCUAUUUUGCGUAACUGAGUUUGCUUUCUUUUAACAGAUCAAUCUUGCUUAGCACUCCAAAAACGCUAUUAAAAUGGUCUGUGAUCAGUUCUCUACAACUCUUCCUGGUGGAUAAUGAGGUCUCACAAUCCGAAAGAUUUCUAUCAGCAUCAUCAAUAGUGUCCACUUAUUCAGUAAGCACUUUGUCCUCUGGAAGUAAACAAGCAUAAUAUUUAUUAAAAGCAUGAAAUCCAAGUUCAGAGUUGUCUUAUUUUUUAAUUUAUGUAUUUGAGGGAAAGAAAAGAAGUAUGCAAAUAGUAAAAUAUUGAAUCGGGGACCAUACUUGAGCUACUAUUGGGACUGCUGGAGAGGUAGCUGUCAGUUGAAAAGGCAGCUUCAAGAACACAUCCUGAACUAUGGUGAUCAAGUGAAUUCCCAACAAAAUUUGUUGCUUCUGAAUCUAGUAUGGCCUGAGCAUGAAUUCAAAAGCAAUAAUAAGAUUCAGAAAAAUAACAAUAGGUUCAUAACUGAAGCAAGACAUACUAAGAAAUUUUUAUGCACUUGAAAAGCAAGGAAGGGGGGAAAUGCUGAAUAAUAGUACAAUAACUAAACCUUUAAAUAACACUCUUUGGUCACAGUAUAUGAUGUGGAUUCCCUGAUAGAGAUGAUGCUAAAUUUGCGUAAUCUGUAACUUUUGAUGUACUAGGCUUUGCUUGAUUUAGUCGUUCUAAAUUUUAUCAACCAUUGUCUUUUUCUCUGUGCUCUGAUUACAUAUUAUAAACCUAAUAGAAGUGUUCUUCUGUAGCAUAGUGUGUUGUAUAAGUUAUCUUGACUGCACAUGCACCUAGUAUUAGUUUAGUAUGAUAUGAUGCACAAAGGCAGGAAGAGAACCAAUUUCAUCAAAUGAAUUUUAUGACUAUCCAGAAGUCCAAAGCUGUUUAACCGCUUAAGAAGGCAUAGGUAAUUAAGUUGCUUCAGAUUUAAAAGGGAAUAUAUUUCACAAGAGGUCAUUCAGUAUUUCAUUCGUUGCAACUUCAGAUAGAUAACAUUUAAACAUCUUACCUGGAAAUUCAUGCAAGUAUUUCUAGAAGAUACAGCACCAUCAUCACAUAAAUCUUCUUUCCUGCUAGGCCUUUUAUUUUGUGCAACAAAAUUUUAGGUAUUAUUCAUAGAUUCUGCAACUGCUAAAACUUUGUUGCUCUGCAAACUACUUGGCUUAGACUUUAUAAGACCCCUCUCUCUAUUUUGAGCUGUUUGAUUUUGCUUCUAAUUAACCACAUGAGUGAUAGAUGAUGUAUCCUUCUUUACAUUAUUCCCUUGGCGGGUUCCAUGCAUCUCCAUUCGAGUUCUGCUAGUAGAUCUUUCGCCCAAUAUGAGUUCUGCAUAGUAUGAUACAUCAUCGAUUUCAGCAGUGGCGUCUGAGGAUGAACCCUCAAUAACUCUCUUUAGUUGAUCCCUGCUGCUGAAAAUGGGCAACCUUGGCAUAUUUCUUCCUGGACCUUCUCACGGAGGUCCAGAUUCACAAGAGACAGGUGACGAGACAGACGAUGAGUAUUCUUCCACACUUGGUGUACCGUUCUUACUAUGAAGAAAAUAACCAUAAUUUUUACAUGAAGGCACAGAUGUUCCUUUCAAAAUCUUUGAAUCCACACAAGGAUUAGGGCUUUCCAAAUGAUGAGGUGCUAAAUCUGCUUCAUCUUCUGAAGGAGAAAAAUAUCUAGUAGGACACAUUGCUCCAAGUUUCAGAAGCUGAAGCCUUUUGGGGCUUACUUCCUGAUCCUGCUGGCAUCGAUUCCAAACUCAUUAUUUCGGCCAUCUCCAAAUCCAUAUCUUCUUUAUCAGAUCUACCAGGUCGAGCACCAAGUUUGUCUGCCACAUUGCUCCAAGUUUCAGAAGUUGAAGCCUUUUGGGGCUUACUGCCUGAUCCUGCUGGCAUCGAUUCCAAACCCAUAAGCCUAGUAACCAAACUUGGAGCUUUUAUUUCGCGCUUGCUUUCACAACGUGUAUUGGUCAUUCCAUUAUUCUUUGCAUUUGGUAAACUCCCACUGUUCUCAUCAACAAUCUACAUUGUUCAUACAAGAACCAAAAACAAUAAAAACAAAAACUUUCCUAUCAGCCUAACAUCUGAGACAAUAGAAGAAAAAAAAAGCUAAAUGUGGGAGUAUAGUUCAAGAAAUGAGUACCAAACGAAGCUUUGGCUUCUUCUCAUCCCCUCCAAACUUUUUUGAAGCUUGUUUUAAGCAAGCUAUAAGAAAGCAGCCCAAAAAAAGAAAUCAUUUAGCCUCUAGCUAGAAUCACCUUCAAGAAAUUAACCAUUCUACUUUUAAAAUGAGUGGAAUGUAGUAGUAGCUAACCUAGUAAAAGCAGUUUCUUUGGAAACAACUUCUUGGAAAAUCUACGGUUCCAAUCAAAGAGCUGAAAGAAAAUGCCCACACAACCACAAGGCCUUUGAGGUUUUCUCUCAGAAAUAGUGGCUAAACUAUCAUUCAUUUCUCUAGCUGAGCUAACAUUCAUCCUUCAAAAUCCUCUCUUAAAUUUCUUCACCUUUUCUCCCACUCUGCUGAAUGUGAUUCACACACUUUGUCUUCCCAAUAAGAUCCUAUCAAACAUUAUCUUCACAUUAAUUUGGAAAGAAUUAAAAAAAAAAAAACCCUACUGGACCCUCUACCCACCACAUCACUCACCCUCCUUGGCCUAAAAAAAUAAAAUGGGGAAAAAGAACUUACAUUUUCAUGCAAGAAACAAAGCAAAAAUCCAACAAAAUAUCAGAAAAAAAAGUAGAAAAUAGCUAUGAAAAGUAAAACCCUGAGCUGUGUUCAAUUAUGACAAAACUUUCACAAGAAACCACAGUCAAACAAAGUAAACACAGAAUAAGAAAAUACAAACAACAAUACCGAUAAUGUCUUCAACUUACACCAAAUGUGCUACUGUUCAAGAAAACAGCUAGAACUGGUUAUAGUUCACUCUAGUCAGCUAUUCUUUUCUUUUUUUAAUCUUCUUUACGACAAUGAAAAAAGCAAAAUCAUUUGUACACUAGAGGUACAUGCUAACUUACUCACACAAAAAAUAGAAUAAAAAUCCUUUCUUUAGGCUAUUGAGUAACCUCAGGAAGUGAAACCUUCUGCUGUUCAGAGAAAGAAUAAGAUUAGCAGAAAAUAAAGUUGUAAGUGAUGAAAACGGCUCAUCACUUGCUUUAUUCACAGUGUAAGGAUGAGAAUCUUCGUGUGAGGGGAAAUGGGACAAGUUUUGAUGCGUAGGAUAAUUAAGAAUGGACAAACUAAGGUUGUGUUUGCCUACGCGAUUCAUAGAGCACAAAUCCCCAUCCCAAUAAUUACCAUUACAUCAGUGAGGUUUGUGUUACAAUACAGACCAAUGAAUAAAUAAAAUGAAGCUAUGAAACUAAACUAAGAAAGAAAUUAAAAACCACUCCCAAGUCCCCGGAGACUUUUCCAAUACCACUUAAUACCUGUCACAUACGUGCAAAAGAGUGGUACAAGCAUAGAAGGAAUACUUGAAUAUACCAACAGAUUGUCUUAUAUAGAGGAACAAAGAAACACAGGCAUAACAAGUAAGCACAACAUAAUUAUUUUAAAUUAGUUCCUAUAGACAUGCUUUCAAUGCUUUGCUAUCACAAAUGCUACAGAAUAAGAAAAGAAUGUGUCGAUAGAGACUAACUGAUUAGGCACUAAACAAUAAUAAUAGAACCCAAAGCAAUUGCAGCAAGGAGAAGACCGAAUGUUUUUCGAAAUCCAAAGUGCCAAAGAACUUCAAAGUACUUUUAACAGAAAAUAGAGGGAGUAAUAGCGAAGGAAAAGUCUGUCCACUUAGAAAAAGAGAAUGGUGAGUUUAUAUAGUGAGGAGGGCCGUCCAUAAUCCCAAAUAAUGAAGGAAGAAUAAUAUUUAAUGAAGGAAGAAUAACAUAUAAUGAAUCAAUUAAGGGGAUUGUUCCCUUAAAUGGAUGGGGUAAAUCAAUCCGUUCCACCAAUCAUACUAUAGUUGCCAUAAAUAAAUAAACAAGGGUAUGUCAAAUUAUAACAUUUGAAAUUUCCAUGAAUAGAACAAGUAAAAAGAGAUCCUUCCUACUUGUUAAAUGAAAUCAAGAAGAGGUAUCAAAAUUUACCAUAAUUAACGUGUGAGGGGAUGUCUGUCAACCAAAUUUCCUUUUCAGAUUAUAUGCUAAUUAAGGGAAAUAUAAAAUCACACAAAAUUUAGUCAAAUCCAAUAAAGGAAAGAUCGGUUAAGCAAAUCAGUCAUACAAAUUAUUUACUUACCAAAGAAAAGAAGAACUACCAUAUAGUGAUCACAUAAUCAAGGAAAACAAUAAUUAAUAGUACUUAAUUUUUAGAAGAAAAUUGACACGACUCAAUCAAAAGUAAUUACUUACCAUAAACCAUAUUUAAAGUAAUCAGCCACGUCUCUCAAUUAAAGAUAGUAUAUAAAUCAAUCAACUGUAAAUUAUCAAUUAGGCACAGUCAAGAAUUUUAAAACCCGUCACAAAGGAAAAUAAUCAUUCGUUUAACACGAUAGUAGUACCACAAUUACAAUAAGGCGAUUACAAAAUCAUAAAACAUGCCCCAAAAAAUAGUCAAUAUUAGCAAGCAACAAUCUACAGUGAUUAGUAAUGAGUAUCUUGUUAGAAAGUUAAAAUCAAGUCACAAAAGAAGUUGGGAUUUUUUUACCCAUAUUGACUAAGUGGUAUAAAAAAUGUGAAGUUGCAAGAAGUUAGGCGUGUUUGCACAUACCAGAGAGAGACGAACAAAUUGACUCACCAUUCAAGUUAAGUGUCACGAAAUUUCAAUCAAGCAGGACAUGCAAAUAGGGUUGAAUAAAAAUUACAGACUUAAAAUCAACAUAUUUAUUCAGCAAAAAUCAAACUUGGCCAUACUCGAUUCGAAGAAUCUUUCUAUGAGAGACACAGAUGAAAAAAUAAUACUAAAGUUCACACACAUAUUUCAAACACGGGAUCAAAACUAAAGACGGAUUCUCUCAGAAUCCAUCAUUUUCAAUGAGGAAGGGUUGUAUGGAUGGAACGCCGAAGGGGUUUGCCGGAGGUAUCGCUGUGGGGGGAGGAGUCGAGGCUAUGUCGCGGCUGUUGGACGUUCUUCGGAGGGGAUAAAGAAGGCGACUGGAGGACGGAGGAUGGAGAGGCGGCGUGGAGGCUUGGCUGGCCAUCUCCGUCGAUGGCGCCGCCACUGGUAGCGCUGUUCGCCGGUGGAGGACGAGAAGGGAGGGGGCUGGCCAUCGGAGAAGUGGCUGGAGUCGCCUGGGGUAGGCGCUGGCGGCGCGUAUGAGGAGAAGGAAGAGGCGAUGGCGAAGGCUGUUUGUCGGAGAUGACAGCCUGGCGAAGAAGACUCAAAGCGGCGAGGGUGGUUUUGGUGGUCGAUUGGCGAUGAAGAGAUUGGAGGAGAGGGGGGAGAUCGAGAUUUGGAAGUGUUUGAAGAGAGAGAGAAGAGAGAUAGAGGCAGAAGUUGGAGAAAAAAAAUUAAGGUUAGGGUUUGAAGGUUUUAAAUAUGGAAAGAGAGAUCUUUUGAUCUCAACCGUUGGAUUGGUUUUUGAUCGAUGACUGAUAUUUAAUGUCAUGAGGGAAUUAAAAUGUGGCUAGGAUGAAAAGUAAUGGCUCAAAUUGUAAGAAAUUGGGUUAAGAUUGUAAUGGAUUGGGUAAAAAUAGGCUAUAAUUGUAAGAAAUUAAAUAAAAUUGGAUUAAAAGGUAAAUAAAAUCAAGCAAGGUAAUUUUGAUUAGGCUGUUAUUUAAAUUAAAGUUGGAAUAAUAAUAAUAUAUGAUAAUAGUAAUUAAAUAAUAAAUAAUAACAUUAAAUAAUAAAACAUAAAUAAUAAUGAAAAAAUAAUAAUUAAACAAUAAAUUAUAAUAAUAAAUAAUAGUAAUAUAUAUAAUAACAAUGUCAAUAAAUAAUAAUAUCAAUAAAUAGUAUUAAAUAAAGCAAANNNNNNNNNNNNNNNNNNNNNNNNNNNNNNNNNNNNNNNNNNNNNNNNNNNNNNNNNNNNNNNNNNNNNNNNNNNNNNNNNNNNNNNNNNNNNNNNNNNNNNNNNNNNNNNNNNNNNNNNNNNNNNNNNNNNNNNNNNNNNNNNNNNNNNNNNNNNNNNNNNNNNNNNNNNNNNNNNNNNNNNNNNNNNNNNNNNNNNNNNNNNNNNNNNNNNNNNNNNNNNNNNNNNNNNNNNNNNNNNNNNNNNNNACUCCCAAGUCCCCGGCGACUCUUCCAAUACCACUUAAUACCUGUAACAUACGAGCAAAAGAGUGGUACAAGCAUAGAAGGAAUACUUGACUAUACCAACACAUUGUCUUAUAUAGAGGAACAAAGAAACACAGGCAUAACAAGUAAGCACAACAUAAUUAUUUUAAAUUAGUUCCUAUAGACAUGUUUUCUAUGCUUUGCUAUCACAAAUGCUACAGAAUAAGAAAAGAAUGCGUCGCUAGAGACUAACCGAUUAGGCAGCAAACAAUAAUAAUAGAACCCCAAGCAACUGCAGCAAGGGCAAUACCGAAUGUUUUUCAAAAUCCAAAGUGCCAAAGAACUUCAAAGUACUUUUAAGAGAAAAUAGAGGGAGUAAUAGCGGAGGAGAAGUCUGUCCUCUUAGAGAAAGAGGAUGGUGAGUUUAUAUAGUGAGGAGGGCCGUCCACAAUCCCAAAUAAUGAAGGAGCAAUAAUAUUUAAUGAAGGAAGAAUAACAUAUAAUGAAUCAAUUAAGGGGAUUGUUCCCUUAAAUGGAUGGGGUAAAUCAAUCCGUUCCACCAAUCAUAAUAUAGUUGCCAUAAAUAAAUAAACAAGGGUAUGCCAAAUUAUAACAUUUGAAAUUUUCAUGAAUAGAACAAGUAAAAAGAGAUCCUUCCUACUUAUUAAAUGAAAUCAAGAAGAGGUAUCUAAAUUUACCAUAAUUAACGUGUAAGGGGAUGUCUGUCAACCAAGUAAGGCAAGAAAAAUCAAAAAUCAAUUACUGACAUGUUUUUCUCAAAUCAAAUUGGUACAGGAUCAUACCCAAACAGUCAAAACGUGCACAUAUUAGCCUUAUUAAAGAUUUACGAACAAAUCCUCGAAGCGUCACAUACAUGCUUUUCCCAUACAAAAUUAAAUUAAGCAGAAACUAACCAGACUGAUAUUAACGCAAAUCAACAUGCAGCAUUUAAGAAGUUACAGUUUAAUGAAAGACCGCAAAAAUUAGGGAUUUUUUUACUUAUGUUAAUUAAAAGGCAAACAACUACGACAUUGAAUCAAAAUUCAAACAUCGAAUUUCACUAAUUUCACAUCUAAUAAUCUGUCAAAGAAAACAGGAGUAGAAAAUGAUAAUAUUAAAUUAAUAUAAAUUCAAACAAAGAACAAACCUAAGAGAGAUUCUGAGAAUCCAUCGUGAACUUGAAUUUCUUCGGCCGGGGCUCGUAGGGAGCAAGACGGAUGGAAUUCCCCGAUGAAAGAUCUUACGGCUGUUGGUGUUGGAGAAUGACCGGUGACAUAGUUUCACCGGUCGUGGGAUCCCCAUCGGCAGUGCAUGGAAGAAGGACGGGAAACGCUGGUUGUUAGUGUAGGAUCGCUGGCGGUUUUGACUAUUUCGGUGGUGCUGUCGACAUUUCUCGUCGUAGAAAUAGAGAAAAUGGCGAUGGGGUUGGUGGAUCCACCGAAGGGGUUCCUUGACGGGCGGCGGUGACUGGUUUGAGGCAGCGACAUUGACUGGCGGCGAAUAUGGUGAUGUUGCAUGUGAAGGAUGGGGAGAUAAAGAAAGGGAGUGUCGGGUCGACGGCUGACUGGCUAUCGCUUCUAGCAGCGGCAUACGGAUAACAGGAUGGCUGUAAUCGCCAGUUGAUUUUGGUGAAAAUAUGAUUAGGGUUUUCUCUUUGUGUAUAAAAGGAAAGGGAAGGUGACUUGAUCUUAGCCGUUGAUCAAUUUUGUCUGAAGUUAUAGAAUUAUUUGCCAAGAUAAAAUUGGAUAACUGAAAUUCAAGAUAUAUAUAAUUGAAAGCAUUUAUGACAGGUAUUGGUUAGAGGCGGCUUAAGCCUAUUGGGGGCCAAGGCCAAAUUAAAAUCGGAGACCUUAAAUUAGAAUUAAAAAAAUUAUAUUUUUUAUUUAAAAUCUAUUUUUCUAGCUUUUUGAGAUGUAAAGUUGUUAAUAAUUUUUUUAUAAUUGAUUUCUUCUAACAAUUCUUUUUCAAUAGAUAAUAUAGCCAAUCCACUUAAUCUUUCUUGAGACAUUGUUGAUCUUAAAUAAAAUUUUAUAAUUUUUAAUUUUGAAAAGCUUCUUUUCGUUGAAGCGACUGUUACAGGAAUUGUUAACAUUAUUCUAUAAGCAAUAUAAGCAUUUGGAAAAGAAUCAAGUCGUUUUAUUUGAUUGAGUAUCUCGAUUAGAGUAUUAUCUUCUACUUGUAUGAUUUCCCUCAAAAUCUUUAGUUCGGAAUAUAAGUCUAUACCGUUAAUAUCAGAGUGAGUAUUAUGUUUUAAGGAACAUUCAAGAUUAAGACAAUAUUUUUUUUAAUUCUCGUCAUCUAAUGAUCUCAAUUUUUUUACAUUAAAUAAAAAACCAAAAAUACUUUCAUAUGCUUCAAAUUAUUCAAAUCUAUUUUGGAAGUGAAGAAAUAGCUUGGUCUACUAUAUAUCAGAAAUAAUCAACUCUAAAAGAUUCUUAAAGAGAUUUUGUAAUUUUGUUAUCAACAUUCUCAUCAAAUUUUGUUUCGUACUAUAACUGAGUUUGACUGUAUCUGACAGUCCUGAUAUACUGAAAUAUGAAGACCUAUCUGAGAUUUUUUACUGAGACUGAUUCUGAAACUGUAGGAGGUAGUUUUUUAACCGACAUACCCCAAUAAUGCAUAUAGCUAAGUUGGGGUCCAAUCUCUGCUCCGACUGGAGGGGUGUCAAUACCGUGCCAUUGGUAAGGACAGUUGUGGGUGACCCUUAGCUGGUAGGUAUUCAAAAGGAGAAUGGUGGGGACCCUAAACUAACGAGUUAAGCCACCUUAUUAACCCUAAUCUGAUAGGCUAAGAUGUAUUAACCUACGCUAACUACGUUGUUCUGGAAUACAAGGAUGACUGCUAAAUAUCACACCCUAAAUUGGUAGGUGAGUCCCCAUUCUUAGGUUCACUCGGUGCUAACUUCUACUCCCAUCUGAAGAGACGAAACAUGAUUUAACUGACUGUACAUGGACAAAUUAAUUGACUUCCGUUGACUGACAGAGUAGUACUAUUAUUUGAAAGUUAACUGAGAUCAUGAGAUUCUGAGGUUUUCCUGAGUCACAUGACUGACUGAGUUCUAUAGAUUAUAGCUUAACUGAGAUUAUUGUGACAACAUGACAUGGAUCUAGGCACAUAACUAUUUUUUUCGGGUACGAAUACCCCCAGGACUCGAUAGAAGGAAAGUGACACACAUGACAUGACUUGAUCACAAGAUUUGAGUCCAUAAUUCAUAAUAUCAUAAGUAGGGGAUAUCAUAUUUCAUAUAGUUAUUCAACAUCUUAAACAUUGUAGGGAAUGCAUGGAUAUAUUUCGUGUAUAUAUUAUAUAUUCUCCAUUAUCUUACAUGCUUCAUACCACCACAAUAGCAACACAUGAAAAGCAUAUGAUUCAUAUUGAAAUAUAUAGCUAACAUGGACUUGUCAUUUAGACAUCAUAGAACCAUACAAACAUGAAUUUCUAGCAUCCUAAGCAUUUUAUCAAACACCUUGCAUGCAUUCUUUAAGGCAUAGGUGAGUUUCAUACUUGCACCAUAUUAAACCACCUGAAGUUCAUGGUUUUUAAUGAACAAACAUAUCUAUUCCAUGAAAACACCUUUAAAAAUCACAUUGAAACUUAAACAACAAUCGUCAACAUGUACAUACUCAUAUCACCACAAAAAUUUUACACAAUAAUAUUUAAAACAUGGUUCUUGAGCUCUAUGAACGGAUUGGAUCCAUAGAUGAACACUACGCAUACCUUAGAAAGGAAACUUUGAAGAUUUUUUGGAGAGUUCUUGAAUUGGAAAACUUUAACUCUUGAUUCUCUUGGAAAAAGGCUUGAAUCUUGUUCUUUGAGAGAUGACUUUGAUGGAAAACCCUAAUCUUGUGGUUGAGAGUAUAAGAGAGGGUUUUUAGGAUGCUUAACUGAAGAAAAAUGGGAAACAUUAUGCCUCUUUAGGGUUAUAAGUCAUGGAAGGUGAAGGAAAAGAAAAAAAUACCCUUAUUAAAUAAAUUCCCAGUUGUUAAAAAUCAUAGCUGAAAUGUGACAAGCCGUUAAAAAUGUCGUCACACAGGAGAGCUGGAAUUGAUGGUUUCUGCCUAAGCCUGAGCCUUACGACAUUUAUGACAAGGCAUAAAAAAUGUGACAGUCCAUCAAAAAUAUCAUCACACAGAAGCUGGAUUCUGCCUAAGGCUGACGACCUUCGUGAUAGGGCAUCACAAAUGUGGUGAGCUAUCACGAAUGUCGUCACUUAGGAGCUGGUUUCUGCCUAAGGCUGACGACCUUCGUGAUAGGGCGUCAUAAAUGUGGUAAGCUGUCACGAAUGUCAUCACUUAGGAUCUGGUUUCUACCUAAGGAUGAUGACCUUUGUGAUAGGGCGUCACAAAUGUGGUAAGCUAUCACGAAUGUCGUCACACUGUUUCCAACCUGACAUGCUGGAGUAAAAUAGGAAUAACUCUUUGCUCCGAUAUCGGAUUUAGGAGAAAUUGGUAUCGUUGGAAAGCUAAUUCAAUUAUAUAUCUAUUUAUAGGUUAUGAGAAUAAAAAUUCCAAGUAUAAUGAGAGAUAUUCUCAUUUGAAGUUGACUAUACUAAUAUCCUUCUCAAGAAUUCAAUCGAUAAGGAAUGUUUUGAUUCGUCUGAUAGCUGAGAGUUAUUUGAAGACUUAAUAUAUAUCUAACCUACUCAUAAAACUAUAAAAGAACCAUGAUGUACUAUGAAUGAGCUUGGUACAUGUCUCUAAUAUUGGUUUGGAUUUUUUGGGGUAUUACAAGAGGAUUCGACCCAAUUAGUUUGCAUUUGAAGAGUGGAUAUUGUUUUCUUAUUAGAGCCUUCAACCGAAUCUAUUCUCUUAUGCUCUGUCAAAAGUUUUACGUAAGGGCAAGUUAAUUAAUUGAUGCCUGACUUCGGGUUCUGAUUGAGGCUAUUGAAGGUUAUUUGGUUGGUAUUCUACGCAUAGUGAGGUUGUGGAACUUGUCUUUAGCAAGGUAAGUGAGACUUUAAGCUUUGAUGCUUGCUUUUCAAAUUUGAUUUAUAAAAAUUAUAUUUUUCUACCUAGUCCAUGUGUUAGGACAAGCGUGAACUUGGUAGAAAUUGUGGCUUUAGACUAUCUAUGGAUAUAUAAUUUGAAAAGUGUGUUGAGAAUUGUUUAGAGUGAAACGCGAGAUGAGGUUGGGGCGUUGAAUAUAUUUUCUUCGUUGUUGUUAUAGUCUCUAGAGGCAUACAUAGCUGCCGUAAUAUGUUAGGGACAUUACUUAUGCUGUUGUAAUAUGUUAGGGGCAUUAUUUAUGCUGCCGUAAUGUGUUAGGGGCAUUACUUAUGCUGUCGUAAUGUGUUAGGGGCAUUACCUAUGCUGCCGUAAUAUGUUAGGGGCUUGUACUUGCUGUCGUAGUAGACUUUUUGGGGCUUUAUAUAUGCUUCCAUGGACUUGUCGAGGUGUUAGGCCGAUCAUCUUCAUUGUCGUUUAUCACAAGUCGUGUGUGUGGAUUGAGUUGUUAUAGGAUGAUAUUUUGAACCUCUUUGAAAAUCUUAUUGAUAUUAUUUUAUGAAAGAUAUUAUGUACAUAUUAUUUGUGUAUCUUUGUUGUGCUUUGUAUUUUCUAAUACUUGUUCCAGGGGUAUUAAAGUAGCGAUUCGAGGAUCUUACUGGGUAAUAUUUAUAUAGCUCACUCCUUACUUGCAUACGUACAGAUACGGUUGCAGAGAGAGAGGCUCGUGGAUGACUGUAUUUACGUGUGGAUUCUAUCUCUAAGGUGAGCCUUCGCAUUAUUCGUGAAGGUUGUCAUUCAUCUCUCAUUAUUUUAGCUUAUGUUUAUGCUCGUUGGGUCUGUAUACCCAAAAGUUGAACUCAUGUAAUUCUGUUUAGAUGCUCCAUGAACUCAGUGUGGGAUUUGGGUUAGAGAUUUGUUAUCUAAACUAUUGUAUUUUUCAUAUAUCGCUAUACGAUGUCUUGUUGGAUAAUGAUCUUGAGUUAAUAAUCAUUUCGUGCACAUAGUGUUGUGUAUGUUUUCAUCUCAGUAUUUAUAGAUAUGGUGAAUGCAUAGAAAAUUGGUCCUCCCAACAAGCGGUGUUGUCGGGAGCCAGUCACGCCUAAGGGCUAUUUUGGGAUGUGACAGUGGGCUCAUCAUUUGUAGCCCAAAUUAAUGGGCUAGCCCAAUAAAAAUUAGACUUUAAUUAAAUCCAUACAUGUUUGGACUUAAAUAAUUAAUCCAAUUAUAUUAAUCCGAAAUAUUUAUUUGGGACUAAUCUAUUUUUAAUUUACCAUAAUCCGAAUUUCGUACGUAUUUCAAUUUAAUAAAAUUUCUUGCCCCCAAGUAUAUCUAAAAAUGAUUUAGAUUUUUUCUUAUUCACGAAAUAAGUUUUAUAUUUUUUUAAAAGGACUUUUCUCAAGGAAUUAGGAGAUAUAUAUUCCACAAAUGUCUCUACACAUUGAUUAUAUAUGAAUUUUUAUAGGAUUGUUUUCCCUAUUCAACAACAAUAACAACAACAAAAAAUUCAGUGUAUUCCACCAAGUGGGAUCUGGGGGUAAAAUGUACGCAGUCCAUACCGCUACCUCCUAUGUGCACAAUCCUAUUUAAAUUGUACAUAAAUAUAAAACGCAUUUUAUCUAUUUUUGUUCCAUGAUUAAUGUCACUUUCUAUUUUGUCCAUCCAUACAUAUAAUGCAAUGCCAUGUAUAAAAAAGGCUGAAUACAUAUACAAGCCCCUCAACUAUUCGACUUUUUUCAUUUAGGAGCCUCAAUUAAGCCAUGUACCUAUUGAACCCUUUACUUCUUCACAAAACGUGUUAAUUGAGCCCAAUCGCUGACGUGGCCCUGACAUAGUGCGGCAUAAUGUGUAAUACACUCUUAUUUGAGAGGGUGAGAAACCAUAAUUAAUUAAAAAACUUAAACAUAAAAAAUUCCAACCUAUAAAAAAAACAUAAAAAGAAUUUUUAAAAACAAAUAAAAGUAAUUAAAAAAAAAAGCUAUCAUCUUCUCUCUUCUACACAAACACAUUCCUCACCAUUGAAACACACGUAACGCACAAAGAUUUUCUAUUCUAUACAGCACACACAAAAAUUGAUGUCUACAUACAUAUCACAAAAUACAUAGUCCAUAUACGCACACAGCUCACAGAACCCGCACAACUCACAACAUACGCAGCUACACAUAUACGAUACACACAGAAGAAUUGGGGAGGAUGAAGGGAAAAAACAGUAUCAAAGGAGUAGAAAAACAAGAAUUUAGGGAAAAUAGUGGAGAAAUUGAGAGAAUAGAAAGAAAUAAGGUGCGAGGAAGAGACAAUCGAUGGAGAAAUAGUGAACGGAGGAGAAAGAUGCGAGAGAGAUAAAAGAAAAAAAAUGAGAGAGGGAGAGAGAAAAGGAUCGAUGAGGUCAGAAAUUUGACCUAUUUUUCUUCAAUUUCCUCUGUCACCGAGCUCGUUGGAGCUCUGGCGAAGUGAAAAUAGCGACCCAGCCCCAUUCACAGUCGAACCCUCAUUGGAGAUUAUGAAUGGGUUCUGUUGGUCACCGUGAUUUUGUUAUAAUACAAAUCAAGAAAUUUAAGGUAACUCAAUUUGCAAAGGGAGGACGGUAGAGGUUCACUGGGUGAGUUUGUUUGAAGAUCAACAAAUACUAGUGCCUGCCAUGGUAGAUGGUCCAUAUCCAACGGAAUCUAGCUUUUUCCAAAUACCCCAAUACACUAAUUCAUUUGAAAUUGUUGUUGGGUAUUGUUUUAGUGGAGAAAUAAAUGAGUGAAGUGAAGAUAGGGAAGAUGAAUAUUGUUGGGUAUCGACGGAAUCGAAGUGCUUCAAAGGUGGGAAAGGGGUAUCGAAAGAAGAAGAAGUUAUAUANNNNNNNNNNNNNNNNNNNNNNNNNNNNNNNNNNNNNNNNNNNNNNNNNNNNNNNNNAUAUAUAUAUAUAUAUAUUCACGUUUAUGUUGUGCAAAGAUGGGGAAAGGGGUGUUUGAAAGAGAACGGGGAGGGGGGGUUAGGAUUGGUAGGGCUGUAGUGGGGGGUAUUAAUGUUUUUUUUAAUUUAAAUUUAAUUAUAUUAAAAAAUUAUUUUUAUAAUUAUUUAAAUUAAAAUGUCACAUGUCGUUAUUUAAUUUUUCACUUUGCCAUAUCAUUGGCGCGUGUAUUACAUGCAGUUUAAAUUUUUUGCCACGUCAGCAAAUUGGGCUCAAUUGAAACCAUUUGUGAAGGAGUAAAGGGUUCAAUAGGUACAUGACUUAAUUGAGGUGCUUAUACGAAAAAAUUUGAAUAGUUGAGGGGCCUCUAUAUGUAUUUCAUCUAUAAAAAAAUAAUGCAUUUAGUGGUCACUUUUCUAAUUAUUGAUCACUAAUUUGGAGGACUUCCUCUGUUCGAUAACAAGUGAAUUGCUGAGGUAUUGUAUAUCUAUUAUAAAAAGAAAAUUAAGAUAUAAAUUAGAUACUAUUUCUUAUUUUUGUCAUUUUUAGUUAUUAGCAAACAACACUUAAAAACUCAAAACAAUUAUCAUGAUAAUUGCUUCCAGUACUGACUUUUUAAAAACUAAUUCAAAACAAUAAAUAAAUAGGAACAAUUAAAUUUCUUAAAUUCAUGAUAUAAGAGAUACAAAAAUGAAGUAUAAGAAUAAAUGAAAAUUUCAACAUUACUGACUUUUAAAAAACUAAUUCAAAACAAUAAAUAAAUAGGAACAAUUAAAUUUCUAAAAUUCAUGAUAUAAGAAAUACAAAAAUGAAGUAUAAGAAUAAAUAAAAAUUUCAACAUUAUUAUUGAAAUAAUUAAAUUACCUUAAAUAUCAACAAUAUCUAAACACUUCAUUUAUUAUGAAUAUGGAGGAAGUAUUGUCUAAAAUAUCAAUGAAUUAAGUGGACUCAAUGUAAAAUAGUUGAAUAAACCUUUCAAUCAUUUCUAUUUACCCCAUUUGAAUUGGACACACUCCUUAAUAAAUUCUUUACUCUUACAAGGUUAUCAUUUUCUCUGUUUUUCCUUUUCUCCACUGUAUUCCCUGCGCACCUUGACACCAAAACACAAGUUUCAAGCAACAUUCAUGUUCUUAAUCUCAAUUUUUAUUAGUCCAUCAUGAUUUAUUUUUGGUAAGUGCAUCUUUGAUGGUGGAGCAAGUUUUCAUUUGAUGUUUGUUAUAUAUAUGAUACAUGAUGCUAAUUAUUUCAAGCCUUAAUCCUUUUACUUCAAAUCUGUUAUUAUUAUUGUUCUAUUAUACAAAUUAAUUAAUUCAAGUUUUAAUCUAUUUUCUCUAGAUCUGUAGUUAAUAUUGUUAUGGUACUAACUAAUUCAAUUAUCCUUUGGAUAUCUUCUUGUUCUGCGAUACUAAUUAAUUAAAGUUUUGAUCUUUUUAUAUUAGGAUCUGUAAUUAGCUUUAUUUUUUAUAACUUAAAUUAAAGUUAAACCUCUGUAAUUGUUGUUGUUUGUUAUAUUAUACAAAUUAAUUAAUUCAAGUUUUAAUCUAUUUUUUCUAGAUCUGUAGUUAAUAUUGUUAUGGUACUAACUAAUUCAAUUAUCCUUUGGAUAUCUUCUUGUUCUGUGAUACUAAUUAAUUAAAGUUUUGAUCUUUUUAUAUUAGGAUCUGUAAUUAGCUUUGUUUUUGAUAACUUAAAUUAAAGUUAAACCUUUGUAAUUGUUGUUUUUUUACUUUUCCUAAAGGUAACAAUAGUUUUUAGAGCUAAUUUUUGGUUUAAUCACUUUAUUUUUAUUGAUGAAUUGGCAGGCAGGAAGUGGAGAGGAGUCAAAGAAGUUGAAGCUCUAUUCAUAUUGGAGGAGUUCAUGUGCAUUUCGUGUCCGAAAACCACUCAAUUUGAAAGGUUUUAAUUUUUUAAAAAUUUUUACGAUUGCUUUCUUGUUCAGAAAAAAAAAGAAAUUAACCCUUUUUCCUGUUUGUCGUCGUUAGGCAGUGUAGUUAUAGAAAAGCUAAGUUUAGAUUAUGUAGAGAGUUUGUUUAGUAGUGUUCCACCAGUUCACUGAUGGUGUUAAUGGUUCUUUUUCACUAUACAAAAGAAGGAUGAUUUUCAAAUUGUUUUGUUCCUUUUUACUGAGUGAAUAUCUCAAAGUUUAUUUUGAAAGUUAGAUGUCCGACAGUAUCUGCUUUGGAUUGAUGCAAUAAACUGAUAUUCAGACCAUUCUUACAAUGUAUUUCUUUUCAAGUAGUAAAAAUAUGUGACUAAGUUGCUACCGCAUUUCGACUGCAGAUAUACGGAUAUAGAAUGCCACUGUGGGCAAAGAACACGGCAACUAUAGAGCAAUUUUUUGAGCGUCCAGAGAGUCUUGAAUGUGUGAGAUAGAUAAGAGUAUUUGGUGAACACAACUGGCUACAGUACAUGGCUAAUGAAGUCACUGAAAUAAGAGGCCACCUUCUUAAGUAUCCUAUUGAAAUUGAUCGAACGGGUAAAGUUAAGUUGCUCCAUGGUAAGUUUUUUCCCCUCAUUCUAAGCUUGUGUGGGGGAUAUUGUUCUAUCCUUCCCCUUUUAAUAGAUAUAAAUUAGGAAAUAGUAACUUGUUUGGAUAAUGCAUUACAGUUGAGUUUUUGGAGCUCACUAAUAACAUAGUUCUUAAGUCUUAACUAUGUAAAUAUCACUGUCAUGUGUUUCGAAUGUUCGCCUUCUGUUAUAAUUCAUAACAAACUCUGAAUAGCAUAUAGAGACUUAACUGGAUGAAACUACAUAAUAGAGAUUUAAGAGAGUGAAAGACAGUAAUGAUGUUUUAUUUUAAAAUCUUGAAGAUCAUGGAGAUAAUUAUCUUCAAAUACGAAAAAGGAAAAAAGAAGAAAAAAGAAGAAAAAAGAAGAAGAAAAAAUAGAAGGGAGAAAAUAAAGUGGAAAAAAAAAUGAAAAGGAAAUAAAAUAAAAAAUAAAAUGAUAAAAAAAUAAGGGUAAAGGAUAUGACUAUAUUUGGAGGAGGUGAAAUAGUGGAGUGAAAAUAGGAAAAUGUAAAGUAGUGAGAGUAAAACAUGCACUUCCCUAGUUAAUGAGUAAAAUAAUGCUACUCUUGCUAUAAACUGUAAUUUUACAAAAAUGUUGUCAUUUAUUGUAAUUAUAGUCUAAAAUAUGCUAUUUCUGUAAUUUAUACAACACUUCAUACAACUGUUCACAUAUCUACACUUGUUUAGGUAGGUGGUAAAAAGCCUCAAAUGGAGAGACUUUAAACACUGCACUUAGGUAAUGUCAUAAUAAUUAUUUUUUUUUUGAUGUAAUUGGUGCACAAAAGUCUAUUAAACAUUGUUUUUAAGUAAAUACAUAAAUUUAUUGAUAUUGUUGGAGUACAAAACUUAAUUAAGCACCAUUUUAUUUUGAUUUAUUGGUGCACAAAAGUUAAUUAAACACCAUUUUUGUGUAACUUCAUAAUUUUGUGACACGAUUGUUGCACAAAAGUUAAUCAAGGUCCACAAUUAAGUGUCACACCCCUUUUUUUAACUCCAAAAUGAUUUGUUUUAAGGUCUCGAAAGAGUUUUUAUUAUUAACGUGACAAAGUAAAGAUUUGUUUUGAAAAAGAAUUAUUUUUAUAUUCAAAACUCAGAGUCGCCACUUGACAUAAUCCGGUGUGUCAAGUCACCUUUGGAAAAUUCUUUUCAAAACAAUUUGACUCUUUAAACUGGUUUGCGAACAGAGAUUCUGGCUAAGGAAUUCUGUUGACCGAGGGAUAGGUGUUAGGCACCCCCCAAUCCCGUGGUUCGGCCACGGUCGCUUGGUAGAACGUAUUAGUUAAUUUGACACUACGAAUGUAUAAACCACAAAGGAGCACGUAAAUCAAUCAAACAAACAAACCAAAUAAAAAGAAUAAAAGUAUAGUGUUCAGUCCAAUUAUACAGUUCCAAAAUAAAAAUGAAAAAAUAAAUCCUAUCUAACCUAUACUAAUCCUAACUAUGCUCCCAGGCUUUACCCGAUGCCUCGGGCCUUCCUUACGAACGUCUUCCGCCAACAUAGUACGUCGGGGCAUUCCCUGGUGAAUAAAUACAAUGUGUCUCGGGGCAUUCCCCAGCUAAAUGAUACAUUCGAUCCAAAAGCAAUAAAAUCAAACCAUUCAACACGCAUUUCAAGCAUUCAAUAAUUCAACGAGCAAAACACUUAUUCCUAAAUAUUUGCCUACCCGAACCUACUUUUAGCUAUUCAUUCGAUGGCCUAAUCAUGAUGCUAUCCAAUUCAACAAUAUUCAGUAAUGAAUCAAGAUAAACAACCUUAGACUUAUUCGAUUAACAAUUUUCGAUCCCAACCCCCAAAUUCAUUCUUAAUGAUUAAAUCAAUUCUAUACACAUUUCAUCAAUCAAGUUUUCAACUCCAAAUUCAACAUCAAACAAACAAACAAUGAGGAUUCGAAUAUGCUCAAACACAAAUCAUUCGUAAUCACGGGAACAUAAAAAAAAGAGAGAAGUUAGAAUUGGACCUCAAAGAGCUUUCGAUUGACUUAAUAAAAGAAAUAAGAGCCCGUCCAAGAACCUCGAAGAAUGCCAACGAAACCCAAUCCUCCGAAUCAAUCGAGAAACAAUCCAAGAACGCAAUAAACUCCAAAUUCCAAUCCGAACCAAAUAUAUGUACGAGUGAAAUCGAUGAACAAUACUAGACCAAACACUUAAGUAUCGCCCGAAUCAACCAAAAUCAGCCAAGAACAACGAACAACCAAACCAGAAUUUCCAAUCAACAAAAAUUCCGGCGAGCUGAGACAACGGCAGAGGGCUUAAACUCCAGAAAUCUAACAUUUUCUGGGGAGAUUUCUUCUUUAUAAGAAGAGAGAAAAAAAUGAGAAGAUUUGGUAGUUUUGAGACCGAUUUAUACGAACGACGAACGGAGAAGAUAAUUUCAGUGAAGCUACUGCUGGAACAGUAACCCGAAACCUCCCUUUUCUAUUAUCAGAUGGAGAUAUAUAUGGGUAUGUGUAUGUAAAAAUGGAUUUGAGUGGAGGUUUGGGGGGAGCGGUCUGUGUGUUUAUCUCCAAGAGCAAAAAAAAAAUCCUUCUUUUUCUUAGUGAGCAUCAGUGUAUAGCAAUGGUGAGGUAUGAAUCAAUUCAAUCCAAAAAAAAAAAAUGACGAGUAUCUCUAUGUUUUCAUGGGUGGAUCUUGUGAAUAGAGAGCUUUUUUUUUUUUAGGAAGUUUGUUAGAGAAAAGAAAUAAAAAUGUGGGGUAAAGUAAAGGGGGUAUGAGGUGGGGUAGGUGAAAUUUCCUGGAAGUUACCUAGGUUUGUGUAUUUCCUUUAUGGUCAAGAAAAGGGAGGGAGUCACGUGGGUGGGGGUUGGGUGAGUUGUUGUUUUUUAAUUGGAGAGGUAAGGGUUAGGUGUCUCAUUUUUGAUUGGGUGGGUUGUUGGAAUCUUUAAAAUAAGAAAAAAUUAGUUAUUUGGAUAAAAGCAAAAUAAAUAAAUAACUAACUAAAUAAGUGAAAGAGGUGGUUAUUUAUUUGUUUUUCUUGUGGGAAGAUUAUAUAUAAAAAAAAAUGGGGUUAAAUUGUGUGAUAACGAAAUAAGAAAUAUUUUUUUGACGGGACAAAAUGACGUGUCUACAUCAUGCCCCCUUUAAAUUUAAACACUAAGUGUUUCCAGACAAAGAAGUAGACAACAAGACAUAAUUUUGUCCCGACCAUUAAACAAAGGAAGAAACAAAAAGAAGAAAGAAGGGCAACCGAGUCUUGACUUAGGACACCCUACCUACCCAAUUUAUGAGAGAAUCAAAUGACAGGUAUCUCAAAGGAUUGAAGGGAGAUGGACUACACUGAGUUGGAGAGUCGAGUGAGGUUCCAUCGAGGUUCCGGUCCACAGCUCUAUCAUUACAUCAAAAUGAAAAGUACAAGUUAACAUAUAAAUGAAAUUACAAAAUCCUAUAUAUGCAACUUUCCUUGAGUCUUGGCUCGAGGUUUAUCACCCUAUUCUUCAGGCGGGCUCCUGACAUACAAUUUCUUUCGACUUGUUGCUUGUCUUUCACUUUCUUUGCUUUGUUGCUCGAAUUUUAUUUAUUCGCCCUGCUCUUCAGGCGGGCUUCGGACUUGCCAUUUUUGUCUUUCAAUUUCAUCACCCUGUUCUUUAGGCGGUCUCCUAGCUUGCAAUUUCUUCAAUUUUCCAUUUCGUCACCCUGUUCUUCAGGCGGGCUCCAGACUUACAAUUUUCUCACCCUGUUCUUCAGGCGGGCUCCUGAAAUCAGAAUCAAAACUAGAAUGACAAUUAUCCCAAACAAAGAUUAUAAUAAGGAAGGAUUUCAUCAUUUUUGAAAGUAAUGUCAAUUUUCUAUAAGGGUCCUGAAUAGAAAGUAAAUUCUCAUUUUUCAGGAGGGUCCUGAACAGAAAGUAAAAUUCCAUUUUUCAGGAGGAUACUGAAAAGUAAAAUCUCAUUUUUCAGGAAGUUCCUGAAAAGAAAGUAAAAUUCCAUUUUUAGGAGGGUCCUGAACAUAAACUAAAAUCCCAUUUUUAAGAAGGGUCCUGAAUAGAAAGUAAAAUCUCAUUUUUCAGGAGGGUCUUGAACAUGUAGUAAAAUCUAAUUUUUCAGGAGGGUCUUGAACAUAAAGUAGAAUCCCAUUUUUCAGGAGGGUCUUGAACAUAAAGUAAAAUUCUAUUUUUCAGGAGGGUCCUGAAUAUAAAGUAAAAUCCCAUUUUUCAGAAGGGCCCUGAAUAGAACUAAUUUGCAGGAGGAUCAUGAACAUAAAGUAAAAUCCUAUUUUUAAGGAUGGUCCUAAACAUAAAGUAGAAUCCCAUUUUUCAGGAGGGUCCUGAACAGAAGUAAAAUUCCAUUUUUCAGAAGGGUCCUGAACAUAGAGUAAAAUUUCAUUUUUCAAGAGGAUCCGAAAUAUAAAGUAGAAUUCCAUUUUUCAGGAGGGUCCUGAACAUAAAGUAAAAUCUCAUUUUUCAGGAGAGUCCUAAACAUAAAGUAAAAUUUUAUUUUUCAGAAGGGUCCUGAAUAGAAAGUAAAAUCCCAUUUUUCAGGAGGGUCCUGAAUAGAAGUAAAAUCUCAUUUUUCAGGAGGGUCCUAAACAUAAAGUAAAAUCUCAUUUUUAGGAGGGUCCUGAACAUAAAGUAAAAUUCCAUUUCUCAGGAGGGUCCUAAAUAGAAGUAAAAUCCCAAUUUACAGCAGGGUCAUGAACAUAAAGUAAAGUUCCAUUUUUUAGGAGGGUCCUGAACAUAAAGUAGAAUCUCAUUUUUCAAGAGGGUUCUGAACAGAAGUAAAAUCCCAUUUUUCAGGAGGGUCCUGAACAGAAAGUAAAAUUCUAUUUUCCAGGAGGGACAUGAAAGUCCCAUUUUUCAGGAGGGUCCUGAACAAAAAUUAAAGUCCCAUUUUUCAGGAGGGUCUUGAACAUAAAGUAGAAUCCUCUUUUUCAGGAGGGUCCUGAACAUAAAGUAAAAUUCCAUUUUUCAGGAGGGUCCUGAACAGAAAGUUAAAUCAAAUUUUUCAAGAGGGUCCUGAAUAUUAAGUAAAAUCUCAUUUUUCAGGAGGGUCCUAAAUAGAAGUAAAAUCCCAUUUUUCAGGAGGUUCCUGAAUAUAAAGUAAAAUCCCAUUUGUCAGGAGGGUCCUGAACAGAAAUUAAAAUUCUGUUUUCCAGGAGGGUCCUGAAUAGAAAGUAAAGUCUCAUUUUUCAGGAGGGUCCUGAACAAAAAUUAAAGUCCCAUUUUUCAGGAGGAACUGAACAUAAAGUAGAAUCUUAUUUUUCAGGAGGGUCCUGAACAUAAAGUAAAAUCUCAUUUUUCAGAAGGGUCCUAAAUAGAAGUAAAAUCCCAUUUUUUAGGAAGGUCCUGAACAAAAAUUAAAUUCCCAUUUUUCAGGAGGGUAUUGAACAUAAAGUAGAAUCUCAUUUUUCAGGAGGGUCCUGAACAUAAAGUAAAAUCUCAUUUUUCAAAAGGGUCCUAAAUAGAAGUAAAAUCCCAUUUUUCAGAAGGGUCCUGAACAUAAAGUAGAAUACCAUUUCUCAGGAGGGUCCUGAACAUAAAGUAAAAUUCUAUUUUUCAGGAGGGUCCUGAAUAUAAGGUAAAAUCCCAUUUUUCAGGAGGGUCUUGAAUAGAAGUAAAAUCCCAAUUUGCAUGAGGAUCAUGAAUAUAAAGAAAAAUCCCAUUUUGUAGGAGGGUCCUAAACAUAAAGUAGAAUCCCAUUAUUCAGCAGGGUCCAAAACAGAAGCAAAUUCUCAAUUUUUAGGAGGGUCCUGAGCAAAAAGUAAAAUUCUUUUUUCCAGGAGGGUCCUGAAUAGAAAGUAAAGUCUCAUUUUUCAGGAGGGUCCUGAACAAAAAUUAAAGCCCCAUUUUUCAGGAGGGUCCUGAACAGAAAGUAAAAUCCCAUUUUUUAGGAAGGUCCUGAAUAGAAAGUAUAAUCAAAUUUUUUAGGAGGGUCCUGAACAGAAAAUAAAAUCCUAUUUUUCAGGAGGAUCCUGAAUAGAAGUAAAAUCUCAUUUUUGAGGAGGGUUCUGAACAUAAAGUAAAAUCUCAUUUUUAGGAGGGUCCUGAACGUAAAGUAAAAUCCCAUUUUUCAGGAGGGUCCUGAAUAGAAGUAAAUUCCCAAUUUGCAUGAGGAUCAUGAACAUAAAGUAAAAUCCCAUUUUGAAGGAGGGUCCUGAACAUAAAGUAGAAUCCCAUUUAUCAGAAGGGUCCAAAACAGAAGCAAAAUCUCAGUUUUCAGGAGGGUCCUGAACAAAAGGUAAAAUUCUUUUUUCCAGGAGGGUCCUGAACAAAAAUUAAAGCACCAUUUUUCAGGAGGGUCCUGAACAGAAAGUAAAAUCCCAUUUUUUAGGAGGGUCCUGAACAGAAAGUAAAAUAAAAUGUUUAAGGAGGAUCCUGAAUAGAAAAUAAAUUCCUAUUUUUCAAGAGGGUCCUGAAUAGAAGUAAAUCUCAUUUUUCAGGAGGGUCCUGAACAUAAAGUAAAAUCUCAUUUUUAGGAGGGUCCUGAACAUAAAGUAAUAUCUCAUUUUUCAGGAGGGUCCUGAAUAGAAGUAAAAUCCCAAUUUACAGCAGGGUCAUGAACAUAAAGUAAAGUCCCAUCUUUUAGGAGGGUCCUGAACAUAAAGUAGAAUCUCAUUUUUCAAGAGGGUUCUGAAUAGAAGUAAAAUCCCAUUUUUCAGGAGGGUCCUGAAUAGAAAGUAAAAUUCUAUUUUCCAGGAGGGACCUGAAAGUCCCAUUUUUCAGGAGGGUCUUGGACAUAAAGUAGAAUCCUCUUUUUCAGAAGGGUCCUGAACAUAAAGUAAAAUCCCAUUUUUCAGGAGGGUCCUGAACAGAAAGUUAAAUCAAAUUUUUCAAGAGGGUCCUGAAUAGAAAGUAAAAUCCCAUUUUUCAGAAGGGUCCUGAACAUAAAGUAAAAUCCCAUUUUUCUGGAGGGUCCUGAACAGAAAGUAAAAUUCUGUUUUCCAGGAGGGUCCUGAACAGAAAGUAAAGUCUCAUUUUUCAGGAGGGUCCUGUACAAAAAUUAAAGUCCCAUUUUUCAGGAGGGUACUGAACAUAAAGUAGAAUCUCAUUUUUCAGGAGGGUCCUGAACAAAAAGUAAAAUCUCAUUUUUCAGAAGGGUCCUAAAUAGAAGUAAAAUCCCAUUUUUCAGGAGGUUCCUGAACAUAAAGUAAAGUCCCAUUUUUCAGGAGGAUCCCGAACAAAAAUUAAAGUCCCAUUUUUCAGGAGAGUACUGAACAUAAAGUAGAAUCUCAUUUUCAGGAGGGUCCUGAACAUAAAGUAAAAUCCCAUUUUUCAAAAGGGUCCUAAAUAGAAGUAAAAUCCCAUUUUUCAGGAGGGUCCUGAACAUAAAGUAAAAUUCUAUUUUUCAGGAGGGUCCUGAAUAUAAGGUAAAAUCCCAUUUUUUAGGAGGGUCCUGAAUAGAAGUAAAAUCCCAAUUUGCAUGAGGAUCAUGAACAUACAGUAAAAUCCCAUUUUGAAGGAGGGUCCUGAACAUAAAGUAGAAUCCCAUUUUUCAGGAGAGUCCAAAACAGAAGCAAAAUCUCAGUUUUCAGGAGGGUCCUGAACAAAAAUUAAAAUUCUUUUUUCCAGGAGGGUCCUGAACAAAAAUUAAAGCACCAUUUUUCAGGAGGGUCCUGAAUAGAAAGUAAAAUCCCAUUUUUUAGGGAGGUCCUGAACAGAAAGUAAAAUCAAAUUUUUCAGGAGGGUCCUGAAUAGAAAAUAAAAUCCUAUUUUUCAGGAGGGUCAUCAAUAGAAGUAAAAUCUCAUUUUUUAGGAGGGUCCUAAAUAGAAAGUAAAGUCCCAUUUUUUAGGAGGGUCCUGAACAUAAAGUAAAAUCCCAUUUUUCAGGAGGGUCCUGAAUAGAAGUAAAAUCCCAAUUUACAGCAGGGGCAUGAACAUAAAGUAAAGUCCCAUUUUUUAGGAGGGUCCUGAACAUAAAGUCGAAUCUCAUUUUUCAAGAGGGUCCUGAACAGAAGUAAAAUCCCAUUUUUCAGGAGGGUCCUGAACAGAAAGUAAAAUUCUAUUUUUCAGGAGGGACCUGAAAGUCCCAUUUUUCAAGAGGGUCCUGAACAAAAAUUAAAGUCCCAUUUUUCAGGAGGGUCUUGAACAUAAAGUAGAAUCCUCUUUUUCAGGAGGGUCCUGAACAUAAAGUAAAAUCCCAUUUUUCAGGAGGGUCCUGAACAGAAAGUUGAAUCAAAUUUUUCAAGAGGGUCCUGAAUAGUAAGUAAAAUCUCAUUUUUCUGGAGGGUCCUAAAUAGAAGUAAAAUCCCAUUUUUCAGGAGGUUCCUGAAUAUAAAGUAAAAUCCUAUUUUUCAGAAGGGUCUGAACAGAAAUUAAAAUUCUAUUUUCCAGGAGGGUCCUGAACAGAAAGUAAAGUCUCAUUUUUCAGGAGGGUCCUGAACAAAAAUUAAAGUUUCAUUUUUCAGGAGGGUACUGAACAUAAAGUAGAAUCCCAUUUUUCAGGAGGUCUUGAACAUAAAGUAAAAUCUCAUUUUUCAGAAGGGUCCUAAAUAGAAGUAAAAUCCCAUUUUUCAGGAGGGUCCUAAACAUAAAGUAAAGUCCCAUUUUUCAGGAGGGUCCUGAACAAAAAUUAAAGUCCCAUUUUUCAGGAGGGUACUGAACAUAAAGUAGCAUCUCAUUUUUCAGGAGGGUCCUGAACAUAAAGUGAAAUCCCAUUUUUCAAAAGGGUCCUAAAUAGAAGUAAAAUCCCAUUUUUCAGGAGGGUUCUGAACAUAAAGUAGAAUACCAUUUUUCAGGAGGGUCCUGAACAUAAAGUAAAAUUCUAUUUUUCAGGAGGGUCCUGAAUAUAAGGUAAAACCCAUUUUUCAGGAGGGUCCUGAAUAGAAGUAAAAUCCCAAUUUGCAUGAGAAUCAUGAAUAUAAAGUAAAAUCCCAUUUUGUAGGAGGGUCCUGAACAUAAAGUAGAAUCCCAUUUUUCAGGAGGGUCCAAAACAGAAGCAAAAUCUCAAUUUUCAGGAGGGUCCGGAACAAAAAGUAAAAUUCUUUUUUUCAGGAGGGUCCUGAAUAGAAAGUAAAGUCUCAUUUUUCAGGAGGGUCCUGAACAAAAAUUAAAGCCCCAUUUUUCAGGAGUGUCCUGAACAGAAAGUAAAAUCCCAUUUUUUAGGAGGGUCCUGAACAGAAAGUAAAAUCAAAUUUUUCAGGAGGGUCCUGAAUAGAAAAUAAAAUCCUAUUUUUCAGGAGGGUCGUAAAUAGAAGUAAAAUCUCAUUUUUCAGGAGUGUCCUGAACAUAAAGUAAAAUCUCAUUUUUAGAAGGGUCCUGAACAUAAAGUAAAAUCUCAUUUUUCAGGAGGGUCCUGAACAGAAAGUAAAAUUCUAUUUUUCAGGAGGGACCUGAAAUUCCCAUUUUUCAAGAGGGUCCUGAACAAAAAUUAAAGUCCCAUUUUUCAGGAGGGUUUUGAACAUAAAGUAGAAUCCUCUUUUUCAGGAGGGUCCUGAACAUAAAGUAAAAUUCCAUUUUUCAGGAGGGUCUUGAACAGAAAGUUAAAUCAAAAUUUUCAAGAGGGUCCUGAAUAUUAAGCAAAAUCUCAUUUUUCAGGAGGGUCCUAAAUAGAAGUAAAAUCCCAUUUUUCAGGAGGUUCCUGAAUAUAAAGUAAAAUUUCAUUUUUCAGGAGUGUCCUGAACAUAAAGCGGAAUUCCAUUUUUUAGAGGGUCCUAAACAGAAGUAAAAUCCCAAUUUUCAAGAGGGUCCUGAACAUAAAGUAAAAUCCCAUUAUUCAGGGGGGCCUUGAACAUAAAGUAAAAUAUCAUUUUUUUAGAAGGGCCUUGAAGAUAAAGUAAAAUCCCAUUUUUCAGGAGGGUCCUGAACAUAAAGUAGAAUCCCAUUUUUCAGGGGUCCUGAACAAAAGUAAAAUCUCAUUUUUCAGGAGGAUCCUAAACAUAAAGUAAAACCUCAUUUUUUAGGAGGGUCCUGAACAUAAAGUAAAAUCCCAUUUUUUAGGAGGGUCCUGAACAGAAAGUAAAAUUCUAUUUUUCAGGAAGGUCCUGAACAGAAUGUAAAAUUCCUCAUGGAUUUGUUUUUUCAAUGGUAACUGAAUUAAGUAAAGUGAAUUUGCCCCUGUUUCAACAAAGAAAAUUUGUCAGUUAAAAACUUAGUAGUGGCUUGCAGCACUUGCAUCCCAGGUAUCUGCUGCAACCGUUAUUCCUUUCACCUUUGUUUCAGAUUGCUGAAACUUGCCCCUGUCUUGUCGCAUCAUUCACCCGGAUUUAGAUUGAGGGGAAUGAGUUCUGACUCAAAUAAUGAAUUUCUAUUUUGCUAUGCCUCUGAGAUACACCCUUUUCCUAAUCUGAAUACUCCCAAGAAUCCCGCAGCCUGUCGGUUGAUAGACUUCCUUUACUUUGUGUUGAAUUACAAUCAUAUUUCUUUCAUGUGCUGAUCCUUGGCUUUUCCUCAUACAAUUGGAAAGAAUGGUAGCAAGUUUUGAAAUCAUUUCUCACCUGCUUUGACACAAACUUGAUAUAAAUGUAAAGAAAUGAUGACGAAUUUUAUUUUGAUAAAUGACCUAAAAAAAACAAAAUAUGAAUAUGUAAAUGAAAGAAAAGGGCAAUGUCCCUUAUUCAAAAAGAAAACCUAUCUAAAUACGGCAACCAACUCCAAUGAGUAUGACAUGCAAUUUGGAUUAAGCUGCCUGAUCUUCCUAUCCAAACUUCCCUAUUGUUGUUGAGUUCAUGCCUUUGCUGUUGAGCCGUUUCUUCAAAUCCAUUGGACUCAUAUAUCUCAUUCAAUUGAUGACAUCUUAAAAGACUUUCGCCAAUAAAUCUCUUUUUUUUUUCACUUUUCUCUCGAACUUGCCAUCGCCUAGGUGCCCAUAAGGGUUUUCACCAAUAAGACUCUCUCAUUUUUAUUUCUCUCGGCUCACCAUCGCCUUGUGGUGCCCGCAAGGAUUUUCACCAAUAAGACUCUCUUAUUUUUAUUUCUUUCCUGACUUAUUAUGCUGAGGAAGACAAGUAGUAGCCCACAAUGUAUCAUCAUAUCCAUUGCAUGCUUAGCCUUAACAUUAUCAAAGAUUGAUCUGAAGGUCUUUUUUGAUUGUAACUUAGUUUUUGGAUAAGGUUAGGAAGAAAAGAAUGGCAGGAGGCUCAAACGACACUUGAAGUGGGGGUGGGAUUUACAACUUUUGGAAUUAACUCAACAACAUAUUAUCUCAUGCCCCAGUUUUUUGUUGACUGGGUGACUCUAAAAUGGCUUAUUUGGUUGGACCGAGCCCUGAAUAGAGCAUCCUACGUAUCUCACUCCCAAGAGAGGAGAAUCAUAUCGCACGUAGUUCCAUCGGCUUGUUCUUUGUUUUGAUUUUAUUUUUUUCUCUCUUUUUUUCUUUUAUUUUCAAACUCUUUCUUUUAUUCUUAUUUUCCUGAUAUUUAUCUUUGACUCUAUUUUGAUUCCAAAAGAGAAAUGUGAAAGAAAAAUAAAACUAAGCUCAAACGGGUAAACAAAGGAUGACACAAUGUUUGGAUAGAAGAAUAAAAUGCCUUCAUCAUAUCAAUCUUCAAAAAUGUAAGUACUAAACAUGCAAUAAAAUCAACAAAGGAUAAAAUAUCAUACAUAAUAUCUUUUGACCGCAUCAGCAUUGAUAGCCAUUUUUGCCAUUUUGCCUCCAAUAUCUAUCAAAUAUAAGGCUCCAUUGGGCAACACUUUCUUCACAAUGAAGGGACCUUGCCAGUUUGGGGAGAACUUGCCUUUCGCUUCAACCUGGUGAGGAAGGAUACGCUUCAAUACCAACUGACCAACUUCAAAAUGCCUGGGUCAUACCUUCUUGUUAUAUGAUCGAUCCAUUUUCUUCUGAUACAAUUGGUCAUGACAUACCGAUGUUAGCCUUUUUUCCUCAAUCAAAAUCAAUUUUUUCCAAUCGGGUUUUGACUCACUCGUCAUCAUCAAUCUCUGCUUCCAAAAUGACUUGAAAAGAGUGAAUUUCAACUUCUACAGGAAUGACUACUUCUAUUCCAUACACCAAUAAAUAUGGAGUUUCCCCUAUUGAAGUGCGAACAUUAGUGCGAUAACCUAGCAAUGCAAAUGACAACUUCUCAAGCCAUUGUCUAGACCCUUGUACCAUUUUUCAUAGUAUCUUCUUGAUAUUUUUAUUUGCCGAUUCCACUGUGCCAUUAGCCUUUGGACGAUAUGGAGUGGAAUUUCAUUGUGCGAUCUUAAACUGUUGACACAUUUCUUGCAUCAAAUGACUAUUGAGAUUGGCAGCAUUGUCUGUAAUGAUCAUCUUUGGAAUUCCAAACCUACAAAUAAUAUUGGCAUGAAAAAAAUCUACCACCGCUUUCUUUAUUACUGACUUGAAAGUUACUGCUUCUACCCACUUUGUAAAGUAAUCGAUGGCUACCAAAAUAAAUCUAUGCCCAUUUGACGCUUUUGGCUCAAUCGGCCCAAUCAUGUCCAUCCCCCAAGCUACGAAAGGCCAUGGAGUAGACAUUUCGUGCAAUUCAAUGGUAGGAGAAUGUAUCAGAUCACCGUGUACCUGACAUUGAUGACAUUUUCGAACAAAACGAAUAAAAUCCCGCUCCAUAGUAAGCUAAUAAUAACCUGCUCGAAGUAUCUUCUUUGACAAGACAUAACCGUUCAUAUGCAGCCCGCAUACUCCAGAGUGUAUUUCAACCAUGAUCGUCGAGGCUUCUCUUGCAUCUACACACCUCAAAAGUCCCAGAUCCGGGGUUUUCUUAUACAAGAUUCCCCCACUUAAGAAAACUCCACUAGCCAAACACCUAAUAGUCCUAUUUUGAUCAUUGGUGGCAUGUGUUGGNNNNNNNNNNNNNNNNNNNNNNNNNNNNNNNNNNNNNNNNNNNNNNNNNNNNNNNNNNNNNNNNNNNNNNNNNNNNNNNNNNNNNNNNNNNNNNNNNNNNNNNNNNNNNNNNNNNNNNNNNNNNNNNNNNNNNNNNNNNNNNNNNNNNNNNNNNNNNNNNNNNNNNNNNNNNNNNNNNNNNNNNNNNNNNNNNNNNNNNNNNNNNNNNNNNNNNNNNNNNNNNNNNNNNNNNNNNNNNNNNNNNNNNNNNNNNNNNNNNNNNNNNNNNNNNNNNNNNNNNNNNNNNNNNNNNNNNNNNNNNNNNNNNNNNNNNNNNNNNNNNNNNNNNNNNNNNNNNNNNNNNNNNNNNNNNNNNNNNNNNNNNNNNNNNNNNNNNNNNNNNNNNNNNNNNNNNNNNNNNNNNNNNNNNNNNNNNNNNNNNNNNNNNNNNNNNNNNNNNNNNNNNNNNNNNNNNNNNNNNNNNNNNNNNNNNNNNNNNNNNNNNNNNNNNNNNNNNNNNNNNNNNNNNNNNNNNNNNNNNNNNNNNNNNNNNNNNNNNNNNNNNNNNNNNNNNNNNNNNNNNNNNNNNNNNNNNNNNNNNNNNNNNNNNNNNNNNNNNNNNNNNNNNNNNNNNNNNNNNNNNNNNNNNNNNNNNNNNNNNNNNNNNNNNNNNNNNNNNNNNNNNNNNNNNNNNNNNNNNNNNNNNNNNNNNNNNNNNNNNNNNNNNNNNNNNNNNNNNNNNNNNNNNNNNNNNNNNNNNNNNNNNNNNNNNNNNNNNNNNNNNNNNNNNNNNNNNNNNNNNNNNNNNNNNNNNNNNNNNNNNNNNNNNNNNNNNNNNNNNNNNNNNNNNNNNNNNNNNNNNNNNNNNNNNNNNNNNNNNNNNNNNNNNNNNNNNNNNNNNNNNNNNNNNNNNNNNNNNNNNNNNNNNNNNNNNNNNNNNNNNNNNNNNNNNNNNNNNNNNNNNNNNNNNNNNNNNNNNNNNNNNNNNNNNNNNNNNNNNNNNNNNNNNNNNNNNNNNNNNNNNNNNNNNNNNNNNNNNNNNNNNNNNNNNNNNNNNNNNNNNNNNNNNNNNNNNNNNNNNNNNNNNNNNNNNNNNNNNNNNNNNNNNNNNNNNNNNNNNNNNNNNNNNNNNNNNNNNNNNNNNNNNNNNNNNNNNNNNNNNNNNNNNNNNNNNNNNNNNNNNNNNNNNNNNNNNNNNNNNNNNNNNNNNNNNNNNNNNNNNNNNNNNNNNNNNNNNNNNNNNNNNNNNNNNNNNNNNNNNNNNNNNNNNNNNNNNNNNNNNNNNNNNNNNNNNNNNNNNNNNNNNNNNNNNNNNNNNNNNNNNNNNNNNNNNNNNNNNNNNNNNNNNNNNNNNNNNNNNNNNNNNNNNNNNNNNNNNNNNNNNNNNNNNNNNNNNNNNNNNNNNNNNNNNNNNNNNNNNNNNNNNNNNNNNNNNNNNNNNNNNNNNNNNNNNNNNNNNNNNNNNNNNNNNNNNNNNNNACAUUAUCUGCACAGACCUCAAUCUUCUUAUGCAUCAUAUCAUGAAACAUAGUGGUCAUGGCUCUCAUGUAUGUUGCUCCAGCAUUUUUCAAACCAAACGGCAUCACUCGAUAACAAUAGGUCCCCCAUAGUGUGAUAAAAGAUGUCUUCUCCGCAUCUUUAUCAUCCAUAAUUAUCUGGUGGUAUCCGGCAUAGCAAUCCAUAAAAGAGGCAACCUCAUGUUUAGCAUAGUUGUCCAGCAAAAUAUGGAUGUUGGGCAGCGGAAAAUCAUCUUUCGAAUUUGCUCUGUUCAAAUCACGAAAUCAAUACAUACUCGAAUUUUGCCAUCUUUCUUUGGGACAGGAACAACAUUGGAUAACCAUGUGGGAUAACGAGCCACUCGAAUUACAUUGGCUUCAAGUUGUUUUAUAAUUUUCUCUUUGAUUUUAAAACUUACAUCAGUUUUAAACUUCCUCGAUUUCUGUUUGACAGGAGGGAAUGCGGGAUCAGUUGACAAUUUAUAAGCCACUAAUUCAGUGCUUAAACCAGACAUAUCAUCAUAAGACCAUGCAAAAACAUCCUUAUAAUAAAUUAAUGCUUGAAUCGUUCCAUUUUUUAACUGUGGCAAAGCAUGUACACUGAUUUUAGUUUCCCUAACAUCUUCUUGAUUCCUUAGAUUAAUUGGCUCAGUUUCAUUCAAAUUAGGAUUCGGCUUGUCUUCAAACUGUUCCCACUCUUUGUUUAUUUCUUCUAGUUCCUCUUCUUCAUCAUAUUCCCCCUCUUGCUUUAUUAUAUCUUGAUUAGUUUGGAUUUUAAGAUCAGGCUGAAAAUUCCGCAUGCAUGUCAUGUCAUUAGAAUCAGCAUAAAGAGAACUAUAUAAAGAAAGAGACAAAAACAAAAUGUAUUAGACACAAAAUAAGAGAGACAUUGCAUUUCAUUUAAAAGGGAAAAAUAGGAGGGUUUAAACACAAACAACAGAAUAUAAACAAGCUAAAUUCUGAAAUACAACCCUGGAAUAACUCGGAUAAACAGAAAGAAAAACAAAUGAACUACCAAAACUCCCUUCUAACAGGGAGAGGAGUGACUUCCCAAAUGUUGAGGCGGACAGCUGGGCCUAUGAACUGCACACCUGCCUUACUUGGUACCUUCUCCUGCUUCAACCAUAUCAACUUCAAUAAAAAGGUUCUGGAAGUCAUCAACCAAUUUAGCUUCAAAUCCUACAUGCUUCGUGACACCGCUCUUAACAAAUGAUUCACUGAGUAAUGGCAUUGGGUGAGGGAGUGACCAUGUUUCCUUUUUCCUUCCCUUGGCUUUCUUCAGAUCUUCAGCCAUAGGAUCAAAUCCCAGACCAAAAGUGCCAUGUUCUCACUCGAACAUAUGGGACGAACUAUACCGUGCAGAGACGCUCCCAAACCCCUUCCUAGCUUGAAUCCAUAUUUCAAAAGUUCACUUACCAUCAUGAUAGAAGCAGAAGACAAUUAUGGUCCCGGUAUAACCUGCCCUUCUAGGAUAGAUUUCAUAUCCUUGAGUGUAUCCGGGAUUAUCUAAACCUGUCCUGAGAGUAUCCACGCCCUGCCAUGUGCAUUACUCCAGAAUUGCUCAUACUUGAUCUCACCCCUGGCUUGGUACCUAAAGUACUCCACAUCCUUUUGAAAGUCCACUAUUGGCGAAACAUCUUGCACUCUACCCAAUUGACGCAUUACCCUAAGAGGAGUGUAUGGUCGGGUACAAUUAAGCCCCAACAAAACUAGAUGGGGAGUAUGCUAGAUCCAACCAAGAUUACUUUCGGUCGGAACAAUAGAUAGGUCCACAAGACAUUGCUAUCUGUUCUUAGUUCAAGAAACUCAACCAAAGCGUCGACUUCUAUAGGUAAUGAGAAUUUAGCAAAACCCAUUCUAUGUUCUAUGGUUUCGACUUGACUAGGCAGAGAAUGGUCAGUCAUAUCAGAUUUAAGCAAAGAAGGGGCGUGCAAAUGCUCCAUCAUCCAUAGUUGUAACACUAGGUUGCUCCCCUCAAAAAAUUGCAUACCCCCUUUUAUCUCGGUCAAAGCUUUGUAUAUUUCCACCAAGAUCAGAAGCACGAUAGUGACCUUGUCUCCCUUAUCCUUGUUAAAUAAGGCCAUCGCUACAAAUUGCAAUUGAGUAUUAAUACGCCUAUCUUCCAAAGGGAAUACCAAAGUGCCUAACAGAACAAAGGAGAAGACUUCAAGGCGAUGCUCCCAAUUCUUCUUAGUUGUAUAAAAUUCAUCCCAAAAACAAUCAAAACCUUCUAGGAGGCCAAACUGAGCAUACAAGUAAUCUAAAGAGAUCCAAGAUUGGUUAAGGCAACCUAGAUGGUCAUUAACGUUCAACCCAUAACAGUGGAGAAACCUAUUGGGAGAAUGACACCGCGCUCGAAUCAUCAUCUUUUUAAUGUAGGGCAAUUUAAAUAAUCCAGAUAUCUCCGCCAAGGUAGGUGUCAUUUCACAACUCCCAAGCCUAAAAACUAGACAAGUUGGAUCCCAAAAAGUCAAUGCAGCCUCGAUCAAUUUUGGAUGGGGCAUGAUAGACAAGAAAGAAGUGAGAGUGCCUAGCUUCUUUGAUAACUCAUGCCUUUUGGAGUAGUUAAACGUGCCCCACCACUUGAUUAACUUCUUGGGCACUUUAGAAACCAUUAGGACUUUACACCUUGGAGGCAGAUCCAUCUUGUAACAACACACAAGACUUAUGAUCUAACAAUUGAUAAAAGGGGAGAAGUUCCCGGCCCUCGAGAUUUGGACACGGACAGGUUAUCAUGCAGAAACAAACCACUUUAGACUCAGAUUAAAACAAAUGGUACCACUAAGUGCGGUCAGCCUACUUGGCCAAGCGGUCAGCCUACUUGGCCAAGAUUAACCGACGACUCUAGUCCAGACUAGAAAGGAGGAGACCCCAAGCUAGGACUAAGAUAGUGACCAAAAUAAAAUUUUACUGGACCCACCGAGGGUUGCCUACGUAUCCGGCCCCGAAGUAUGAGAGAUACAUGUAUCCCGCCUCGAAGGACGAGAAUCAGGUACGCGUAGUACACAAUCAAUGUGCAUAACUUAAAUCAUUCAUAAGUAAUUUCCUUCCAGUUUAAUAAUAUGAAGUAAGAACUACGGAAAUAGGCUCACCAAAAUUUUGUAAAAUGUAUUUCAUUGAACAAGUAACCAAUAAGGAGUAUAAAUGUAAACUGUACAACAACAAAAACACACCCAACGUAAUCCCGUAAGCGGGUUUUGAGGAGAAUGGUAUGUACACAACUUUACCUCUACUUUAUGAAGAUGGAGAGGUUGUUUCCAAUGGAUUCUCGACCCAAGUAAAGCAAUAUAGCUAUAAAUUGCAUUGAUACUAAUUAGUUGAGGAAAAAAAGAAUUGGCUUAAGAUUAUUUCACCCAAAUAGUAGAUCUAAUCAUACUACUACUUAUUUUUCCCCUGUUAUUCCUCUGCCGGCCAUAAAAUGGAAAUUCAAAAUAUACAUAUGACUUACCAAUUCUGUUGAUGCCUUCUACGUUGAGGUGAAAUAUCAGGUGAUACAUAAACAGUUUGAUCCAAAAUUGUGCGAACUUUAACAUGAUAUGAUAUUAUCUGCUUUGGGUCAAACACACACGAAUGUUUUCAAAAUGCCUCACAUAACUAAGAAUAUUCAACACCUAAUAAUUAAGGUACUUUUCUUUUAAAUUAUCAAUCUGAAAUUUUGUUCACACACCAAACCAAAAUAUAUACCACUCUAUGUGAAACAAUUCAAUACAGGUGUUACAAACUUGAUUUUCUUCUAAAGUUAUGAUGUUUUUUUUAAAAAAAUUAAAAGUUGUGAGAAAGAAAGCAGCAAAUUGUUACUAUUUUUUUAUUUUUUUUUUUAAAAUAUCCCAUUUGUCUGUAUGUAAACUUUGAGAUAAGGACGAUUGAGUGUGACGUUAGGGGUUAAAAUUCUUGCGGCCAUCCAUUUUGAAAUGUCAAGAACCACAUAAUCCAAUGGUUACCAUUCCUCAAAGAUGAGGUUUGCGAGCUAUUUUUGUCGGUUAGUUUGGAAAAAGAUGUGAAGCCUUAUCACUAUAUAGAUAGAGGGGUUGCUACAGAGCCAACAACCCUCUUGAAAUUAAAGGUUAAGGAAAGCAUAGCAGUAGCUUUAAGCUAAGCACUUAAUUUUCAGCAAUGGCUUCUUCAGUGAUGUCCACAGCAACUGUUGCCACCGGCGCCAAUGCUGCACAAGCCAGCAUGAUUGCAUCCUUCAAUGGCCUUAAAUCCGCAGCCUCUUUUCCUGUUACAAGAAAGCAAGACCUUGACAUCACCUCCAUUGCUAGCAAUGGUGGAAGAGUCCAAUGCAUGCUGGUUCGUAAUAUUGGAUUUAACUUAUAUACACUGACACAGUACAAGGAAUUUAAAACUAAUUGUAGUAGGUUAUCUGCCUUAAAUUUUUAAUUGUCAAGUUACUAAUCUCAGUUAUUAUGAACAAUUGUGUCCGUAUGUCAUUCCAAAAUUUAAUCUACACUAUUAUUUUGCCUUAAUUUCACCAAAUAUAAUUAUGUACAUAGGAAAGGAUAAAUUUCACUGACCCUGUUUUAGAUUUAACGUGUUACCUCCUCUCUUGAAGCUUGUUUAGCUAAUUAUUUACGUGAUAUGUGUAUAGGUAUGGCCACCAAUUAACAAGAAGAAGUACGAGACUCUUUCAUACCUUCCUGAUUUGUCCGACGAGCAAUUGCUCAAGGAAAUUGAGUACCUUUUGCAAAAGGGAUGGGUUCCUUGUUUGGAAUUCGAGACUGAGGUUAACAUCUCUCUGUUCUUAAAAUAUAUGAUAAUUAAUAACAACUAAUUAGUAAUAUGUUAUGUUGAUGUUGUGGAUGUGUACAGCACGGAUUUGUGUACCGUGAGCACCACAGGUCACCUGGAUACUACGAUGGCAGGUACUGGACCAUGUGGAAGUUGCCCAUGUUCGGGUGUACUGAUGCUACCCAGGUCUUGAAUGAAGUCCAGGAGGCAAAGAAGGCUUACCCACAGGCCUGGAUCCGUAUCAUCGGAUUCGACAACGUUCGUCAAGUGCAGUGUAUCAGUUUCAUCGCCUACAAGCCCGAAGGCUACUAAAUUAUCCAUGUUUAAUGUAUAACCUGGCCCUAUGUCUUUAAGGGAAGCUCGUUUGAAUCCUCCUCAAGUUUUUCCCUGGAGAAACUGUAUUGAUUUUCCAUUGUUUUCCUUUUCUCUAUUCAGUGUAUGCUCUUGGAUUCCAGUUGAGUUUAUGAGAACUAAUAAUAAUAAUCAUUUGUUUCUUUGCUUAUUUGCCUUAUGAGACAUGAUUUCUGGUGCAUAUAUAUAUAUAUAUGAAAUGUUUAUGCUCUGCACCAACUACAUUUUUUGUCAGGCAGUCUUGUACAAUUAUAUUCAAUUCAAUGUACAAUUAUGAUAUAAGGCGAUAUGGAUAGAGAAGAUUUAUUAUCCAGCCGAUUCUAACUAGUCUUGCAUUGAGGCAUAGUGGAUUGAUGGGCGAAACCGACAGCAUACAUACAUUACGUUUUUAGUUAUAGCACAAACUUAUGGAGAAAUUGUCCGUAACUUUCAUAAUAAUGAUUGCUAAUCGACACAAUUGACAAGUUAUCUGUUACCGUGAUCUAUUUUGCUAUGCCAUGAAUUUCUUUCCCCUUUUGAUUAUCAUAUCUUCUAUAUGUAUAUAUAGCUCCGAAUCGAUGUAACAUACCAAUUACCAACUACAUUUGACAUUAUUAUAAGACAACUCUUUCACCGUAGAAGAAUCUCAGUUUUCCCUCACCAUAAUUAAGGAAGUGGCGAUAAAAGGAUCAUGUCCAAACCUUUUUUAUUAAAGAACAAAAUUGUGAAAAACCUAUUAUCUACUCCCAAAAUCUCAAAAUUAAACGAUGAAGCCAUAAAAAUUUGGGAUAACUACAAUCCAACCUUUGGAUAAUCUAGUUUACGAAAUAGCCGGUAAAUGUAUAUGUUUGUUAUAUCUUAUAAGUAAUACGAUACAAACAUACAAAUAGAGUACACAUAAUCAAUGUAUAAAUUUUAUAUAAUUCGACCAUAUUGGUAAAUAAAUUUGUCAAACUGUACGUAUUGAUAAAUUCUCCUAAUAAUUUCAAUCAAAUAAAGCUUCAUAUCCUCCUAUUUUUUUUUUUAUAUAUAUUUUUUUGUACUCGUCCACCAUAAUGGCGUUCCUUGGCUAGUCAUAAGGCCCAUAACGGCAAGGGGUUCAUGCAUGACGUUGACAUGUGUGGCCAUGCUAACAACUAGAUAGAACUAAAAAUGGAAAAAUUUCAGAAAUAACUAUAGAGUCUUAAUUGUACCUUUAUAGCAACAGUUUUAUAAUUACGAAAAAUAGCAAAUUAUAUUUUGUAUUUAAAUAAACUGUUGCUAUACAAAUACAUAUACAACAAGAUUUACUGUCCUUGUUUUACUCAAAUUAGUUGAGUUAAAUAAGGAAUAAUUAUCCUAUCUAAUUAAAUUUCCAUACAUUACUCUUAUUUAAAUUAGUAGAUUUCUUUUCCAACAAACUCAAAUAUGAAGAUUAUUAUUUACAUGUUCUUCAAAAUUUCAAAAUAUUAUUCUCUUAUAUCUCUAACUAUUUUUUCUUGUUAGUUUUUUCAUUUUUUUUUAAUAUUUUUUUUAAUUUUAAUUUCUUUUUCAUUUUUUGUUCCACUUUAUUUUCUCUCUUCUACUUCUUUUUUCUUUUUUUCAUUUUUCAUUUUUUUAUUUACUUUUUUCUUUUUUUCGUUUUCAUUCUUUUUUUUUUUUUCCCUUUUCACUUCUUUUUUUUUUUUGAAUUUUUAUUUUUCGUUUUUAUUUUUUUCUAUUUUUUUUCUUUUUUUUACUCUUCUAUCUCUAUCUUUUAUUUUUAAAAGACAAAUAUUUAUAUCAUAUAUAUGUAUAUUCAAAAAAUAUACAAAAUAAAAAGACAUACUGAUCUGCAUAUGUAUUUACUAUAAAAAAAAACAUACAUAUGUAUCUGCAUAUGUAUUUACAGAAAUGCGUAUCUGACUUACAUGUAUAUAUAAACAUAUAUGACACAAUUUCUAUAACAAAAAUGACAAUUAUAUGCAUAUACAUAUAAAUAAUAAAAAAAUACAUGACACAUAUCUUAAACAGUAAAAGAAAAUAAAUAAGUACGUAUGUUACCUUCUAAAAUGACAUAGUAUGUACAGUUCAAAGACAAAUUCAACACCGUAUAAAAUACAUAUAGCUCUGCAUAUGUAUUUAUAGAAUACAUACUUGAUCCAUAUGUAUAUUCUUAUUUUAUUUGAGUUACCUUUGUAUUUUGCAAAUACAUAUGAAGAUAUAUAAUAUAGUUAUGUUCAUUACUGUUUAAUAUGAAUAUGAUAUGUAUUUCGUAAAUAAUAUGUAUGUUUUGUACUGAAAUACAUAUAUAGAUUUGUAUGACUAUGUAUUUUGUAUGUUUUUGAUUAUGUGUAUGUGAUAUACAUAUUUGUCUUUCUAAAAUAAAAGUUAGAAAUAGAAAAAAAAUUAUAUAAAAAGAAAAAACGAAAAAAAGAGAAGUGAAAACAGAAAAAAAAAUGAAUGAAAGAGAAAUAGAAGUAUAAAAAUAAAAGAAAAAAAAACAAAAUAAAUUAGAAAAAAUAAGAAAAAAACGAAAAUAGAAAAAGAGAAAAAAAGAUAUGAGAAAGAAAAAAAAAAGAAAACGAAAAGAAAAAAAAAGAAAUAGAAAAGAGAAAAUAAAGUGAAAAUAAAAAAAUGAAAAAGAAAUCAAAAUAAAAUAAUAAAAAAAUAAGAUAAAAAAACUAAUAAGAAAAAAAAAGGUAGAAAUAUAAGAGAGUGAAAGAUGGUAAUGAUGUUUUAUAUUGAAAUCUUGAAAAUCGUGGAGAUAAUUAUCUUCAAAUAUGAAAAAGCAAAAAAAAGAAAAAAAUGAAAAAGAAAAAAAAAAGAGAAAUAAAAGAAAGAAAAUAAAUUGAAAAUGAAAAAAUGAAAAUAACAUAAAAUAAAAAAAUAAAAUGAUAAAAAAUAAGAAGAAAAAAAAGGGGUAAAAGAUAGCUAUAUUUGAUGGAGGUGAAAUAGUGGAGUAAAGAUAGAAAAAUGUAAAGUAAUGAGAGUAAAACAUGUACUUCAAAAAUAUUAUUGUUUAUUAUAAUUAUAGUUUUAAAUAUGCUACUUUCUGUAAUUUUCCCCCUAAAAUUUUGUUGUUUCCUUUUGUUGCCUUCUACUAAAGUUAAUGUGAAAUAUCAGGUGAUUCGAAAUCAAUUUGGCCCAACUAGGUUUCCCUUUCUAUAGGUAAUAAUAUCACAUUUCUCCUAAAAGAGAAAUACGCACCACCAAAAAUGUAGCAGACAAAUCAUAUUAAUAAGAAUACUCCUAAGAAUGGUUACUUAAUUACCUAAUUUGCAGUUGAUCUCAAAGUGAUUCUGUUUUAUUGAUACCAUUGAUGCACAAAGUUUAUUAAGCAACGCAUGUAUGUAACUUCAUAAUUUUUUUUUAUGUUGUUGAUGCUUCUUGAUUCAUAAUAGUUAAUUAAGCAUCGCUCUUGAGUAACUUAAUAAUUUUUUUGACACUAAUAAUGCACAAAAGUUAAUUAAGUACCGCAUUAGAAUAACUUCAUAGUACUUUUUUGACACUCUUAUUGCGCAAUAGUUAAUUAAGCAUCGUUUUUGAUAACUUCAUAAUUUUAUUGACACUAUUGAUGCACAAAAGUUAAUCAAGCACCACAUUUAAGUACCUUUAUAAUUUUUUUUGACACUAUUGAUGCACAAAACUUAAUUAAGCAUCACAAUCUUAAGUAACUUCAUAAUCAUUUUGACACUGAUGAUACACAAAAGUUAAUUAAACACCGCUUUUUAAUCAACUUUAUACCUUUCUUUGGUACAAAAUUAAUUAAUCACCACUUUUAAGUAACUACAUGCAGUAAUAUUUAUUAAGUUCCCAAUCUCAUCGAUCCUCUAUCCAUGCUUUACUUUUUGUUGCCUAUUUCUUAUGUACUAGCUUUUCGUUAGUCCAGUUUCAGGAUUGUAGGAAGAAAAACAUUAUUGGUUUUCAUUAAUUACUUUCUCUGUCUCAAAUUAUCCGUUCCAAAUUUUCUAAUUUGAUUUCUCAUUUUACUUGUAUUUUUUCAUUAAUCAAGAAGAGACAANNNNNNNNNNNNNNNNNNNNNNNNNNNNNNNNNNNNNNNNNNNNNNNNNNNNNNNNNNNNNNNNNNNNNNNNNNNNNNNNNNNNNNNNNNNNNNNNNNNNNNNNNNNNNNNNNNNNNNNNNNNNNNNNNNNNNNNNNNNNNNNNNNNNNNNNNNNNNNNNNNNNNNNNNNNNNNNNNNNNNNNNNNNNNNNNNNNNNNNNNNNNNNNNNNNNNNNNNNNNNNNNNNNNNNNNNNNNNNNNNNNNNNNNNNNNNNNNNNNNNNNNNNNNNNNNNNNNNNNNNNNNNNNNNNNNNNNNNNNNNNNNNNNNNNNNNNNNNNNNNNNNNNNNNNNNNNNNNNNNNNNNNNNNNNNNNNNNNNNNNNNNNNNNNNNNNNNNNNNNNNNNNNNNNNNNNNNNNNNNNNNNNNNNNNNNNNNNNNNNNNNNNNNNNNNNNNNNNNNNNNNNNNNNNNNNNNNNNNNNNNNNNNNNNNNNNNNNNNNNNNNNNNNNNNNNNNNNNNNNNNNNNNNNNNNNNNNNNNNNNNNNNNNNNNNNNNNNNNNNNNNNNNNNNNNNNNNNNNNNNNNNNNNNNNNNNNNNNNNNNNNNNNNNNNNNNNNNNNNNNNNNNNNNNNNNNNNNNNNNNNNNNNNNNNNNNNNNNNNNNNNNNNNNNNNNNNNNNNNNNNNNNNNNNNNNNNNNNNNNNNNNNNNNNNNNNNNNNNNNNNNNNNNNNNNNNNNNNNNNNNNNNNNNNNNNNNNNNNNNNNNNNNNNNNNNNNNNNNNNNNNNNNNNNNNNNNNNNNNNNNNNNNNNNNNNNNNNNNNNNNNNNNNNNNNNNNNNNNNNNNNNNNNNNNNNNNNNNNNNNNNNNNNNNNNNNNNNNNNNNNNNNNNNNNNNNNNNNNNNNNNNNNNNNNNNNNNNNNNNNNNNNNNNNNNNNNNNNNNNNNNNNNNNNNNNNNNNNNNNNNNNNNNNNNNNNNNNNNNNNNNNNNNNNNNNNNNNNNNNNNNNNNNNNNNNNNNNNNNNNNNNNNNNNNNNNNNNNNNNNNNNNNNNNNNNNNNNNNNNNNNNNNNNNNNNNNNNNNNNNNNNNNNNNNNNNNNNNNNNNNNNNNNNNNNNNNNNNNNNNNNNNNNNNNNNNNNNNNNNNNNNNNNNNNNNNNNNNNNNNNNNNNNNNNNNNNNNNNNNNNNNNNNNNNNNNNNNNNNNNNNNNNNNNNNNNNNNNNNNNNNNNNNNNNNNNNNNNNNNNNNNNNNNNNNNNNNNNNNNNNNNNNNNNNNNNNNNNNNNNNNNNNNNNNNNNNNNNNNNNNNNAAUUAAUUAAACACCGACACUGAUGAUACACAAAAAUUAAUUAAACACCGCUUUUUAAUCAACUUUAUACCUUUCUUUGGUACAAAAUUAAUUAAUCACCACUUUUAAGUAACUACAUAGUAAUAUUUAUUAAGUUCCCAAUCUCAUCGAUCCUCUAUCCAUGCUUUACUUUUUGUUACCUAUUUCUUAUGUACUAGCUUUUUGUUAGUCCAGUUUCAGGAUUGUAGGAAGAAAAAGAUUAUUGGUUUUCAUUAAUUACUUUCUCCGUCCCAAAUUAUCCAUCCCAAAUUUUCUAAUUUGAUUUCUCAUUUUACUUGUAUUUUUUCAUUAAUCAAGAAGAGACAAUUUUUUUUUUCCAUAUUUUACCCUUUGCAUUAAUUACUUUUUCUUCAAAUUAAAAUGUAAACAUCAUUUAAUAGGUGUAUUACAAUAAAUUAGAUAUGUUAUUAAUUAUUUUUCUUAAUCAAUAUGUCAUCACUAUUUAGGACGGAUAAUUUGGGAGGGAGAAAGUAUCUCAUUGUCAAAUUGGGGAGUAAAAAUAACAACACAAUGACAAAAUUGUCUAAUUCUCAUUCAAAACCAAAUUAAACCCCAAAUUUACGAAAUUAAGGUACGUAGCUUGUUUAUUUAUUUGAUACAACUGUUCACAUAUCUACACUUGUUUAAGUAGGUGGUAAAAAGCCUCAAAUGGAGAGACUUUAAACACUGCUCUUAGGUAAUGUCAUAAUUUUAUUUUAUUUUUUGAUGUAAUUGGUGCACAAAGUCUAUUAAACAUUGUUUUUAAGUAAAUACAUAAAUUUAUUGGUAUUGUUGGUGUACAAAAGUUAAUUAACCACCAUUUUAAGUAAUUAUAUUUUGGAUUUAUUGGUGCACAAAAGUUAAUAAAACACCAUUUUUGUGUAACUUCCUAACUUUGUGACACGAUUGUUGCACAAAAGUUAAUCAAGGUCCACAAUUAAGUGUCACACCCCUUUUUUUAACUCCAAAAUGAUUUGUUUUAAGGUUUCGAAAAGGUUUUUAUUAUUAACGUGACAAAAUAAAGAUUUGUUUCGAAAAAAGAUUAUUUUUAUAUUCAAACUCAGAGUCGCUACUUGACAUAAUCCGAUGUGCCAAGUCACCUUUGGAAAAUCCUUUUCAAAAUGAUUUGACUCUUUAAACUGGUUUGCGAACAGAGAUUCUGGCUAAGGAAUUCUGUUGACCGAGGGAAAGGUGUUAGGCAUCCCCCGAUCCCGUGGUUCGGCCAUAGUUGCUUGGUAGAACGUAUCGGCUAAUUUGACACUACGAAUGUACAAACCACAAAGGAGCACGUAAAGCAAUCAAACAAACAUACCAGGUAAAACGAAUAAAAGUAUAGUGUUCAGUCCAAUUAUACAGUUCCAAAAUAAAAAUACAAAAAUAAAUCCUAUCUAACCUAUACUAAUCCUAACUACGCUCCCAAACUUUACCCGAUGCCUCAGGCCUUCCUCACGAACAUCUUCCAUCAACAUAGUACGUCGGGGUAUACCCCGGUGAAUAACUACAAUGUGUCUCGAGGCAUUCUCCGGCUAAAUGAUACAUUCGAUCCAAAAGCAACAAAACCAAACCAUUCAACACGCAUUUCAAGCAUUCAAUAAUUCAACGAGCAAAACACUUAUUCCUAAAUAUUUGCCUACCCAAACCUACUUAUAGCUAUUCAUUCGAUGGCCUAACAUGAUGCUAUCCAAUUCGACAAUAUUCAGUAAUGAAUUAAAAUAAACAACCUUCGACUUAUUCGAUUAUUAAUUUUCGAUCCCGACCCCCAAAUUCAUUAUUAAUGAUUAAACCAAUUCUAUACACAUUUCAUCAAUCAAGUUUUCAACUCCAAAUUCAACAUCAAACAAACAAACAACGAGGAUUCGUAUAUGCUCAAACACAAAUCAUUCGUGAUCACGGGAAAAUAAAAAAAAGGAAGAAGUUGGAAUUGGACCUCAAAGAGCUUUCGAUUGACUUAAUAAAAGAAAUAAGAGCCCGUCCAAGAACCUCGAAGAACGCCAACGUAAGCCCAAUCCUCCAAAUCAAUCGAGAAACAAUCCAAGAAUGCAAUAAAACUCCAAAUUUCAAUCCGAACCAAAUAUAUCUAUGAGUGAAAUCGAUGAACAAAGCUAGACCAAACACUUAAGUAUCGCACGAAUCAACCAAAAUCAGCCAAGAACGACGAAAAACCAAACUAGAAUUUCCAAUCAACAAAAAAAGAAAAUGGAAGAACCGAACCAACUAGACCAAGUUUUCAGCGAGCUGAGACAACGGCAGAAGGCUUAAACUCCAAAAAUCUAACAUUUUCUGGGGAGAUUUCUUCUUUAAAAGAAGAGAAAAAAAUGAGAAGAUUUGAGAGUUUUGAGACCGGUUUAUAUGAACGACGAGCGGAGGAAAUGAUUUCGGUGAAGCUAUUGCUAGAACAGUAACCCAAAACCUCCCUUUUCUAUUACGGGAUGGAGAUAUAUAUGGGUAUGUGUAUGUAAAAAUGGAGUUGAAUAGAGGUUGGGGGGUCUGUGUGUUUAUCUCCAAGAGCAAAAAAAAAAUUCCUUCUUUUUCUUAGUGAGUAUAAGUGUAUAGCUAUGGUGAGGUAUGAAUCAAUUCAAUCCAAAAAAAAAAAAUGACGAGUAUCUGUAUGGUUUCAUGGGUGGGUCUUGUGAAUGGAGAGCUUUUUUUUUUUUUUUAGAAAGUUUGUUAGAGAAAAGAAAUAAAAAUGUGGGGUAAAGUAAAGGGGGUAUGGGGUGGGGUAGGUGAAAUUUCCUGGAAGUUACCUAGGUUUGUGUAUUUUCUUUAUGGCCAAGAAAAGGGAGGGAGUCACGUGGGUGGGGGUUAGGAGAAGGGUGAGGUGUUGUUUUUUAAUUGGAGGGGUAAGGGUUAGGUGUUUUUUUUUAUUGGGUGGGUUGUUGGAAUCUUUGAAAUAAGACAAAAUUAGUUAUUUGGAUAAAAGUAAAAUAAAUAAAAAAAAUAACUAAAUAAGUGAAAGAGGUGGUUAUUUAUUUAUUUUUCUUGUGGGAAGAUUAUAUAUAAAAAAAAAGGGGUUAAAUUGUGUGAUAACGAAAUAAGAAAUAUUUUUUUGACGGGACAAAAUUACGUGUCUACAUCAUGCCCCCUUUGAAUGUAAACACUAAGUGUUUUCAGACAAAGAAGUAGACAAUAAGAUAGAAUUUUGUCCCGACCAUUAUUCAAAAGAAGAAACAAAAAGAAGAAAGAAGGGAAACCGAGUCCUUACUUAGGACACCCUACCUACCCAAUUUAUGAGGGAAUCAAAUGACAAGUAUCUCAAAGGAUUGAAGGGAGAUGGACUAUACCGAGUUGGAGAGUCGAGUGAGGUUCCAUCGAGGUUCCGGUCCGCCGCUCUGUCAUUACAUCAAAAUGAAAAUUACAAGUUAACAUAUAAAUGAAAUUACAAAAUCCUAUAUAUGUAGCUUUCCUUGACUCUUGGCUCGAGUUUUAUAACCCUAUUCUUCAGGCAGGCUCCUGACUUGCAAUUUCUUUCGACUUGUUGCUUGACUUUCAAUUUCUUUGCUUUGUUGCUUGACUUUCAUUUAUUCGCCCUGCUCUUCAGGCGGGCUUCUGACUUACCAUUUUUGUCUUUCAAUUUCAUUAUCCUGUUCUUCAGGCGAGCUCCUGGCUUGCAUUUCUUUAAUUUCACAUUGCCUCACCCUGUUCUUCAGGCGGGCUCCUGACUUACAAUUUUCUCACCCUGUUCUUCAGGCGAGCUCCGAAAACCAGAUUCAAAAUUCGAACGACAACUAUCCCAAACAAAGAUUAUAAUAAGGAAGGAUUUCAUCAUUUUUGAGAGUAAUGUCCCAUUUUCUAGGAGGGUCCUGAACAGAAAGCAAAUUCACAUUUUUCAGAAGGGUCCUGAACAGAAAGUAAGUCCCAUUUUUCAAGAGGGUCCUGAACUUAAAGUAAAAUUCUAUUUUUUAGGAGGGUCCUGAACAGAAAGUAAAAUCCCAUUUUUCAGGAUGGUCCUGAACAUAAAGUAAAAUCUCAUUGUUCAAGAGUGUCCUGAACAGAAAGUAAAAUUCCAUUUUUCAGGAGGGUCGUGAACUAUAAAGUAAAAUCUCAUUUUUCUGGAGGGUCCUGAACAGAAGUAAAAUCUCAUUUUUCAGGAGAGUCCUGAACAUAAAGUAAAAUUCUAUUUUUCAGGAGGGUCCUGAACAUAAAGCAAAAUCCCAUUUUUCAGAAGGUCCUGAAUAGAAGUAAAAUCCUAUUUUUCAGGAGAGUCCUGAACUUAAACUAAAAUCUCAUUUUUCAGGACGGUCCUGAACAUAAAGUAGAAUCCCAUUUUUCAGGAGGGUCAUGAACAGAAGUAAAAUCUCAUUUUUCAGGAGGGUCCUGAACAUAAAGUAAAAUCUCAUUUUUCAGAAAGGUCCUGAACAUAAAGUAGAAUCCCAUUUUGAAGGAGGGUCCUGAACAGAAGUAAAAUCCCAUUUUUCAGGAGGGUCCUGAACAUAAAGUAAAAUCAUAUUUUUCAGGAGGGUCCUAAACAUAAAGUAAAAUCUUAUAUUUUAGGAGGGUCCUGAGCAGAAAGUAAAAUUCCAUUUUUUAGGAGGGUCCUAAAUAGAAAGUAAAGUCCCAUUUUUCAGGAGGGUCCUGAACAGAAAGUAAAGUCCCAUUUUUCAGAAGGGUCCUGAACAUAAAGUAGAAUCUCAUUUUUCAGGUGGGUCCUGAACAUAAAGUAAAAUCUCAUUUUUCAGGAGGGUCUUGAACAUAAAGUAAAAUCUCAUUUUUUAGGAGGGUCCUGAACAUAACGUAGAAUCCCAUUUUUCAAGAGGGUCCUGAAUAGAAGUGAAAUCCCAUUUUUUAGGAGGGUCCUAAACAUAAAGUAAAAUCUCAUUUUUCAAAAGGGUCCUGAACAUAAAGUAGAAUCCCAUUUUUUAGGAGGGUCCUGAACAGAAGUAAAAUCCCAUUUAUCAAGAGGAUCCUGAACAUAAAGUAAAAUCUCAUUUUUCAAAAGGGUCCUGAACAUAAAGUAGAAUCCCAUUUUUUAGGAGGGUCCUGAACAGAAGUAAAAUCCCAUUUUUCAAGAGGAUCCUAAACAUAAAGUAAAAUCUCAUUUUUUAGGAGGGUCCUGAACAUAAAGUAAAAUCCCAUUUUUCAGGAGGGUCCUGAACGGAGGUUAAAAUCCCAUUAUUCAGGAGGGUCCUGAACGGAAGUUAAAAUCCCAUUAUUCAGGAGGGUCCUGAACAGAAGGUAAAAUCUUAUUUUUCAGGAGGGUUUUGAACAUAAAGUAAAAUUCUAUUUUUUAUGAGGGUCCUAAACAUAAAGUAAAAUCUCAUUUUUCAGGAGGGUCCUGAACAUAAGGUAAAAUCCCAUUUUUCAUGAGGGUCCUGAACAGAAGGUAAAUUCCCAUUUUUCAGGAGGGUCCUGAACAGAAAGUAAAGCCUCAUUUUUUAGGAGGGUGCUUAACAGAAAGUAAAAUCCCAUUUUUCAGGAGGGUCCUGAACAGAAAGUAAAAUUCCUCAUAGAUGUGUUUUUCCAAUGGUAACUGAAUUAAGUGAAGUGAAUUUUCCCCUAUUUCAACAAAGAAAAUUUGUCAGUUAAAAACUUAGUGGUGGCUUGCAGCACUUGGUUUCCCAGGCAUUUGCUCCAACUAUUGUUCCUUUCACCUUUGUUUCAGAUCGCUGAAACUUGCCCCUAUCUUGUCACGUUAUUAACUCGGAUCUAGAUUGAGGUGAAUGAGUUCUGGCUCAAAUAAUGAAUUUCCAUUUUACCAUGCCUUUGAGAUGCACCCUUUUCCAAAUAUGAAUACUCCCACGAAUCCCGCAACCUGUCGGUUGAUAGACUUCUUUUGCUUUGUGUUGAAUUACAAUCAUAUUUCUUUCAUGUGCUGGUCCUUGGUUUUUCCUCAUACAAUUGGAAAGACUAGUAGCAAGUUUUGAAAUCAUUUCUCGCUUGUUUUGACACAGACUUGACUUAAAAUGUAAAGAAAUGAUGGUGACUUUUAUUUUGAUAAAUGACAUAAAAAAAACAAAAUAUGAAUAUGUAAAUGAAAUAAAAGGGCAAUGUACCUUAUUCAAAAAGAAAACCUAUCUAAAUACGGCAACUAACUCCAAUGAGUAUGACAUGUACUUUGGAUUAAGCUGUCUGAUCUUUCUAUCCAAACUUCCCUUUUGUUUUGAGUUCAUGCCUUUGCCGGUGAGCCGCUUCUUCAAAUCCAUUUGACUCAUAUAUCUCAUUCAAUUGAAGACAUCUUAAAAGACUUUCACUAACAAAUCUCUUUCCUUUUCACUUUUCUCUCGAACUCACCAUCGCCUUACGGUGCCCAUAAGGGUUUCACCAAUAAGACUCUCUCAUUUUUAUUUUUCUCAACUCCCCAUCGCCUUAUGGUGCCCGUGAAGUUUUUCACCAGUAAGACUCUCUUUUUUAUUUCUGUGGGCUCACCAUCGCCUUGUGGCGCCCGCGAGGGUUUUCACCAAUAAGACUCUUAUUUUUAUUACUUUCCUGACUUUUUAUGCUGAGGAAGACAAGUAGUACCCCACAAUGUAUCAUCAUAUCCAUUGUAUUCUUAGCCUUAAUAUUAUCAAAGAUUGAUCUGAAGGUAUUUCUUUGGCUGUAACUUGGUUUUUGGAUAAGGUUGGGAAUAAAAGAAUGGCAGGAGGCUUAAAUGACACUUGAAGUAGGGGUGGGAUUUACAACUUUUGGAAUCGACUCAACAACAUAUUAGCUCAUGCCCCAGUUUUUUGUUGACUGGGUGACUCUAAAAUGGCUUAUUUGGUUGGACUGAGCCCGGAAUAGGGCAGCCUACGUAUCUCACUCCCAAGAGAGGAGAAUCAGGUCGCACGUAGUUCCAUCGACUUAUUCUUUGUUUUGAUUUGAUUUGAUUUUUUUUCUUUUUUUUUCUUUUUUUUUCAAACUCUUUAUUUUAUUCUUAUUUUCCUAACAUUUAUCUUUGACUCUAUUUUGAUUCCAAAAGAGGAAUGUGAAAUAAAAAUAAAACUAAGAUCAAAUGGGUAAACAAAGGAUGACACAAUGUUUGGAUAGAAGAAUACAAUACCUUCAUCAUAUCAAUCUUCAAAAAUGUACGUACUAAACAUGCAAUAAAAUCAACAAAGGAUAAAAUAUCAUACAUAAUAUCUUUUGACCGCAUCUGCAUUGUUAGCUAUUUCUGCCAUUUUACCUUCAAUAUCUGUCAAAUAUAAGACUUCAUUGGGCAACACUUUCUUCACAAUGAAGGGACUUUGCUAGUUUGGGGAGAACUUGCCUUUCGCAUUAACCUGGUGAGGAAGGAUAUGCUUCAAUACCAACUAACCAACUUCAAAAUGUCUGGGUCGUACCUUCUUGUUAUACUCUCGAGCCAUUCUCUUUUGAUACAAUUGGCCAUGACAUACCGACGUUAGCCUUUUUUCCUCAAUCAAACUCAAUUGUUCCAAUUGGGUUUUGACCCACUUGUCAUCAUCAAUCUCUGCUUCCACAAUGACUCGAAGAGAGGGAAUUUCAACUUCUACAGGAAUUAUUGCUUCUGUCCCAUACACUAAUAAAUAUGGAGUUACCCCUGUUGAAGUGUGAACAUUAGUACGAUAACCUAGCAAUGCAAACGGCAACUUCUCAUGCCAUUGUCUAGACCCUUGUACCAUUUUCCGCAAUAUCUUCUUGAUAUUUAUAUUGGUGGCUUCCACCGUGCCAUUAGCCUUUGGACAAUAUGGAGUGGAAUUUCAUUGUGCGAUCUUAAACUGUUGACACAUUUCUUGCAUCAAAUGACUAUUGAGAUUGGCAGCAUUGUCUGUAAUGAUCAUCUUUGAAAUUCCAAACCUACAAAUAAUGUUGGCAUGAAAAAAAUCUACCACCGUUUUCUUUAUUACUGACUUGAAAGUUACUGCUUCUACCCACUUUGUAAAGUAAUCGAUGGCUACCAAAAUAAAUCUAUGCCCAUUUGAUGCUUUUGGAUCAAUCGGCCCAAUCAUGUCCAUCCCCCAAGCUACGAAAGGCCAUGGAGCAGACAUUUCAUGCAAUUCAAUGGUAGGAGAAUGUAUCAGAUCACCGUGUACCUGACAUUGAUGACAUUUUCGAACAAAACGAAUAAAAUCCCGCUCCAUAGUAAGCCAAUAAUAACCUGCUCGAAGUAUCUUCUUUGACAAGACAUAACCGUUCAUAUACAGCCCGUAUACUCCAGAGUGUAUUUCAACCAUGAUCGUCGAGGCUUCUCUUGCAUCUACACACCUCAAAAGUCCCAGAUCCGGGGUUUUCUUAUACAAGAUUCCCCCACUUAAGAAAACUCCACUAGCCAAACACCUAAUAGUCCUAUUUUGAUCAUUGGUGGCAUGUGUUGGAUAUUCUCCAGACUGAAUGUAUCGCUUGAUAUCAAAGAACCAAGGUUCUCCAUCUAGCUCUUCUUCAACCGUAUUACAAUAAGCAUGCUAAUCACGACUCUGUAUAUGCACUGGAUCGAUGUAGGCUUUAUUAGGAUGUUAGAGCAUUGAAGACAGAGUGGCUAAAGCAUCAGCAAUCUCAUUAUGAAUCCUUGGAAUAUGCCUAAAUUUUACUGACACAAACCAUUGACAUAGCUCCUGCAAGCAUUGUCGAUACGGUAUGAGCUUUAAAUCUCGUGUCUCCCAAUCGCCUUGAAUUUAAUGGAUGAGCAAAUCUGAAUCCCCCAAUACUAAUAGUUCCUGGACUCCCAUAUCAACAGCUAACCUCAAACCAAGAAUGCACAUUUCAUAUUCCGCCAUGUUAUUGGUAUAAUAAAAUCAAAGUUGUACUGUUAUCAGGAAAUAUUGCCCCAAUUUAGAGAUAAGAACCACACCUAUUCCAACUCCUUUCAUGUUGACAGCUCCAUCGAAGAACAACUUCCAACCUGGAUCAGCAUCUAUAAUGACUUCAUCAACACACAACACCUCUUCAUCUGGAAAAUAUGUAUUUAAUGGUUCAUACUCUUCAUCAAUGGGAUUAUCAGCAAUAUGGUCUACUAAGGCUUGAGAUUUUAUGGCGGUUUGAGUCACAUAUACAAUGUCAAACUCGGUAAGCAAUAUUUGCCACUUUGCCAAUCGACCUGUCGGCAUAGGCUUCUGAAAGAUAUACUUUAAAGGAUCCAUGCGGGAGAUGAGAUAAGUAGUGUAGGACAAGAGAUAAUGCUUCAAAUUCUGUGCUACCCAAGUUAGGGCAUAAUAGGUCCUUUCAAGAAGAGUGUACCUGGCCUCAUAUGUGGUGAACUUUUUUCUAAGAUAAUAAAUAGCCUGCUCCUUUUUGCCUAUGACAUCAUGUUGACCCAAGACACAACUGAAAGAAUUGUCCAUGACUGAUAAAUAUAAGAUCAAAGGUCUACCAGGCUCCAGUGUACCAGCACAGGUGGAUUUGACAAGUAUCUUUUGAUUCAAUCAAAUACUUCUUGACAUUACUGGUCCAUUCUACCACAACACUCUUUUUCAGCAACUUGAAUAUGGGCUCACAAGUGGUUGUGAGUUGAGAAAUAAAUCUACUAAUGUAGUUUAGUCUACCAAGUAAACUCAUCACCUUCGUCUUAUUCUUGGGCGGGGGCAAAUCCUGAAUGACUUUGAUUUUCAAGGGAUCCAAUUCAAUUCCCCACGACUGACUACAAACCCCAACAGCUUUCCAGACGAAACUCCAAACACACAUUUUGCUGGGUUGAGCUUGAGAUUAUACCUGCGAAGACUUUCAAAGAACUUUCUUUAAUCUUUAACAUGGUCAACCUGACUUUUUGACUUAAUGAUUACAUUAUCUGCAUAGACCUCAAUCUACUUAUGCAUCAUAUCAUGAAACAUAGUGGUCAUGGCUCUCAUGUAUGUUGCUCCAGCAUUCUUCAAACUGAAUGGCAUCACUCGAUAACAAUAGGUCCCCUAUGGUAUGAUAAAAAACGUCUUCUCUGCGUCUUCAUCAACCAUAAUGAUCUGGUGGUAUCCGGUAUAGCAAUCCAUAAAAUAGGCAACCUCAUGUUUAGCAUAGUUGUCCAGCAAAAUAUGGAUGUUGGGCAGCAAAAAAUCAUCUUUCGAACGUACUCUGUUCAAAUCACGGUAAUCAACACAUACUCAAAUUUUGCCAUUUUUCUUUAGGACAGGAACAACAUUGGAUAACCACGUGGGAUAACGAGCCACUUGAAUUACUUUGGCUUCAAGUUGUUUCAUGAUUUCCUCUUUGAUUUUAAUACUUACAUCAGUUUUAAACUUCCUCAAUUUCUGUUUGACAGGAGGAAAUGCGGGAUCAGUUGGCAAUUUAUGAGCCACUAAUUCAGUGCUUAAAUCGGGCAUAUCAUCAUAAGACCAUGCAAAAACAUCCUUAUAAUCAAUUAAUUCUUGAAUCAUUUCAUCUUUUAACUAUAGCGAAGCAUGUACACUGAUUUUAGUUUCCUUAAUAGCUUUUUGAUUCCCUAGAUUAAUUGGCUCAAUUUCAUUCAAAUUAGGAUUCGACUUGUCUUCAAACUGUUCCCACUCUUUGCUUAUUUCUUCUAGUGCCUUUUCUUUAUCAUAUUCCCCCUCUUGCUUCAUUAUAUCUUGAUUAGUUUGGAUUUUAAGAUCAGGCUGAAAAUUCCGCAUGCAUGUCAUGUCAUUAGAACCAGCAUAAAGAGAACUAUAUAAAGAAAAAGACAAAAAAAAUGUACUAGACACAAAAUAAAAGGGACAUUGCAUUUCAUUUAAAAGGGAAAUAUAGGAGGGUUUAAACACAAACAAUAGAAUAUAAACAAGCUAAAUUCUGAAUUACAACCCUGGAAUAACUCGGAUAAAUAGAAAGAAAAACAAAAUGAACUACCAAAACUCCCUCCUGAAUGGGAGAAGAGUGACUUCCCAAUUGUUGAGGCGGACAACUGAGCCUAUGAACUGCACACCUGCCUUACUAGUACCUUCUCCUGCUUCAACCAUAUCAACUUCAAUUAAAAGGUUCUAGAAUUCACCAACCAAUUUAGCUUUAAAUUCUACAUGCUUCGUGACACCGCUCUUAAUAAAUGAUUCACUGAGUAGUGGCAUUGGGCGAGGCAGUGACCAUGUUUUCUUUUUCCUUCCCUUGGCUUUCUUCAGAUCUUCAACUGUAGGCUCAAAUCCCAGACCAAAAGUGCCCAUGUUCUCACUCGGACAUAUGGGACAAACUAUACCAUCCAGAGAUGCUCCCAAACCCCUUCCUGGCUCGAAUCCAUAUUUCAAAAGUUCACUCACCAUCAUGAUAGAAGCGGAAGACAAUUGUGGUCCCGGUAAAACCUGCCCUUCAAGGAUACGAUCCACCAGCACUGUAUCAAAAAUUUGAUAGACAAAUGUCUCAUCUACAUUAUUCUUUCAAUAAGAGAUAAGGGAGAAUCUUCGUAGGCGGACAAAUCUCCUUCACCGUGAUAACCACUUCUUGUCUAUCAUGCUCAAACUUAAUGGGCCCUAUGAUCAACAUCAGCUUCUUCUUCGGUGACAGGCUUUUUGAUAGAUGAAGGUUCACUCAUAAUUGGCUUGAACUUCCUUAAACUUUCAGGCACGAAGCAUCUUCCUAACCAAGUCAAACCCCCUACCUCAUCUACAUCUCCCACUACUUCCUUCCCCUGAUAGGUCAUCACAGUCUGCUUAUAGUUCUAGGGAACCCUUUUUGUAUCAACUAUCGGAGGUUGGGUCACCCGUUUAAGGACAAUAGGCACUGCCAGUGCUCCUUUCACCAUCAAGAUAGGCUUUCUCAGAGCUCCUACCACAGUCAACUUAGGUUUAUCCUGAAUUAAAUCAACAUAUCUUCUGGCACCUUACACUGUGAUCACGGGUUUCUUUGUGCUUUCUUAGGCUUUAUCUUCUCCCAUUCCUUCGUGGCUUAAUGACAUUGCUUUCAAUGACUCUUCUACAUUCACUAAUUUUUCCUCAUUGGUCUGUAUCUUGACAAUAGGCUUAUAACACCUUGAUGACUCUUUCCCAUCAUAUAUCAAUUCUAACAUAUUGGUUUUAACAUGGGUUGGAAGUGGAUUCUGGUUAAUGUUUAGAACCUCCGAGGCCUGGACCAGCAUCUGCUUUGUGUCAAUUAAAUCUUGGAAACUCUCUUUAAAUACCAACAUUUCUCGAUAUCAUGGCCUUUCAUGUCAGAUUAAUAUGCACACCUUAAAGAAUAAUCAAGAUUCCUCCCAGGUGAAUUUGAAAGACUUCCUUGAAUUGGGGUUAAGACCUUCAUCUUUCUCAACCUAUCAAACAGGCUAGCAUAUGACUCCCCAAGAGGUGUGAACUGAUUUUUGACUGCCUUCUCUUUCUUGUACUCGGUCCUGGGUUAGAAACUGGGUCUGGAGAGGUUUUGGUAAUUUGGUGGAGCUGAUGGACGAUUUUAUGGAGCUUGCACGCUCCAUUGUGGGUAAGAAGGGGUUUGAGCAUAUGGUUGCACGCUAUAUACUGGGUAUGAGAGUGGUAGAAUAGAAUAUAAUGGAUUUUAUAAAGGGUAGUAAUGGUGGGGAGGAAUAUAUAGAGUUUGGGUGUAGGCUUGGGCUUGGGAUUGGGGAUAGGGGUGAGGCGGUCUUUUGGGAUAAGAAUGAGUCCCAGAUACGACGGUCGCCACAUCCUCUUUCUUCUUUUUACCUCCAAACGCUUUGGAGCCACCUUAAAUCGCUUGGGUGGUGGCUUUCAAUGCGGCAAAACUCACUAUUUGGCUGGUCUUGAUUCCAUCCUCUAUUAUCUCCCUCAUUUUGAGGACUUCAAUAAAAGACUUUCCCAUUACCGGAAGUAAAUAUUGAAAAUAGGUCUCAUCCUAUGACUAAAUGAAGACCUCUACCAGCUUACUCUCCUUCAUUGAAGGCUUUACCCUGGCGGCCUGUUCACACCACCUUAUCUCAUAUUCCCUAAAGCCUUCAGUGCUUUUCUUCUUCAUGUUGACCAAGAAUUUUUCAUCAGGAAUCAGGUUGACGUUAUACUGAAAAUAUUGCACAAACUCAAAAGCUAAGUCAUCCCAGUUGUUCCAAUGAUUGAUAUCUUGAUUGACAAAAAAUUCUAAAGCCAGAUCAAAAAGACUCUUACCAAAGAAAGCCAUGAGAAACUCUUCCCUUCCCCAUGCAUCCCUCAAUUGGUUGCAAUAACGUCUCAAGUGCACCACGGGAUCACCAUGCCUAACAUACUUUUUGAACUUGGGCAUUUUAAAACCGAAGGAAGGUUGAAGUCUGGGAACAUGCAAAUAUCUUUAUAGGAAACACUCUUAUAACUUCCGAUUCCCUGCAAAUUCCUUAUGGCCUUUUCCAAACUUUUCAAUUUCUGCGCUAUGGCCUCCUUUCCUCUGUUGCAAUACGUUUCUCUGUAUCAAAUGGAAAUACAGGUGACUGAGUGUACCCAUACGGUUCAUUCAUUCUUAAAGUAGGCUCCGAGGCAUAAUACUGAGUAUCUGAAACCUUCAAUACUAGCUCACUAGCAGACCGAGGAAGCACCAUUGUCGGACGCACAAAUAGGUGGGAGCUUCAGGUGGUGGCAGAGCCACGAAAACAGGCGAUGCCGGUAGCACCGGCUGAGCAGCGGGCCUUGGUUGGGGAACUGCCAAGGGCACACUAGAAGUGCCAAAAUAAUAUUGUUGUGGAGUGAAUCCUGGCGCGUGUUCCGGUGACUCCAUGGGAGCAGAUAAUUGAGCCUGAAAAAGUGGUGGGCAGUUAGAGAUAUUCCCAAGAUCUUCAGAAAGAGGAGGAGGCGGCAUGCCACUAGCCCAUGCUCGGUGCAUAUCUAUUAAUUAUUUCCUGAGUCUUAAAACCUCAUCAUUGUAUUCUGAACUUUUCUCCUGGGGACCCUGAUUUGGGUCAAUGAACGAAUUUUCAAUCUCCCUUCUAGCCAUGGCGAGCUUUGCUUUUGAUCAAGUGAAGUGCGGGUGACUAGCUAGAGUGCUGCAAACCAACCACUGUUAUCUGAAAGAAUAUGCUCAUCAAAUACAACACCCGUUAGGAUUAGGUCACACAACAAGCAUGGGAAUCACAUUGGUAAAGUUGUCCUAGAUUCAUGUUAAUUUCUACCAGUCUUGGAGGGUAACGAGAUCAUUUUAACAUCAUCCCGAUUUUCAUCUACACUCAUUUACUUCUUUCCCCCAAACACACCUCUUUUCUUUUGCCCUCAUUUUCCUCUUUUUUUGUAUGUCUCUGUUCUUUCCCUUUCUUGUAUCAUCAUCCGUUCUUUCUUCUAUUCUCUCGCCAUCUCAUUUAUUUUUGUCAUUCUUUAUGGAUUUUGCUUUUAUUUAAAAAAUAAAAUUGGAGAAAAUCAAAGAAACAAAAUGAUUAGAUCGAACGCAAAAGUAGGUUUUCUACGUAUCAUGUUGUUCAUGAAUCAGAUCUUGCAUAGUUCAGGAUGCAUAUGCAUAAACAUCACAUUGUUGAAGGUUAUUUUUUUCACGAAAAACGAAAACAAACAAACAAAAGAAAGAUGUAACAUCAUAACAUUUUGAUGAAAGAAACAACAAAAACAUACAAUGAAAUUAAGACAACCUCGAUACUAAUCAACAAAGACUGAAUGACAUUCUAGACUAACAUGACAAUAUACAUAAUGCUCCUAAUAAAGACUCCAAAGUUAAAGCAAACUUGACACCAACUUAACAAAGACACAAUACUACAAAUGGCAGAAAAGUAAAGGACUCAAACUAAACAAAAGAUAGGAAAUGCUCCUUCAAACUGGUGCUCUGCGCGACGACCCUAGUUGAGAUGAACCUGCCUGUGAAGUUCUCUUUCUACCAUUCAAACUAUGUAGCAUAUCUUGUAAGGACCCUUCGAUAUUUAGGAAGAUGCCUCUGGCACGUAUUCCUGCCUCAUGAGGAGUACAUUUGAAAAUACUGUUCUGAAACCCCUCUACAGUUUUGAGAAAACCUAAUAACUGAACUCUUAGUGCCUCUACCUUUACCCCCGCCCCUUCAUCCUGAUGGUCGCCAACUAUGCAUUUAUCUUGUAUCCUCCUUCUAAGUUGUACUGGCAAUGGUAUGCUGACACCCCGAGGAAUAGAUUGUAACCAGAUUCCAUAUCCUUGAGUGUAUCCGGGAUUAUCUAAACCUAUCCUGAGAGUAUCCAUGCCCUGCCAUGUUACAUUACUCCAGAAUUGCUCAUAUUUGAUCUCACUCCUGUCUUGGUCCCUAAAGUACUCCACAUCCUGUUGAAAGUCCACUAUUGGAGGAACAUCUUUCACUCUACCCAAUUGAUGCAUUACUCUAAGAGGAGUGUAUAGCUGGGUACAAUUAAGCCCCAACAAAACUAGAUGGGGUGUACGCUAGAUCCAACCAAGAUUACUUUCGGUCGGAACCAUAGAUAGGUCCACAAGACAUUGCUAUCUAUUCUUGAUUCAAGGAACUCAACCCAAGCGUCGACUACUAUAGGAAAUGAGAAUUUAGCAAAACCCAUUCUAUGUUCUAUGGUUUCCACUUGACUAGGCAGACAACGGUCAAUCACAUUAUAUUUAAGCAAAGAAGAGGCGUGCAAAUGCUCCAUCAUUCAUAAUUGUAACACUAGGUUGCUCCCCUCAAAAAAUCGCAUACCCCCUUUUAUCUCGGUCAAAGCUUUGUAUAUUUCCACCAAGAUUAGAGGUAAGAUAGUGACCUUGUCUCCCUUAUCCUUGUUAAAUAAGGCCAUCGCUACAGAUUGCAACCGAGUAUUAAUACGCCUAUCUUCCAAGGGGAAUACCAAAGUGCCUAACAGAACAAAGGCGAAGACUUUAAGGUGACGUUUCUCCCAAUUCUUCUUAGUUUUAUAAAAUUCAUCCCAAAAACAAUCAAAACCAUCUUGGAGGCCAAACCGAGCAUACAAGUAAUAGGAAGAGAUCCAAGAUUGUGUAAGGCAACCCAAAUAGUCAUUAACUUUCAACCCAUAAUAGUGGAGAAACAUAUUGGGAGAAUGACACCACGCUCGAAUUAUCAUCUUUUUAAUGUAGGGCAAUUUAAAUAAACAAGAUAUAUCCGCCAGGGUAGGUGUCAUUUCAAUACUCCCAAGCCUAAAAACUAGACAAGUUGGAUCCCAAAAAGUCAAUGCAUCCUCGAUCAAGUUUGGACGGGGCAUGAUAGACAAGAGAGAAGUGAGAGUGCCUAGCUUCUUUGAUAACUCAUGCCUUUCAGAGUAGUUGAACAUGCCCCACCACUAGAUUAACUUUUUAGGCACUUUAGAAACCAUUAGGACUUUAGACCUUGGAGCCAAAUCCAUCCUGUAACAACACACAAGACUUAUGAUUUAACAAUUGAUAAAAGGGGAGAAGUUCCCGGCCCUCGGGAUUUGGACACAGACAGGUUAUCAUGCAGAAACAAAAAACUUUAGACUCGGAUUAAAACAAAUGGUACCACUAAGUGCGGUCAGCCUACUUGGCCAAGAUUAACCGACGACUCUAGACCAGACUAAAAAAGGGGAGACCCCAAGAUAGGACUAAGAUAGUGACCAAAAGAAAAUUUUAUUGAACCCACCGAGGGUUCCCUACUUAUCCCGCCCCGAAGGACGAGAAUCAGGUACGCGUAGUUCGUCCAGCUUGCACAAUAAAGGAUUAAAUGACAAACUAAACCCUGAAAUUAAAGGCACGACUAAAGACAUACGAAUAAAACAUUUUGUGUUCUUAAUUAGAAACUAACAGCAACAACUAUGAAAGAAAAAUCUUUUUGAUAUUUUCGUUAUAUAAAAAUGUACAAAGCUCCUAUUGAAAGGAAAAAAAUAUUUUUGGAGUUUUCGAAUUGUGAAUACUUACUAAAGAAAUAAAAUAAAAAUCUUUUUAACAUUUUUGAUUUUUGAAAAAGGAGUGCAAAGAGUAAAAAAAAAAAAAUUGAAUUGUGAAAAACAAAAGCCAUAAAGAACCCUAAAAACUACCAAAUUUUUUCACUCUUUUUUUUUUCAAUAAUUUCUUGCCUACACACUCUGCUUCUAACUCAAACUUUUGCCCAAAUCAGUCUGUCAAAUGACCUCGUUAACCUCAAAGAUGCAACAUUUAGCACAUAGGGAUGCUUUAGAGGUGAGUCUCCUACAAAGGGUCACGUAAGUCCCGCUAGAUCUCAAUAUGAUGCAAAUAAGCAUGACCUAAAGGCUGACCUACGCUGGGAUUUACUAACAAGGCUAUUCAGGGGAGCGUAUGGUCAAUAGUGGCUGCGCUAGCUUUCCACCUACUCCAUACCAGCCGAUGGCUCCCCCUCCUAAAAAUAAGAGUGACUCAACUAUAGGUCGUGUACACAGCGUGUACUACAAAAUUUGUUGCAGAAAGAAUUGACUCGGGUUAUGCAAAUGAUGUCAAAUAUAAAGCGGUAACACAUAAGAGAAAACUGUAAACACGUAGCACGUAAACAGUCCACAAUGAUAAAACAAUAACACAAAAUAACACGACAAAAUGUUUAUACACCUAUAGUGCCAAACUAAGCCGAUACAACUCCAAAAAUAAGCUCGAAUUCUGAAAUGUUUCCCAGCAGAGUCGCCAGAGCUGUCACACCCCUUUUUUUAACUCCAAAAUGAUUUGUUUUAAGGUUUCGAAAGAAUUUUUAUUAUUAACAUGACAAAAUAAAGAUUUGUUUUGAAAAAAGAUUAUUUUUAUAUCCAAAACUCAGAGUCGCCACUUGACAUAAUCUGGUGCGCCAAGUCACCUUUGGAAAAUCCUUUUCAAAAUGAUUUGACUCUUUAAAAUGGUUUGCGAACAGAGAUUCCGGCUAAGGAAUUCUGUUGAUCGAGGGAAAGAUAUUAGGCACCCCCUGAUCUAAUGGUUCACCCACGGUCGCUUGGUAGAAUGUAUCGGUUAAUUUGACACUACGAAUGUACAAACAGCAAAGGAGCACGUAAAGCGAUCAAACAAACAAACCAAAUAAAACGACUAAAAGUAUAGUGUUCAGUCCAAUUAUACAGUUCCAAAAUAAAAAUGUAAAAAUAAAUCUUAUCUAACCUAUACUAAUCCUAACUACUCUCCCAAGCUUUACCCGAUGCCUCGAUCCUUCCUCACGAACGUCUUUCGCCAAUAUAGUACAUCAGGGCAUUCCCUGGUGAAUAAAUACAAUGUGUCUCGAGGCAUUCCCCGGCUAAAUGAUACAUUCGAUCCAAAAGCAAUAAAACCAAACCAUUCAACACACAUUUCAAGCAUUCAAUAAUUCAACAAGCAAAACACUUAUUCCUAAAUAUUUGCCUACCCGAACCUACUUUUAGCUAUUCAUUCGAUAGCCUAAUCAUGAUGCUAUCUAAUUCAACAAUAUUCAGUAAUGAAUCAAAAUAAACAACCUUUGACUUAUUCGAUUAUCAAUUUUCGAUCCCGACCCCCAAAUUCAUUCUUAAUGAUUAAACCAAUUCUAUACAUAUUUCAUCAAUCAAGUUUUCAACUCCAAAUUCAAUAUCAAACAAACAAACAACGAGGAUUCGAAUAUGCUCAAACACAACUCAUUUGUAAUCACGGGAAAAUAAAAAAAAAGAAUUUAGAAUUGGACCUCAAAGAGCUUUUGAUUGACUUAAUAAAAGAAAUAAGAGCCCGUCCAAGAACCUCGAAGAACGCCAACGAAUGCCCAAUCCUCCGAGUCAAGCGAGAAACAAUCCAAGAAUGUAAUAAACUCCAAAUUUCAAUCCUAACCAAAUAUAUCUACGAAUGAAAUCAAUGAACAAAUCUAGAUCAAACACUUAAGUAUUACCCGAAUCAACCAAAAUCAGCCAAGAACGAUGAACAACCAAACCAGAAUUUCCAAUCAAUAAAAAAAAGAAAAUGGAAGAACCGAACCAACGAGACCAAGUUUCCGGUGAGCUGAGACAACGGUAGAAGGCUUAAACUCCAGAAAUCUAACAUUUUCUUGGGAGAUUUCUUCUUUAAAAGAAGAGAGAAAAAAACGAGCAGAUUUGGGAGUUUUGAGACCGGUUUAUACGAACGACGAACGGAGGAGAUGAUUCCGGUGAAGCUACUGCUAGAACAGUAACCCGAAACCUCCCUUUUCUGUUACCGGAUGGAGAUAUAUAUGGGUAUGUGUAUGUAAAAAUGGAGUUGAAUGGAGGUUGGGGGGUCUGUGUGUUUAUGUCCAAGAGCGAAAAAAAAAUCCUUCUUUUUCUUAGUGAGUAUCAGUGUAUAGCUAUGGUGAGGUAUGAAUCAAUUCAAUCCAAAAAAUAAAUGAUGAGUAUCUGUAUGUUUUCAUGGGUGGGUAUUGUGAAUGGAGAGUUUUUUUUUUAGGAAGUUUGUUAGAGAAAAGAAAUAAAAACGUAGACAAAUAGGGCACAAAUAGGGCCUUCAACUAUUCAAAAUCUGAACAAAUAUGACCUCCGAUUUUGCAAUCCCAUGCGUGAGUUUCACUCGCGCCUAAGUGUAAAAGUAAUCCAAUCACACGGUGCCACAUCGUUAAAAGGUCUGACUUAGAGGGAGGUUAUAUUUGUGCAAUUUUGAAUAGUUAAAGGUCAUAUUUGUACACUGUCAAAGUUUUGCUUUUUGUGUUAAAAAAACAUCAUUUUUAUUAUUAUUAUUAUUAUUAUUAUUAUUUCUAUAGCUGUAACACCUAGCUUUUUUUUAAUUAAAAAAUCGAACCCGCUCAGUAGGUUGAAGAAAGCGCCCAAGAAGAGCAAAUAACACCACUGGGCUAACUAAGUGCCUUGUUUCAUGUGGUUCAACAUUAAUAAACGUACAUAGAUAUAGAUUUUCUACCUUAUAUAUAUAACAUAAUUUUUUUACCGAGGGGUUCGGGUGAACCCCAUGGCAACCACGUAGGUCCGCCCCUACAUUAAAUUAAUAAUGUUUUAAUAACGUUAAUUUAAUAACAUUGUAAUAACGUUAAUUUAAUAUACUACUACUACUAUCCUUAAUAACGAUAAUUUAAUAACGUUUUAUUAAAACUAUAGUUUUUUUAUUAUUAGUAUAGUUUCAUCUUUAAUUUAAUAUUUAAAUAAAUUAUAUUUUGAUAUAUUAUAUAACUUAAAUUCUCCCUCUGCUUUAUAAUAUAAAUAUAUACAUACCCACGCGAUUUUUUCGUCUGAGGCCGACCCACCUAAUUAAUAAAUCUUCAAUAUUACUCUUUUUCCGCAAUGACAAAAGAAAUUAGAUGCCAUUUUCAUCUUUGAGCCAAAAAUUAAAAAAAAAAUAAUAGUGAAAAGUCAUUUAAAGGUCAUAUUUAUGCAGUUUUGAAUAGUUAAAGGUCAUAUUUGUGCACUGUCAAAGUUUAAGGUCAUAUUUAUGUAUUAUGCCCUUAGAUUUUAAGCUGGACGCGCCCAGUUUUGCGUAUUGAACACGCAUUUUGCCACGUAGGAUUGGAGGUCAUAUUUGUGCAGUUUUGAAUAGUUAAAGAUCAUAUUUGUGCACUGUCAAAGUUUAAGGUCAAAGUUAUAAUUUGGUGUCAAGUUUAGGGUAAUUUUUAUGUAUUAACUCCGCCCAUUUUAAGUAUCUUCGUAAUUAUGUUGCACUAUUAUGCACAAAAGUUAUUUAAGAACCGAUUUUAAGUAAUUUCAUGAUUUUUUUGACAUUGUUGAUGCACAUAGGUUUAUUAAGCAUCAGUUUUAAGUAAUUACUGUUAUUUCCACAAUAUAUUCGGGUAUGCAAAAUCUGUAUAGCAGAACAACAACUUCAUCUAGUUCAAGUUUAUAAAUAAGAACAUAAUGAAGUAUAUCAAUACCCUCAACACAAGAUCAAAAUGAUAUUUCCAAGAGGUAUAUUUAUUUUUCCAGAAAUAAUAGAUGAAGUAGAAAUGAAUAAGGUCAAGUCGUCCGAAUUCACAGAGUUUUCUUAAGGAAAUAAUUCCCCUCACUGUACCCGAGGUUGUGGAAUUUUUUCUCCAAGGAUAAAAUGUCCUUCAAUUCGACUAUAAUGGUACCUCAAAUAGGCGGAUUCUACGAACGCACUGAACGAUUUAAUGAUCAUACAGAAUAGUUUUUUCAAGAGAAGAUGAAGAGUUUAUAAUCUGAAAUUUUUGUAAUUUUUAUAUCAAACCUGUGGAUGAAACCAGGUUAUUUAUAGCCACAAGAUGCCUCUUUAGAAAGGAGGCAAUGGUUCACUCAAAAGGUUGUACCUUUGCUGUAAGUUCAUGUCUAUUCAUCAAAGAUUGCAUCCUUUCCUAAACAGUCAUAUCUUUCCAUGAAUCAGUGUGUCUUUUGCUGAAUAGUUGCAUCUGUUUGUUCAACCAGUGCAUCAAUUCAAUUAAAAAAUAGAAAAAAAUGCAUUAUUUCUAAAGCAAUGCAAUAUUUUCUAAGCAGUGCAACUGUUCUGCAUCACUGUUCAUGUAAAACAGUAGCAUCAGUUCCUGCGUCGCUGUUACUGCAUGAAUAUAUACAUACGUAAAUAAAGGAUUAAACACAGAAAAUAUUUAGUACAUUUUCUCUUGGCAUUGUUCGAAAUUCAAAUAAAGUUUGUCCAAAAAGAUAGAUCUCAUCGAUCGAUCAUUUGAGGUAGUGAGGGAGGGGGUGGGAUGCCUAGGGGUGAGGAGGGGUAGGGGUGGGAUAGUGAGGUGGUUUAUUUUGAUUGGAUAGGCUGUUAGGAUAAGAUAAAAUUAGUUAGAGGUUAUUGUUUUGUUAUUUUGUGGAGGAAUUAUCACACGGGUUGGGGAGCGUGGUAAAACGGGAUAAGAUAAUAAAAAUAAUUUUUGACGGGACAAAAUUACGUGUUUACACAUGUCUACUCCUGGCCCGCAAGAGUAUAAACUGUGUACGGCUAAAAAAAAUGUUCGCUAGGUUAAAAACCUCGAAAGAGGCACCUAGGCAAAAGUUAGGACGCAAAAAAAAAAAAAAAACUUACCCCAGAACUACAUUGUGACUUGAUCCUCUUCAUUGAGGUACGUAGGCACUUGGAAUUUUAUUUUGAGUUUAGUUGCAUGAGUGUCAAAAAAAAUACAUGUUCCUCCUCAUAGAAAAAAUACAGUCCUCAAAAGACUUUUAACAUCAUCAAUCUUCAGACUUGCACCCAAGUGUUGGUGACUCAUUGGGGGCAAAUCCCUAUGAAUUAUAAGCUUCUGUGACAUAAAUUGAAGUCUUUAGAUUCACUAAGUCUUCAUGUUGGAGAUUUCAAGUUACCAUAUUGGAGCCUGCAAGUUCACAAAGUCUGAUAGUUAAAGUCUUUAAAUGAAUUAUGCAUAAAAGUUGAAGUUUCUAAAUUCACUAAGUCUUCAUGUUGGAGCUUUCAAGUUACCAUAUCGGAGCCUACAAGUUCACGAAGUCUGAUAGUUGAAGUCUUCAAAUGACCUAUGCAUAUAAGUUGAAGUCUUCAAAUUUACUAAGUCUUUAUGUUGGAGAUUUCAAACAUGCGAGUUCACUAAGUCUAUAAAUUGAAGUCUUCAGAUGCUCUGUGACUAUAAGUUGAAGUCUUCAAGUCUGCCAUAUUGAAGCUUUAAGAGUUUGAAAGUUGGAGUCAUCGGGUUCUUUGAUCUAUAAGUUGAAGUCUUUAAACCCUUCAAACCUUCUUGAGUUUACCUUCCAAUUUUCAUGAAAUUACCUUUUCUUAUGGCGGGGAUGAGUAUCCAUCCCUGUGCGCCAUAAUAUUACCAUAAGGUUACCUUUUCUUAUGGUAGGUACAAACAAGCCGUCCCUAUGCGCCGUAAGAUUACCACAUAGUUACCUUUUCUUAUGGCGGGGACGAGUAGUCCUCCCAAUGCGACAUAAGAUUACCAUAAAGUUACCUUUAUCCUUUACCUUUACCAUAAGACUACCGUUAAGAUACCUUUACUUUUUACCUUUACCAUAAGACUACCUUGAAGUUACCUUUACCCUUUACCUUUAUCAUAAGACUACCGUGAAGUUACUUUUACCCUUUACCUUUACCAUAAGACUACCAUGAAGUUACCUUUUACCUUUACCAUAAGACUACGAUGAAGUUACCUUUUACCUUUACCAUAAGAAUACCAUGAAGUUAACUUUUACCUUUGCCAUAAGACUACUAUGAAAUUACCUAUUACCUUUGCCAUAAGAUUCUCACGAAGUUACAUUUAUUAUGGCAGGGAAGAGUAGCCAUCCCUAUGAGUUGCAUUUAUUAUGGCAGGGAAGAGUAGCCAUCCCUAUGCGGUGCAAGAUUACCAUAAAGUUACCUUUUCUUAUGGCGGAAACGAAUAGUCGUCCCUAUGAGCCGUAAGAUUACCUUCUAGGAUUACCUUACUUAUGGUAGGAAAGGAUAUCUAUCCCUUUACGUCGUAAGACUAUAUCCUUUACCUAAAAGGCAUUAUCUUGAGAAAAAUCUUGUAGUUCACCUAAAAAAGAAAAAGAAGAAAGAAAAAGGGGAACGAAAAAAAAAAAAAGAAGAAGAAGGAAUGCUUACCUAAAUAUGGCGAGUAUCUCGAUCGGUAAAGAUGGAUCAAAUUACACCCUUGAGUUUGCUCGCCUACCAAAAGUGUUGUAAAUAUUAGAGUUCUCUUUCCAAAAAUAAAAAGGAAACUCAAAAUUUCAACACUCCCAUGCCGAGAUAUGAUUUGUCUUGUGAAGCCACGCAAACCUGAAAUUGAAAACAUAUCAGCUGGCAGAGGCAAAUUCAAAAAAUUAUAUAGGAUAAUUCUGAAGGUUUUAAAUCAUGAAUUUUGGACAUGUUAUAUAUUUUCGAAUCUAGUUUCUAAAAAAUCAAGCGGUUUAUGAUUUUAUUGGUCCAACUUUGAGAUAUGAAAGUUUCAGUGAAGACGCGCAGAUCUGAAAUUUUCAGCAUGGCAAAAUUUAAAGUCAACGUCAAAAUUUUGUCUAAAAUAAUGCUGAAGGUAUUAAAUCAUGAAUUUCAGAUAUGUUAUAUAUAUUUUUCAUAAAAAGUUGGUAGCAAUCUACUAUAAUCAGUUAAAUGACCAAUUUUGCAAAACACCUUUACACAAUCAAUGUGCAUAACUUAAAUCCUUCAUAUGUAAUUUCCUUCAGUUUAAUAAUAUGAAGUAAGAACUACGGAAAUAGGCUCACCAAAAUUUUGUAAAAUGUAUUUCAUUGAACAAGUAACCAAUAAGGAGUAUAAAUGUAAACUGUAUAACAAUAAAAACACACCCAACGUAAUCCCGUAAGCGGGUUUUGAGGAGAAUGGUAUGUACACAACUUUACCUCUACUUUAUGAAGAUGGAGAGGUUGUUUCCAAUGGAUUCUCGACCCAAGUAAAGCAAUAUAGCUAUAAAUUGCAUUGAUACUAAUUAGUUGAGGAAAAAAAGAAUUGGCUUAAGAUUAUUUCACCCAAAUAGUAGAUCUAAUCAUACUACUACUUAUUUUUCCCCUGUUAUUCCUCUGCCGGCCAUAAAAUGGAAAUCCAAAAUAGACAUAUGACUUACCAAUUCUGUUGAUGCCUUCUACGUUGAGGUGAAAUAUCAGGUGAUACAUAAACANNNNNNNNNNNNNNNNNNNNNNNNNNNNNNNNNNNNNNNNNNNNNNNNNNNNNNNNNNNNNNNNNNNNNNNNNNNNNNNNNNNNNNNNNNNNNNNNNNNNNNNNNNNNNNNNNNNNNNNNNNNNNNNNNNNNNNNNNNNNNNNNNNNNNNNNNNNNNNNNNNNNNNNNNNNNNNNNNNNNNNNNNNNNNNNNNNNNNNNNNNNNNNNNNNNNNNNNNNNNNNNNNNNNNNNNNNNNNNNNNNNNNNNNNNNNNNNNNNNNNNNNNNNNNNNNNNNNNNNNNNNNNNNNNNNNNNNNNNNNNNNNNNNNNNNNNNNNNNNNNNNNNNNNNNNNNNNNNNNNNNNNNNNNNNNNNNNNNNNNNNNNNNNNNNNNNNNNNNNNNNNNNNNNNNNNNNNNNNNNNNNNNNNNNNNNNNNNNNNNNNNNNNNNNNNNNNNNNNNNNNNNNNNNNNNNNNNNNNNNNNNNNNNNNNNNNNNNNNNNNNNNNNNNNNNNNNNNNNNNNNNNNNNNNNNNNNNNNNNNNNNNNNNNNNNNNNNNNNNNNNNNNNNNNNNNNNNNNNNNNNNNNNNNNNNNNNNNNNNNNNNNNNNNNNNNNNNNNNNNNNNNNNNNNNNNNNNNNNNNNNNNNNNNNNNNNNNNNNNNNNNNNNNNNNNNNNNNNNNNNNNNNNNNNNNNNNNNNNNNNNNNNNNNNNNNNNNNNNNNNNNNNNNNCCUGUUACAAGAAAGCAAGACCUUGACAUCACCUCCAUUGCUAGCAAUGGUGGAAGAGUCCAAUGCAUGCUGGUUCGUAAUAUUGGAUUUAACUUAUAUAUACUGACACAGUACAAGGAAUUUAAAACUAAUUGUAGUAGGUUAUCUGCCUUAAAUUUUUAAUUGUCAAGUUACUAAUCUCAGUUAUUAUGAACAAUUGUGUCCGUAUGUCAUUCCAAAAUUUAAUCUACACUAUUAUUUUGCCUUAAUUUCACCAAAUAUAAUUAUGUACAUAGGAAAGGAUAAAUUUCACUGACCCUGUUUUAGAUUUAACGUGUUACCUCCUCUCUUGAAGCUUGUUUAGCUAAUUAUUUACGUGAUAUGUGUAUAGGUAUGGCCACCAAUUAACAAGAAGAAGUACGAGACUCUUUCAUACCUUCCUGAUUUGUCCGACGAGCAAUUGCUCAAGGAAAUUGAGUACCUUUUGCAAAAGGGAUGGGUUCCUUGUUUGGAAUUCGAGACUGAGGUUAACAUCUCUCUGUUCUUAAAAUAUAUGAUAAUUAAUAACAACUAAUUAGUAAUAUGUUAUGUUGAUGUUGUGGAUGUGUACAGCACGGAUUUGUGUACCGUGAGCACCACAGGUCACCUGGAUACUACGAUGGCAGGUACUGGACCAUGUGGAAGUUGCCCAUGUUCGGGUGUACUGAUGCUACCCAGGUCUUGAAUGAAGUCCAGGAGGCAAAGAAGGCUUACCCACAGGCCUGGAUCCGUAUCAUCGGAUUUGACAACGUUCGUCAAGUGCAGUGUAUCAGUUUCAUCGCCUACAAGCCCGAAGGCUACUAAAUUCUCCAUGUUUAAUGUAUAACUUGGCCCUAUAUCUUUAAGGGAAGCUCGUUUAAAUCCUCCUCAAGUUUUUUCCCGCAGAAACUGUAUUGAUUUUCCAUUGUUUUCCUUUUCUCUAUUCAGUGUAUGCUCUUGGAUUCCAGUUGAGUUUAUGAGAACUAAUAAUAAUAAUCAUUUGUUUCUUUGCUUAUUUACCUUAUGAGACAUGAUUUCUGGUGCAUAUAAAAAUAUGAAAUAUAUAUAUAAUGCACCAAUUAUGAUAUAAGGCGAUAUGAACAGAGAAGAUUUAUUAUCCAGCCGACCCUAACUAGUCUUGCAUUGAGGCAUAGUGGAUUGAUUGGGCGAAACCGACAGCGUACAUACAUUACAUUUUCAGUUAUAGCACAAACUUAUGAAGAAAUUGUCCGUAACUUUGAUAAUAAUGAUUGCUAAUCGACACAAUUGACAAGUUAUCUGUAACUAUGAUCUAUUUUGUUAUGCCAUGAAUUUCUUUCCCCUUUUGAUUAUCAUAUCUUCUAUAUGUAUAUAUAGCUCCGAAUCGAUGUAACAUACCAAUUACCAACUACAUUUGGCAUUAUUAUAAGACAACUCUUUCACCGUAGAAGUAUCUCAGUUAUCCCUCACCAUAAUUAAGGAAGUGGAGAUAAAAGGAUCAUGUCCAAACCUUUUUUAUUAAAGAACAAAAUUGUGUAAAACCUAUUAUCUACUCCCAAAAUCUCAAAUUAAACAAUGCAGCCAUAAAAAUUUGGGAUAACUGCAAUCCAACCUUUGGAUAUGUUUGUUAUAUCUUAUAAGUAAUACGAUACAAACAUACAAAUAGAGUACACAUAAUCAAAGUUUAUUAAGCAACGCAUGUAUGUAACUUCAUAAUAUUUUUUAUGUUGUUGAUGCUUCUUGAUUCAUAAUAGUUAAUUAAGCAUCGCUUUUCAGUAACUUAAUAAUUUUUUUGACACUAAUAAUGCACAAAAGUUAAUUAAGUACCGCAUUAGAAUAACUUCAUAGUACUUUUUUGACACUCUUAUUGCACAAUAGUAAAUUAAGCACUGUUUUUGAUAACUUCGUAAUUUUAUUGACACUAUCAAUGCACAAAAGUUAAUCAAAAACCACAUUUCAAGUACCUUUAUAACUUUUUUUUGACACUAUUGGUGCACAAAACUUAAUUAAGCAUCACAAUCUUAAGUAACUUCAUAAUCAUUUUGACACUGAUGAUACACAAAAGUUAAAUAAACGCCGCGUUUUAAUCAACUUUAUACCUUUCGUUGGUACAAAAUUAAUUAAUCACCACUUUUAAGUAACUACAUGCAGUAAUAUUUAUUAAGUUCCCAAUCUCAUCGAUCCUCUAUCCAUGCUUUACUUUUUGUUGCCUAUUUCUUAUGUACUAGCUUUUCGUUAGUCCAGUUUCAGGAUUGUAGGAAGAAAAACAUUAUUGGUUUUCAUUAAUUACUUCCUCCGUUCCAAAUUAUCCGUCCCAAAUUUUUUAAUUUGAUUUCUCAUUUUACUUGUCUUUUUUCAUUAAUCAAGAAGAGACAAAAAAAAAAUUUCUAUGUUUUACCCUUUGCAUUAAUUACUUUUUCUUUAAAUUAAAAUGUAAACAUCAUUUAAUAGGGGUAUUAUAAUAAAUUAGAUAUGUUAUUAAUUAUUUUUUUUAAUCAAUGUGUCAUCUCUAUUUGGGAUGGAGGAAGUAUCUCAUUGUCAAAUUGGGGAGUAGAAAUAACAACACAAUGACAAAAUUGUCUAAUUCUCAUUCAAAACCAAAUUAAACCCCAAAUUUACGAAAUUAAGGUACGUAGCUUGUUUAUUUAUUUGAUACAACACUUGAUACAACUGUUCACAUAUCUACACUUGUUUAAGUAGGUGGUAAAAAGCCUCAAAUGGAGAGACUUUAAACACUGCUCUUAGGUAAUGUCAUAAUUAUUUUGUUUUUUGAUGUAAUUGGUGCACAAAAGUCUAUUAAACAUUAUUUUUAUGUAAAUACAUAAAUUUAUUGAUAUUGUUGGUGUACAAAAGUUAAUUAAGCACCAUUUUAAGUAAUUAUAUUUUGGAUUUAUUGGUGCACAAAAGUUAAUUAAACACCAUUUUUGUCUAACUUCAUAAUAUUGUGACACGAUUGUUGCACAAAAGUUAAUCAAGGUCCACAAUUAAGUGUCACCCCUUUUUUUAACUCCAAAAUGAUUUGUUUUAGGGUUUCGAAAGGGUUUUUAUUAUUAACGUGACAAAAUAAAGAUUUGUUUCGAAAAAAGAUUAUUUUUAUAUUCAAAACUCAGAGUCGCCACUUGCCAUAAUCCGGUGUGCCAAGUCACCUUUGGCAAAUCCUUUUCAAAACAAUUUGACUCUUUAAACUGGUUUGCGAACAGAGAUUCCGGCUAAGGAAUUCUGUUGACCGAGGGAAAGGUGUUAGUCACCCCCCGAUCCCAUGGUUUGGCCAUAGUCGCUUGGUAGAACGUAUCGGGUAAUUUGACACUACAAAUGUACAAACCACAAAGGAGCACGUAAAGCAAUCAAACAAACAAACCAAAUAAAACAAAUAAAAGUAUAGUGUUCAGUUCAAUUAUACAGUUCCAAAAUAAAAAUGCAAAAAUAAAUCCUAUCUAACCUAUACUAAUCCUAACUACGCUCCCAGACUUUACCCGAUGCCUCGGGCCUUCCUUACAAACGUCUUCCACCAACAUAGUACGUCGGGGUAUUCCCCGGUGAAUAACUACAAUGUUUCUCGGGGCGUUCUCCGGCUAAAUGAUACAUUCGAUCCAAAAGUAAUAAAACCAAACCAUUCAACACACAUUUCAAGCAUUCAAUAAUUCAACGAGCAAAACACUUAUUCCUAAAUAUUUGCCUACCCGAACCAAGUUUUAGCUAUUCAUUCGAUGCCUAAUCAUGAUGCUAUCCAAUUUGAUAAUAUUCAGUAAUGAAUCAAAAUAAACAACCUUCGACUUAUUCAAUUAUUAAUUUUGGAUCCCGACCCCCAAAUUCAUUCUUAAUGAUUAAACCAAUUCUAGACACAUUUCAUCAAUCAAGUUUUCAACUCCAAAUUCAACAUCAAACAAACAAACAACGCGGAUUCGUAUAUGCUCAAACACAAAUCAUUCGUGAUCAUGGGAAAAUAAAAAAGAAGAAGAAGUUAGCAUUGGACCUCAAAGAGAUUUCGAUUGACUUAAUAAAAGAAAUAAGAGCCCGUCCAAGAACCUCGAAGAACGCCAAUGAAAGCCCAAUCCUCCGAAUCAAUCGAGAAACAAUCCAAGAACGCAAUAAACUCCAAAUUCUAAUCCGAACCAAAUAUAUCUACGAGUGAAAUCGAUGAACAAAGCUAGACCAAAUACUUAAGUAUCGCACGAGUCAACCAAAAUCAGCCAAGAACGACGAACAACCAAACUAGAAUUUCCAAUCAACAAAAAAAAGAAAAUGGAAGAACCAAACCAACGAGACCAAGUUUCCAGCGAGCUGAGACAACGGCAAAAGGCUUAAACUCCAGAAAUCUAACGUUUUCUGGGGAGAUUUCUUCUUUAAAAGAAGAGAAAAAAAUGAGAAGAUUUGGGAGUUUUGAGACCGGUUUAUACGAACGACGAGCGGAGGAGAUGAUUUUAGUGAAGCUACUGCUGGAACAGUAACCCGAAACCUCCCUUUUCUAUUAUCGGAUGGAGAUAUAUAUGGGUAUGUGUAUGUAAAAAUGGAGUUGAAUGGAGGUUGGGGGGUCUGUGUGUUUAUCUCCAAGAGCAAAAAAAAAUCCUUCUUUUUCUUAGUGAGUAUCAGUGUAUAGCUAUGGUGAGGUAUGAACCAAUUCAAUCCAAAAAAAAAAUGACGAGUAUCUGUAUGAUUUUCAUGGGUGGUAGAUGAUUGAUACUAAACUAUAAGCUUGAAUUUAAAUGGUGUGGUGGUAAAUAGUGGCAAGAGUUUGAUGAUGCAUGUUUUGUGGGAUUAAAUUAGUAGGCUUGAGGUGCUGAAAUAGUAUAUGCUAAUGGAUUAUGAUAAGGGAAAAUCGUUAGGUCAUGAUCGAUUAUUGUGGUUAUGAAGUUCUAGUGCACUAGUGUUUCAUGAUGUUUAUUUAUAGUUUCCAAGUGAAAAUUUUGUGUAAGGUUGGGUUGUAAAUCAUGCAAUAGCACUUGAUAUUAAGUUUGAAUAGUUGAUGUCCAUGAAGGUAGAUGUGUUGAUUUCUUGGUUAAUGAUACUAGUUAUAUGGUAAUGGAAGUGAUCUAAUAGGCUUGAACGGUGUAUGAAAUGUCUUAAGUUUAAGUUGAUUCGUAAUGAAGUAUAAUGUUGUAGGUAUGGUGGGUAAAUAUGCCCAAGGCGAUAUGGAGUUGUGGAAUUUCUCUAGGACUAUUACAUGUUGUGUGUGACUAGUGGUACCGUAGAUUUGCUAGUUGGAAAAAGACUAGUUAGAUGGUAGAUGGUGUUCUAGAUAGCUAAGUUAAGGAGUUUUUAUUGAUAAUGUUGAGCCUUUUGAUAUGAUCUUGAUUCUUAUAGUAGAGAGAUAUAAGUUUGGAGUCGUGAUACUAGUAGGCUAUCUCAGAAGUAGUAUGAUUCAUCAAAGGCUUGGUGAUAUCUAUGUUAAGUGUUAGAAUCUAAGUUUGAAUUUUUGAAGGUUGAACUGACAAAAAUAAGAGUUAAAGCGCUAGAGGGUGUGCACUCUGACUAUGGGGAUACUCAUGAAGAUUCGAAGUUCGUAAGUGUUCAAGUAUUAUAUGAUGACUAUUGGGGGACUAUAGAAAGAUAGAGUGUAUAAUGCUAGAUGAUGACUUGAAGCUAAGGGGGAGAUGAUAGAACGAAUAACCAAGUAAGGCUAUCAGAUUUUAGUAGUGAUGUAGUAUGACAUAGAACAUCAGAAAGUGAGGGUGAAUCUCAACCCAUUCCUACCUCAGUAUUUUUAUUUUCAGUUAUUCGGAUGCUUACUCAUGCCUUACGAUCCAGUUCUGUGAUAGUAGUUCAUGAUUCCUGUAUAUGAUAGAGAGUCACGUACUCUUCCAGUUCCGAGAUAAUGAGUUCUAGUUCAUUCAAGUAGUCAGAAUCACAUUCCUUAUGUUAUGAACUCUAGUUGAGGUCAUGCAACUCAUGACACAUGUACUCACUCUUUAUAGUGUGCUCAGUCCCUUAUAAAUUUUUUUUCAUGUUUCAAGGUCUUAUGUUUUAACCUUUUUGUGACCCGCCCUAUGCAAUGAUAGUGGUGAUGAUGUAAAUAUUCUUGUUGAUGGAAGAUCAUAGUAUGCUUGUUUAGAUACGGCCAUAAGUAUGAAGUAAGAUUUGGGGCCAAGUCUCUGAUACAUGUGAUGGUUAGUGGAAAAGUUUGUGUGUGUUUGUUUUUAGGAUAGCGCAUAGGAGUUAUAUUGAUAAUAGUGUAGAAAACUAUUUGAAGUAUGUAUUUAUGGGCGUCUGGCUUUAAGUUAACAUGUCGUUAAAAUUAUGCUUGAAUGACGUUUUGGGAUUGUAGUGGAAGGUCGCCAUAUGCAUUAGCGACUUCAUAUUAAGAGUUCAGAGUAGUCAUUGAAGUGGUAAGGCAUGUUAUGCUUAGGAUGUGAUCUUUAAAAAUGGUGUAGAAAGUGGCAUCAUAUGGUUUAGAAUAAUAGUGUGGUCUGGCAUGUUUUAUUUUUUUUGUGACUUAGAGUUAAGCUUGAUCACGGCGAAGAGAUUAAGUUAUUUCCAACAUUAGUAGAAAGAUUUGUCAAUGCUCAUAUGAGAAUUUUAAGCUGAGUUGAAUGAAUAUGAUAUAUAUAGGGAAUAGUAUAGUUAAGGGAUAUUCCGGAAGUGCUCUAAGCCUUAAAGUAAGAAGUUGUAUUGCGAAAGGUCUAAAAAUUCUAUCCUAAUUUAGGAGUUAUAUGUCUAUAUUCCAAACUGCAAAGUAGUGUCAAUGUUGUGAUUUCCUCAGUUGGAUGUCUUGUGUAAUCCGUACCCAAGAUGCAUGGAUCCCUAUUACUGCUAGAGCUUCUUUAGAGAGAAUGUUGAAGAGAAUACUCCAGUUAAGUAUGAGGGUGUAGUAUAAUUCAGUCUGUAUGGCCAAUAAGUCAGUUUAGUAGUCAGAUUCGCAUGACUUAUUUUCUCGUCUUUGCACUUAUUCAUGCUACUCGAAAUCUCAGACAUGCUACUAUUCCAAGAUAGAGUAUACCAAUAGUUACGAGUAUAGCCCAGUUCAUGCAUCAUGCAUUAAAUUAAGAUUCCAAAUGUUCAGAUAUGAUUCAAUUCGUAGGUGCCCUGUGCAUCGCCUCAGUUUUUUGAGUUUCUUAGUGAAUUGAAGAUUCAUAGAAGGACAUAAGGUCCCAAGGGGGAGAUACCUCAUUCAGCUGUAUGCAUAGAUUCUUAUUACAAGCUCCGCACCAGUUUUCAUUGUGUAUUCAGUCAUACGUUCAUACGUCAGUUCAGUCAGAUAUACAUGUAUUAGAUAUGUAUGUCCGGUAUAAGAAUUCAGAACAUCAGUAGUUCCAACCAUAUGGUCAUGUUUUAGAUCAGUGUAUUCUUUAUUAGAGGACAUAUCAUGUCCGCGUUAUUCCAUACCUCUAAGCUUCAAUAUGUUCCUACCCAUCAUUCGAGGAUGAAUGAUCCUAAGGGGGAGAUAAUGUAACACCCCGCAUUUUAGGCUAGAAUAAAAAUCAUGAUUUCGAUGCAUUGAUAAUCCCGAAGCCAUAAAUCCUAUGCCAAUAUGUCAUGUUAAUUAAUUGUGUAGUAUGUAAAUCCAUUCAAGCUUGAAUUUAGACCAUGGAGGUCCUUCAACUCAAGGACGAGUUGAAACUAUUUCGAUCGACUAAGUUUUAGUGGAUGUUGUAAAGAUUGUCAGCUUCCAUCGAUCAUAACUCUCUGUAUAUGUCAAAUUAGAGAGCCUACUAUGUGUCAAAUGAUAGUUCUUCGAGUUAGCUUUCCAACAAUACCAAGUUUGCUAAAAUCUGACACCCAAGCAAGAAGUUAUGGCCUUUCAAAGUAAUAGGCGGCGCCUAUGUAAACAUAGGCGAUAGCAUAGGCACCGCCUAUGUAAAAGUUUUAGGUGACUUAAACACUCCGUUUUUGGGGUAAAAUGGUCUUUUUCCAUCCUUAUUUAGCCAUAAACACGAAAUUCAAUUCCCAAAGACCCCAAAAUACACCUUCAUUCAUCCAAAUUGUUCAAUAACUCUCUCUAGGGUUUCAAAAUAAAAACCCAAAUAGUUCAAGAUUCAACCAUGGGUUUUCAAAAUAAAUUGAAGAUUUGGAAUCUCUGCAACGUAGGCUUCAAGAAGCACCUAUCAUAUUCGCAUAUAGAGGUACGUGGGGUUAUCCAAAAAUCUCAUAGGCGUAUUUUUUAUGAACAUGCAUGCUUUUAAAUGGGGGUUUUCAAUCAAAUGCUAAUAACUUGCUUUCAAUAUGAUUUCUAAGUCAUUUUCUUUAUGUCAUGGGAAUUGUUUGCCUAUAUACUUCAAUGGUUGAAACCAUGCAUAUGUGAUUUGAGAUUUUCCAUGGAAGUUUGAUAAAUAUGAAUGAUAAAUUAUUUUUAAAUUCCCAUGAUAAUGUUUCGAUACUCCAUAUUAUAUUGUGAUCAACAAAAGAGUGCAUGAAUUUGAACUAAAUAUUAUUCACCACUUGUAAAUGAUGAAGCACCUUGGCUUUUACAUGAUUAUGCAUAUGUGGAUGUGAUAUUGAUGACUUGCAAGUCGGGUAUGACGAUACCCUUCAAAAUAUGAUAUGUGAUUGAAUAAGAUGAAAUUUGAAUGCAUUGAUUUUACAUGAGAAAGGUGGAUGCCCGAAGAAGGCGUUUGAGACACAAGGGCUCAUCGCUGGAAAACGUGUUUGCCGACACAGAAUAUUGGUACCAGGAUAAGUGGUCUUGUGUACUUAACUUCAUGUCAUUCCCAAAUUGGGACUAUAGGUAGGAGCCCGGGCUAAGUGAUCUUGGGCACUACCAUUGGGUCCAGACACCAUGCUAUGUGUCUUGUGUGUCUCUACCUCACUUAUACUCUAAUCUCAGCGGCAACCGAGGUUUGACAGUUGGUGUAAAUUAUGUAGGGUAUUCCACCUAGCUCAGUUGCAUUUCAUUGAUUGUUGAGAAAACUAUUGCAUUACGCCCAUGUGAUUUCAAAUGAUUUGAUACGAAAUUUCUUUAUAAUGGCUCUCAACCAUAUUUUGUAAAAAUAUUAUGUCUUGUUUUGAUAUCUCUGCGUGCCAGUACUUUUUUGCUGACCCCCUUCCCUCUCCAACCUCCCAGGUUUAGAGGCCCAGUCUAGGGGUCAAGAGAAUCAGUAGAUCAUUCAGACAGUUGCAGAGACAAGUGGUGAGCCUUCUAUGUUUCGGAAGGUCUUAUGUCCUGCAGUCCUUUUAUCUUAUAUUAGUUUUGGGUCUACUGGGGGCCUUGUCCCAAUUUAUAUACAGUUACUUGACUCAGUCAUUUGUUAGAGAUUUUCGCAGACAGUUGUUUAGAGGUUGAUUGAUGUUGGGGGAACCUUAUUUCCCCGUUAUUGUUCCUUUUCAUAUUUAUGACCAUGUUUCCGAAUUAUAGUGUUUCUUCCACAUUACUUUGAUCAUAUGAAUUAGGUGCAUGAUUACCAGACAGAUAGGGGUGUUUUGGGCCUUCAUGGUUCGAAAUGCUCGUCACGGCCAGGCCCUGGUUCGGGUCGUGACACUUAUGGAGAAAUUGUCCGUAACUUUCAUAAUAAUGAUUGCUAAUCGACACAAUUGACUAGUUAUCUGUUACUAUGAUCUAUUUUGCUAUGCCAUGAAUUUCUUUCCCCUUUUGAUUAUCAUAUCUUCUAUAUGUAUAUAUAGCUCCGAAUCGAUGUAACAUACCAAUUACCAACUACAUUUGGCAUUAUUAUAAGACAACUCUUUCACCGUAGAAGUAUAUCUCAGUUUCCCUCACCAUAAUUAAGGAACUGUAGAUAAAAGGAUCAUGUCCAAACCUUUUUUAUUAAAGAACAAAAUUGUGUAAAACCUAUUAUCUACUCCCAAAAUCUCAAAUUAAACGAUGCAGCCAUAAAAAUUUGGUAUAACUACAAUCCAACCUUUGGAUAAUCUAGUUUACGAAAUAGCCGGUAAAUGUAUAUGUUUGUUAUAUCUUAUAAGUAAUACGAUACAAACAUACAAAUAGAGUACACAUAAUCAAUGUAUAAAUUUUAUAUAAUUCGACCAUAUUGGUAAAUAAAUUUGUCAAACUGUAAGUAUUUAUAAAUUCUCCUAAUAAUUUCAAUCAAAUAAAGCUUCAUAUCCUCCUAUAUUUUUUUUAUUUUUUUUUGUACUCGUCCACCUUAAUGGUGUUCCUUUGCUAGCCAUAAGGCCCAUAACGGCAAUGGGUUCAUGCAUGACGUUGACAUGUGUGGCCAUGCUAACAACUAGAUAGACCUAAAAAUUUUGUUGUUUCCUUUUGUUGCCUUCUACUAAAGUUAAUGUGAAAUAUCAGGUGAUUCAAAAACAAUUUGGCCCAACUAGUUUUCCCUUUCUAUAGGUAAUAAUAUCACAUUUAUCCUAAAAGAGAAAUUGGCACCACCAAAAAUGUAGCAGACAAAUCACAUUAAUAAGAAUACUCCUAAGAAUGGUUACUUAAUUACCUAAUUUGCAGUUGAUCUCAAAGUGAUUCUCUUUAAUUGAUACCAUUGAUGCACAAAGUUUAUUAAGCAACGCAUGUAUGUAACUUCAUAAUUUUUUUUAUGUUGUUGAUGCUUCUUGAUUCAUAAUAGUUAAUUAAGCAUCGUUCUUGAGUAACUUAAUAAUUCUUUUGACACUAAUAAUGCACAAAAGUUAAUUAAGUACCGCAUUAGAAUUACUUCAUAGUACUUUUUUGAAACUCUUAUUGCACAAUAGUUAAUUAAGCACCGUUUUUGAUAACUUCAUAAUUUUAUUGACACUAUCGAUGCACAAAAGUUAAUCAAGCACCACAUUUAAGUACCUUUAUAAUUUUUUUUGACACUAUUGGUGCACAAAACUUAAUUAAGCAUCACAAUCUUAAGUAACUUCAUAAUCAUUUUGACACUGAUGAUACACAAAAAUUAAUUAAACACCGCCACUGAUGAUACACAAAAAUUAAUUAAACACCGCUUUUUAAUCAACUUUAUACCUUUCUUUGGUACAAAAUUAAUUAAUCACCACUUUUAAGUAACUACAUGCAGUAAUAUUUAUUAAGUUCCCAAUCUCAUCGAUCCUCUAUCCAUGCUUUACAUUUUGUUGCCUAUUUCUUAUGUACUAGCUUUUCGUUAGUCCAGUUUCAGGAUUGUAGGAAGAAAAACAUUAUUGGUUUUCAUUAAUUACUUUCUCCGUUCCAAAUUAUCCGUCCCAAAUUUUCUAAUUUGAUUUCUCAUUUUACUUUUCUUUUUUCAUUAAUCAAGAAGAGACAAAAAAAAAUUUCCAUGUACCCUUUGCAUUAAUUAUUUUUUCUUUAAAUUAAAAUGUAAAUAUCAUUUAAUAGGGGUAAUAUAAUAAAUUAGAUAUGUUAUUAAUUAUUUUUCUUAAUCAAUAUGUCAUCUCUAUUUGGGACGGAUAAUUUGGCACGGAGGAAGUAUCUCAUUGUCAAAUUGGGGAGUAGAAAUAAUAACACAAUGACAAAAUUGUCUAAUUCUCAUUCAAAACCAAAUUAAACCCCAAAUUUACGAAACUAAGGUACGUUGCUUGUUUAUUUAUUUGAUACAACACUUGAUACAACUGUUCACAUAUCUACACUUGUUUAAGUAGGUGGUAAAAAGCCUAUGGAGAGACUUUAAACACUGCUCUUAGGUAAUGUCAUAAUUUUAUUUUUUUUGAUGUAAUUGGUGCACAAAAGUCUAUUAAACAUUGUUUUUAAGUAAAUACAUAAAUUUAUUGAUAUUGUUGGUGUACAAAAGUUAACUAAGCACCAUUUUAAGUAAUUAUAUUUUGGAUUUAUUGGUGCACAAAAGUUAAUUAAACACCAUUUUUGUGUAACUUCCUAAUUUUGUGACACGAUUAUUGCACAAAAGUUAAUCAAAGUCCACAAUUAAGUGUCACAUCCUUUUUUUUUAACUCCAAAAUGAUUUGUUUUAAGGUUUCGAAAGGGUUUUUAUUAUUAACAUGAAAAAAUAAAGAUUUGUUUUGAAAAAAAUUAUUUUUAUAUUCAAAACUCAGAGUUGCCACUUGACAUAAUUCGGUGUGCCAAGUCACCUUUGGAAAAUCCUUUUCAAAACAAUUUGACUCUUUAAACUGGUUUGCGAAUAGAGAUUCCGGCUAAGGAAUUCUGUUGACCGAGGGAAAGGUGUUAGUCACCCCCCAAUCCCGUGGUUCGGCCACAAUCGCUUGGUAGAACGUAUCGACUAAUUUGACACUACGAGUGUACAAACAACAAAGGAGAACCUAAAGAAAUCAAACAAACAAACCAAAUAAAUCGAAUAAAAGUAUAGUGUUCAGUCCAAUUAUACAGUUCCAAAAUAAAAAUGCAAAAAUAAAUCCUAUCUAACCUAUACUAAUCCUAACUACGCUCCCAGACUUUACCCGAUGCCUUGGGCCUUCCUCACGAAUGUCUUCCGCCAACAUAUUAUGUCUGGGUAUUCCCCGGUGAAUAACUACAAUGUGUCUCGGGGCAUUCCCCGGCUAAAUGAUACAUUCGAUCCAAAAGCAAUAAAACCAAACCAUUCAACAUGCAUUUCAAGCAUUCAAUAAUUCAACGAGCAAAACACUUAUUCCUAAAUAUUUGCCUACUCAAACCUACUUUUAGCUAUUCAUUCGAUGGCCUAAUCAUGAUGCUAUCCAAUUCAACAAUAUUUAGUAAUGAAUCAAAAUAAACAACCUUCGACUUAUUCAAUUAUCAAUUUUCGAUCCCGACCCCCAAAUUCAUUCUUAAUGAUUAAACCAAUUCUAUACACAUUUCAUCCAUCAAGUUUUCAACUCCAAAUUCAACAUCAAACAAACAAAUAAAGAGGAUUCAAAUUUCCAAUCAACAAAAAAAAGAAAAUGGAAGAACCGAACCAAUGAGACCAAGUUUUCGACGAGCUGAGACAACAGCAGAAGGCUUAAACUCUAGAAAUCUAACGUUUUCUGGGGAGAUUUCUUCUUUAAAAGAAGAGAGAAAAAAAACGAGAAUAUUUGGGAGUUUUGAGACCGGUUUAUACGAAUGACGAGCGGAGGAGAUGAUUCCGGUGAAGCUACUGCUGGAACAGUAACCCGAAACCUCCCUUUUCUAUUACCGGAUGGAGAUAUAUUUAGGUAUGUUUAUGUAAAAAUGGAGUUAAAUAGANNNNNNNNNNNNNNNNNNNNNNNNNNNNNGGUUAUCUCCAAGAGCCAAAAAUAAAUCCUUCUUUUUCUUAGUGAGUAUCAGUGUAUAUCUAUGGUGAGGUAUGAAUCAAUUCAAUCCAAAAAAAAAAUGACGAGUAUCUGUAUGUUUUCAUGGGUGGAUCUUGUGAAUGGAGAGCUUUUUUUUUAGAAAGUUUGUUAGAGAAAAGAAAUAAAAACUUGGGGUAAAGUAAAGAGGGUAUGGGGUGGGGUAGGUGAAAUUUCCUGGAAGUUACCUAGGUGUGUGUAUUUUCUUUAUGGCCAAGAAAAGGGAGGGAGUCACCUGGGUGAGGGUUAGGUGUUGUUUUUUAAUUGGAGGGGUAAGGGUUAGGUGUCUUAUUUUUUAUUGGGUGGGUUGUUGGAAUCUUUGAAAUAAGACAAAAUUAGUUAUUUGGAUAAAAGUAAAAUAAAUAAAUAAAUAAAUAAGUGAAAGAGGUGGUUAUUUAUUUGUUUUUCUUGUGGGAAGAUUAUAUAUAUAAAAAAAUGGGGUUAAAUUGUGUGAUAACGAAAUAAGAAAUAUUUUUUAGACGGGACAAAAUUACGUGUCUACAUCAUGCCUCCUUUGAAUGUCAACAUUAAGUGUUUUCAGACAAAGAAGUAGAAAACAAGACAGAAUUUUGUCCCGACCAUUAUUCAAAGGAAGAAACAAAAAGAAGAAAGAAGGGCAACCGAGUCAUGACUUAGGACACCCUACCUACCCAAUUUAUGAGGGAAUCAAAUGACAGGUAUCUCAAAGGAUUGAAGGGAGAUGGACUAUACCGAGUUGGAGAGUCGAGUGAGGUUCCAUCGAGGUUUCGGUCUGCAGCUCUGUCAUUACAUCAAAAUGAAAAUUACAAGUUAACAUAUAAAUGAAAUUACAAAAUCCUAUAUAUGCAGCUUUCCUUGACUCUUGGCUCGAGUUUUAUCACCCUAUUCUUCAGGCGGGCUCCUGACUUGCAAUUUCUUUCAACUUGUUGCUUGACUUUCAUUUAUUCGCCCUGCUCUUCAGGCGAGCUUCUCACUUACCAUUUUUGUCUUUCAGUUUCAUCACCCUGUUCUUCAGGCGGGCUCCUGACUUGCAAUUUCUUCAAUUUCCCAUUUUGUCACCCUGUUCUUCAGGCGGGCUCCUGACUUACAUUUUUCUCACCCUGUUCUUCAGGCAGGAUCCUGAAACCAGAAUCAAAACUCGAACGGCAAUUAUUCCAAAAAAAGAUUAUAAUAGGGAAGGAUUUCAUCAUUUUUGAAAGUAAUGUCCCAUUUUCUAGGAGGGUCCUGAAUAGAAAGUAAAUUCCAUUUUUCAGGAGGGUCCUGAACAGAAAGUAAAGUCUCAUUUUUCAGGAGGGUCCUGAAUAGAAAGUAAAAUCUCAUUUUUCAGGAGGGUCCUGAACAUAAAGUAAAAUCCCAUUUUUCAGGAGGAUCCUGAACAGAAAGUAAAAUUCCAUUUUUCAGGAAGGUCCUGAACAUAAAGUAAAAUCCCAUUUUUCAGGAGGGUCCUGAACAUAAAGUAAAAUUCUAUUUUUCAGGAGGGUCCUUAACAUAAAGUAGAAUUCCAUUUUUCAAGAGGGUCCUGAACAGAAGUAAGAUCUCAUUUUUCAAGAGGGUCCUGAACAUAAAUUAAAAUCCCAUUUUCAGGAGAGUCUGAACAUAAAGUAAAAACUCAUUUUUUAGAAGGGUCCUAAAUAGAAGUAAAUUCCCAUUUUUCAGGAGGAUCCUGAACAUAAAGUAGAAUCCCAUUUUUUAGGAGGGUCCUGAAUAGAAGUAAAAUUCCAUUUUUCAGGAGGGUCCUGAACAUAAAGUAAAAUCCCAUUUUUCAGGAGGGUCCUGAACAUAAAGUAGAAUCUCAUUUUUUAGGAGGGUCCUGAACAGAAGUAAAAUCUCAUUUUUCAGGAGAGUCCUGAACAUAAAGUAAAAUUCCAUUUUUCAAGAGGGUCCUAAACAUAAAGUAAAAUCCCAUUUUUCAGGAGGGUCCUGAACAAAAAGUAAAAUUCCAUUUUUGAGGAAGGUACUGAACAGAAAGUAAAGUUUCAUUUUUCAGGAGGGUCCUGAACAGAAAGUAAAGUCCCAUUUUUUAGGAGGGUCCUGAACAUAAAGUAGAAUCCCAUUUUUCAGAAGGGUCCUAAACAGAAAGUAAAAUCCCAUUUUUCAGGAGGGUCCUGAACAUAAAGUAAAAUUCUAUUUUUCAGGAGGGUCCUGAACAUAACGUAGAAUCCCAUUUUUCAGGAGGGUCCUAAACAAAAGUAAAAUCCCAUUUUUUAGGGGGGUCCUGAACAUAAAGUAAAAUCUCAUUUUUCAGGAGGGUCCUGAACAUAAAGUAAAAUCCCAUUUUUCAGGAGGUUCCUGAACAUAAAGUAGAAUUCCAUUUUUUAGGAGGGUCCUAAACAGAAGUAAAAUCCCAUUUUUCAGGAGGGUCCUGAAUAGAAGUAAAAUCCCAUUUUUCAUGAGGGUCCUGAACAUUAAGUAAAAUUCCAUUUUUCAGGAAGGUCCUGAACAUAAAGUAAAAUCUCAUUUUUUAGAAGGAUUCUGAACAUAAAGUAAAAUCCCAUUUUCAGGAGGGUCCUGAACAGAAAGUAAAAUCCCAUUUUUCAGGAGGGUCCUGAACAGAAGGUAAAAUCCCAUUUUUCAGGAGAGUCCUGAAAAUAAAGUAAAAUCUCAAUUUUCAGGAAGGUCCUGAACAUAAAGUAAAAUCUCAUUUUUUAGAAGGAUUCUGAACAUAAAGUAAAAUCCCAUUUUCAGGAGGGUCCUGAACAGAAAGUAAAAUCCCAUUUUUCAGGAGGGUCCUUAACAGAAGUAAAAUCCCAUUUUUCAUGAGGGUCCUGAACAGAAGGUAAAUUUCCAUUUUCCAGGAGGGUCCUGAAUAGAAAGUAAAGCCCCAUUUUUUGGGAGGGUCCUUAACAAAAAGUAAAAUUCCAUUUUUCAAGAGGUUCCUGAACAGAAAGUAAAAUUCCUCAUGGCUGUGUUUUUCCAAUGGUAACUAAAUUAAGUGAAGUGAAUUUUCCCCUGUUUCAACAAAGAAAAUUUACCAGUUAAAAGCUUAGUGAUGGCUUGCAGCACUUGGCUUCCCAAGCAUCUGCUCCAACCGUUGUUCCUUUCACCUUUAUUUCAGAUCGCUAAAACUUGCCCCUGUCUUGUCGCGUCAUUGACCCGAAUCCAGAUUGAGUGAAAUGAGUUCUGGCUCAAAUUAUGAAUUUCCAUUUUACCAUGCCUUUGAGAUGCACCCUUUUCCAAAUCUGAAUACUCCCACGAAUCUCGCAGCCUGUCGGUUGAUAAACUUCCAUUGCUUUGUGUUUAAUUAUAAUCAUAUUUCUUUCAUGUGCUGGUCCUUAGCUUUUCCUCAUACAAUUGGAAAGACUAGUAGCAGGUUUUGAAAUCAUUUCUCGCUUGCUUGGACACAGACUUGACUUAAAAUAUAAAGAAAUGAUGGUAACUUUUAUUUUGAUAAAUGACAUAAAAUGACAAAAUAUGAAUAUGUAAAUGAAAGAAAAAGGCAAUGUACCUUAUUCAAAAAGAAAACCUAUCUAAAUACGGAGAUCAACUCCAAUGAGUAUGACAUGCACUUUGGAUUAAGCUGCCUGAUCUUCCUAUCCAAACUUCCCUUUUAUUGUUGAGUUUAUGCCUUUGCUGCUGAGCCGCUUCUUCAAAUACAUUGGACUCAUAUAUCUCAUUCAAUUUAGGACAUCUUAAAAGACUUUCGCCAACAAAUCUCUUUCUUUUUCACUUUUUUCCCAAACUCGCCAUCGCCUUACGGUGCCCAUAAGGGUUUUCACCAAUAAGACACUCUCAUUUUUAUUUUUCUCAACUCCCCAUUUCCUUAUGGUUCCCGUGACGGUAUUCACCAGUAAGACUCUAUCAUUUUUAUUUCUCUCAGUUCACCAUUGCCUUGUGGUGCCCGCGAGGGUUUUCACCAAUAAGACUCUCUCAUUUUUAUUUCUUUCCUGACUUCUUAUGCUGAGGAAAACAAGUAGUACCCCACAAUGUAUCAUCAUAUCCAUUGCAUGCUUAGCCUUAACAUUAUUAAAGAUUGAUUUGAAGGUCUUUCUUUGGCUGUAACUUGGUUUUUGGAUAAGGUUAGGAUGAAAGGAUGGCAAGAGGCUCAAACGACACUUGAAGUGGGAGUGGGAUUUACAACUUUUGAAAUCGACUCAAUAACAUAUUAGAUCAUGCCCCAGUUUUUGGUUGAAUAGGUGACUCUAAAAUGGCUUAUUUGGUUGGACCGAGCCCUGAAUAGGGCAGCCUACGUAUCUCACUCCCAAGAGAGAAGAAUCAGGUCGCACGUAGUUCCAUCGGCUUGUUCUUUGUUUUGAUUUCAUUUUUUUCUCUCUUUUUUCUUUUAUUUUCGAACUCUUUCUUUUAUUCUUAUUUUCCUGACAUUUAUCUUUGACUCUAUUUUGAUUUCAAAAGAGGGAAAUGAAAGAAAAAUAAAACUAUGCUCAAACGGGUAAAUAAAGGAUGACACAAUGUUUGGAUAGAAGAAUAAAAUACCUUCAUUAUAUCAAUAUUCAAAAAUGCAAGUACUAAACAUGCAAUAAAAUCAACAAAGGAUAAAAUAUCAUACGUAAUAUCUUUUGACCGCAUCUGCAUUGUUAACCAUUUCUACCAUUUUACCUUCAAUAUCUGUCAAAUAUAAGGCUCCAUUGGGCAACACUUUCUUCACAAUGAAGGGAUCUUGCCAGUUUGGGGAGAACUUGCCUUUCGCUUCAACCUGGUGAGGAAGGAUACGCUUCAAUACCAACUAACCAACUUCAAAAUGCCUGGGUCGUACCUUCUUGUUAUAUGCUCGAGACAUUCUCUUCUGAUACAAUUGGCCAUGACAUACCGACGUUACCCUUUUUUUCUCAAUCAAAUUCAAUUAUUCCAAUCGGGUUUCAACCCACUCAUCAUUAUCAAUCUCUGCUUCCACAAUGACUCGAAGAGAGGAAAUUUCAACUUCUGCAGGAGUGACUGCUUCUGUCCCAUACUCCAAUAAAUAUGGAGUUUCCCCUAUUUAAGUGCGAACAUUAGUGCGAUAACCUAGCAAUGCAAAUGGCAACUUCUCAAGCCAUUGUCUAGACCCUUGUAGCAUUUUCGUAAUAUCUUCUUGAUAUUUUUAUUUGCGGAUUCCACCGUGCUAUUAGACUUUGGACGAUAUGGAGUGGAAUUUCGGUGUGCGAUCUUAAACUGUUGGCACACUUUUUGCAUCAAAUGACUAUUGAGAUUGGUAGCAUUGUCUGUAAUGAUCAUCUUUGGAAUUCCAAACCUACAAAUAAUGUUGGCAUGAACAAAAUCUACCACUGCUUUCUUUGUUACUAACUUAAAAGUUACUGCUUCUACCCACUUUGUAAAGUAAUCGAUGGCCACCAAAAUGAAUCUAUUCCCAUUUAACGUUUUUAGCUCAAUUGGCCCAAUCACGUCCAUCCCCCAAGCUACAAAAGGCCAUGGAGCAAACAUUGCAUGCAAUUUAGCGGGAGGAGAAUGUAUCAGAUCACUGUGUACCUGACAUUGAUGACAUUUCCGAACAAAACAAAUAGAAUCCCACUCCAUAGUAAGCCAGUAAUAACCUGCUCAAAGUAUCUUCUUUGACAAGAUAUAAUCGUUCAUAGGCGGCCCGCAUACUCCAGAGUGUAUUUCAACCAUGACCGCCGAGGCUUCUCUUGCAUCUACACACCUCAAAAGUCCCAGAUCCGGGGCUCUAUUAUAUAAGAUUCCCCCACUUAAGAAAAAUCCACUAGUCAAACGCCUAAUUGUCCUCUUUUGAUCAUUGAUGGCAUGUGUUGGGUAUUCUCCUGACUGAAUGUAUCACUUGAUAUCAAAGAACCAAGGUUCUCCAUCUAGCUCUUCUUCAACCGCAUUACAAUAAGCAUUCUAAUCACGACUCUGUAUAUGCACUGGAUCGAUUUAGGCUUUAUUAGGAUGUUGGAGCAUUGAAGACAGAGUGGCUAAAGCAUCAGCAAUCUCAUUAUGAAUCCUUGGAAUAUGCCUAAAUUUUACUGACACAAACCGUUGACAUAGCUCAUGCAAUCAUUGUCGAUACGGUAUGAGCUUCAAAUCUCGCGUCUCCCAAUCGCCUUGAAUUUGAUGGAAGAGUAAAUCUGGAUCCCCCAAUACUAAUAGUUCCUGGACUCUUAUAUCAACAGCUAACCUCAAACCAAGAAUGCACGUUUCGUAUUUCGCCAUGUUAUUGGUACAAUAAAAUCAAAGUUGUGCUGUUACCGGGAAAUGUUUCCCCAAUUUAGAGAUAAGAACCGCACCUAUUCCGACUCCUUUCAUGUUGACAGCACCAUCGAAGAGCAGCUUCCAACCUGGAUCAGCAUCUAUAAUGACUUCACCAACACACAAUGCCUCUUCAUCUGGAAAAUAUGUCUAUAAUGGUUCAUACUCUUCAUCAAUGGGAUUCUCAGCAAGAUGGUCUACUAAGGCUUGAGCUUUCAUGGCGGUUCGAGUCACAUAUACAAUGUCAAACUUGGUAAGCAAUAUUUGCCACUUUGCCAAUCGACCUGUUGGCAUAGGCAUCUGAAAGAUAUACCUCAAAGGAUCUAUGCGGGAGAUAAGAUAAGUAGUGUAGGACAAGAGAUAAUGCUUCAACUUCUGUGCUACCCAAGUUAGGACACAACAGGUCCUUUCAAGAAGAAUGUACCUGGCCUCAUAUGCGAUGAACUUCUUGCUAAGAUAAUAAAUAGCUUGCUCCUUUUUGCCUAUGACAUCAUGUUGACCCAGGACACAACCAAAAGAAUUGUCCAUGACUGAUAAAUAAAAGAUCAAAGGCCUACCAGGCUCCAUGGUACUAGCACGGGCGGAUUUGACAAGUAUCUUUUGAUUCUAUCGAAUGCUUCCUAACAUUCUUGGUCCAUUCUACCACGACACUCUUUUUCAGCAACUUGAAUAUGGGCUCACAAGUGGUUGUGAGUUGAGAAAUAAAUCUGCUGAUGUAGUUCAGUAUACCAAGUAAACUCAUCACCUCCAUCUUAUUCUUGGGUGGGGGCAAAUCCUAAAUGGGUUUGAUUUUUGAGGGAUCCAAUUCAAUUCCCCGAUGGCUGACUACAAACCCCAACAGCUUUCCAGACGGAAUUCCAAAUACAUAUUUUUCCAGGUUGAGCUUGAGAUUAUACCUGCGAAGCCUUUCAAAGAACUUUCUUAAAUCUUUAACAUGGUCAGCCUGACUUUUUGACUUAAUAAUUAUAUCAUCUACAUACACCUCAAUCUCCUUAUGCAUCAUAUCAUGAAACAUAGUGGUCAUGGCUCUCAUGUAUGCUACUACAGCAUUCUUCAAACUGAACGGCAUCAUUCGAUAAUAAUAGGUCCCCCAUAGUGUGAUAAAAGACAUCUUCUCCGCGUCUUCAUCAUCCAUAUUGAUCUGGUGGUAUCCGGCAUAACAAUCAACAAAAUAGGCAACCUCAUGUUUAGCGCAGUUGUCCAGCAAAAUAUGGAUGUUGGGCAAUGAAAAAUCAUCUUUUGGACUUACUCUGUUCAAAUCACGGUAAUCAACACAUACUCGAAUUUUGCCAUCUUUCAUUAGGAUAGGAACAACAUUGGAUAACCACGUGGGAUAACGAGCCACUUGAAUUACUUUGGCUUCAAGUUGUUUCAUGAUUUCCUCUUUGAUUUUAAUACUUACAUCAGUUUUAAACUUCCUCGAUUUCUAUUUGACAGAAGGGAAUGCGGGAUCAGUUGGCAAUUUAUGAGCCACUAAUUCAGUGCUUAAACCGGACAUAUCAUCAUAAGACCAUGCAAAAACAUCCUUAUAAUCAAUUAAUGCUUGAAUAAAUCCAUCUUUUAACUGUGGCAAAGCAUGUACACUGAUUUUAGUUUUCCUAACAUCUUCUUUAUUCCCUAGAUUAAUUGGCUAAAUUUCAUUCAAAUUAGGAUUCGGCUUGUCUUCAAACUGUUCCCAUUCUUUGCUUAUUUCUUCUAGUGCAUCUUGUUUAUCAUAUUCCCCCUCUUGCUUUAUUAUAUCUUGAUUAGUUUGGAUUUUAAGAUCAGGCUGAAAAUUUCACAUGAAUUUCAUGUCAUUAGAAUCAGCAUAAAGAGAACUGUAUAAAGAAAAAGAUAAAAACAAAAUGUAUUAGACAUAAAAUAAGAGGGACAUUGCAUUUUAUUUAAAGGGGAAAGAUAAGAGGGUUUAAACACAAACAAUAGAAUAUAAAUAAGCUAAAUUAUGAAUUACAAACCUGGAAUAACUCGGAUAAAUAGAAAGAAAAACAAAAUAAACUACCAAAACUCCCUCCUGACGGGGAGAAGAGAGACUUCCUAAUUGUUGAGGUGGACAGCUGGGCCUAUGAACUGCACACCUACCUUACUGGUACCUUCUCCUGCUUCAACUAUAUCAACUUCAAUAAAAAGGUUUUGGAAGUCACUAACCAAUUCAGCUUUAAAUUCUACAUGCUUCGUGACACCGCUCUUAACAAAUGAUUCACUGAGUAGUGGUAUUGGGCAAGGAAUUGACUAUGUUUUCUUUUUCCUUCCACCGUAGGCUCAAAUCCCAGACCAAAAGUGCCCAUGUUCUCACUUGAACAUAUGGGACGAACUAUACCAUGCAAUGAAGCUCACAAACCCCUUCCUGGCUCAAAAAUGUAUUUCAAAAGUUCACUCACCAUCAUGAUAAAAGCGGAAGACAAUUGUGGUCCCGGUAUAACCUGCCCUUCAAGGAUACAAUCCACUGGCACUGUAUCAAAAAUUUGAUAGACAAAUAUCUCAUCUACAUUAUUUGAUUCAAUAAGAGAUAAGGGAGAAUCUUCAUAGGCGAACAAAUCUCCUUCACCGUGAUAACCACUUCUUGCCUGUCAUGCUCAAACUUAAUCAUCUGGUGCAGUGUAGAUGCAACCGCUUUAGCUUGUGGAUCCACGGUCUUCCUAACAAUAGAUUUUAGGAGGAUUUGAUGUUCAGAAUUUGAAACUCUAGAGCAAAUUCAACAGGCCCUAUGAUCAACAUCAGUUUUAUUUCGCCAAUGGUGUUUGGUUUUGCUCCGUCGAAAGCCCUGACACAUACAUUGUUAGGCCUGAUCCUCUCCACGCCAAUAUUCAAAUUUUGCAAGCUGGAAAUAAGGUAAAUAUUGGCACCUGAACCUCCGUCAAUCAUGACAUGAGUGAUUUAGAAAUCUUCACACUUCACGGUAAUGUAAAGACCCCGAUUAUGGCCCAUACCAUCAACUGGUAAUUCGUCAUCAAAGAAACUGAUUUGAUUUACUUCAAUGAUUUUUCCAACCAUUUUCUCAAGCUGAUUUACUGUAAUCUUCCCUGGAACAUAUGCUUCAUUUAAUACCUUUAAUAUAAUAUCACGAUAUUCCUUAGAAUGCAACAACAAAGAUGAGAGGGAAAUUUGAGUAGGGAUUUUCUUCAACUGAUCUAUUAUUGAAUACACUGGCAACUUCAUCUUUUUCAAAAAUUCUUUAGCUUCUUCUUCGGUGACAGACUUUUUGAUAGAUGAAGGUCCACUCACAAUUGUCUUGGACUUCCUUAAACAUUCAGGCACGAAGCAUCUUCCUGACCGAGUCAAACCCCCUACCUCAUCUACAUUUUCCACUACUUCCUCCCCCUGAUAGGUCAUCACAGUCUGCUUAUAGUUCCAGGGAACCCUUUUUGUAUCAACUAUCGGAGGUUAGGUCACCGAUUUGAGGACAAUAGGCGCUACCAGUGCUCCUUUCACCACCAAGAUAGGCUUAGUCGGAGCUCCUACCACUGUCAACUUAGGUUUAUCCUGAAUUAAAUCAACAUAUCUUCUGGCACCUUGCACUGUGAUCAUGAGUUUCUUUGUGCUUUCUUGGGCUUUAUCUUCUCCCAUUCCUUCAUGGCUUAAUGACAUUACUUUCAACGACUCUGCUACAUUCACUGAUUUUUCCUCAUUGGUCUGUAUCUUGACAAUAGGCUUAUAACACCUUGACGAUUCUUUCCCAUCAUAUAUCAAUUCUAACAUAUUGGUUUCAGCAUGGGUUGGCAGCGGAUUUUGGUUAAUGUUUGGAACCUCCGAGGCCUGGACCAGUAUCUGAUUUGUUUUAAUUAAAUCUUGGACAGCUCUCUUUAAAUACCAUCAUUUCUCGAUAUCGUGGCCUGGCAUGUCAGAAUAAUAUGCACACCUUAAAGAAUAAUCGAGAUUCCUCAGAGGUGGAUUUGAAAGCCUUUCUUAAAUUGGGGUUAAAACCUUCAUCUUUCUCAACCUAUCAAAGAAGCUAGCAUAUGACUCCCCAAGAGGUGUGAACAAAUUUUUGACCGCCUUCUCUUUUUUGUACUCGGGCCUGGGUUUGAAACUGGAUCUGGAGGGGUUUUGGUAAUUUUGUGAAGCUGAUGGGCGACUUUAUGGAGCUUGCGGUGCUAUUGUAAGUAAGAAGGGGUUUGGGCAUAUGGUUGCGCGCUAUAUACUGGGUGUGGGGUGGUGGAAUGGAAUAUAAUGGGUUUUUAGGAGGAUAGUAAUGGUGGGGAGGAAUAUAUGGAGUUUGGGUGUAGGCCUGGGCUUGGGAUUGGAGAUAUGGGUGAGGCGGUAUUUUGGGAUAGGAAUGGGUUCCAGCUGCAACGGUCGUCACGUCCUCUUUCUUAUUUUUGCCUCCAAACGCUCCAGAGCCACUUUGAAUCGCUUGGGUGGUGGCUUUCAAUGCGGCAAAACUCACUAUUCGGCCAGUCUUGAUUUCAUCUUCUAUCAUCUCCCCCAUUGAGAACUUUAAUAAAAGACUUUUCCAUUACCGAAAGUAAAUGUUGAAAAUAGGUCUCAUCUUGUGCCUGAAUGAAAACCUCUACCAGCUUACUUUCCUUCAUUGGAGGCUUUACCUUGGCGGCCUGUUCACGCUACCUUAUCGUGUAUUCCCUAAAGCCUUGAGGGCUUUUCUUCUUCAUGUUGAUCAAGGAUUUUUCGUCAGGAAUCAGGUCGAUAUUAUACUAAAAAUGUUGUACAAACUAAGAAGCUAAGUCAUCCCAGCUGUUCCACUUGUCGAUAUCUUGAUCGACAAACCAUUCUGAAGCCAGAUCAGAAAGGCUCUCGCCAAAGAAAGCCAUUAGAAACUCUUCCCUUCCUCAUGCAGCCCUCAAUUGGUUGCAAUAAUGUCUCAAGUGCGCCACGGGAUCACCAUUCCCAACAUACUUCUCAAACUUGGGCAUUUUAAAAUCGAGGGAAAGUUGACGUCUGGGAACAUGAAAAGAUUUUUAUAGGAAACACUCUUACAACCUCCAAUUCCCUGCAAAUUCCUCAAGGCCUUUUCCAAACUUUUCAAUUUCCAUGUUAUGGCCUUCUUUCCUCUAUUGCAAUAGGUUUCUCCAUAUCAAAUAGAAAUACAUGUGGCUUAGUGUACCCAUAUGGUUCAUUCAUUCUCAAAGUAGGCUCCGGGGCAUAAUACUGACUAUCUGAAACCUUCAAUACUGGAUCACUAGUAGAUCAAAGAAGCACCAUUGUCGGACGCACAAAUAGGUGGGAGCUUUAGGUAGUGGUGGAGCCACGAAAACAGGCACUGCCGGUGGCACCGGCUGAGCAGCAUGCCUUGGUUGGGGAACUGCCAAGGGCACACUAGAUGUGCUAGGAUAAUAUUAUCGAGGAGUGAAUCCUGGAUCGUGUUCCGAUGACUCCACGGGAGCAGAUAAUUGAGCCUGAAAAAGCGGUGGGCAGUUAGAGAUAUUCCUAAGAUCUUUAGGGAGCGGAGAAGGAGGCAUGCCACUAGCCCAUGCUCGGUGCAUAUCUAUUAAUUAUUGCCUGAGUCUUAGAACCUUAUCAUUGCCUUCAGAACUUUCCUUCUGAGGAUCCUGAUCUGGGUCAAUGAACGAAUUUUCAAUCUCCCUUCUAGCCAUGGCGAGCUUUGAUUUUGAUCUAGUGAAGUGCGGGUGACUAGCAAGAGUGCUGCAAGCCAACCACUAUUAUCUGAAAGAAGAUGCUCAUCAAAGACAACACCCGUUAGGAUUAGUUCACACAAUAAGCAUGGGAAUCACAUUGGUAAAAUUGUCCUAGAUUCAUGUUCAUUUUUACCAGUUUUGGAGGGUAACGAGGUCAUUUUAACAUCAUCCCGAUUUCAUCUACACUCAUUUGCUUCUUUCCCCCAAACACACCUCUUUUCUUUCGCCCUUAUUUUCCUCUUUUUUUGCAUGUCUCUGUUCUUUCCCUUUCUUGUCUCAUCAUCCUUUCUUUCUUUUAUUCUCUAGCCAUCUCAUUUCUUUUUAUCAUUCUUUAUGGCUUUUGCUUUUCUUUAAAAAAUAAAAUUGGGGGAAAAUCAAAGAAACAAAAUGAUUAGAUCGAACCCAAAAAUAGGUUGCCUACGUAUCAUGUUGUUCAUGAAUCAGAUCUUGCGUAGUUCGGGAUGCAUAUGCAUAAAUAUCACAUAGUUGAAGGUUUUUUUUUUCACGAAAAAUGAAAACAAACAAACAAAAGAAAGACGUAACAUCAUAACAUUUUGAUGAAAGAAAAAACAAAAACAUACAACGUAAUUAAGACAACCUCGAUACUAAUCAACAAAGACUGAAUGACAUUCUAGACUAACAUGACAACAUACAUAAUGCUCCUAAUAAAGACUCCAAAGUUAAAGCAAACUUGACACCGACUUAACAAAGACACAAUACUACAAAUGGCAGAAAAGUAAAGGACUCAAACUAAACAAAAGAUAGGAAAUGCUCCUUCAAACUGGUUCUCUGCUCGACGACCCUGGGUGAGAUGGACCUGCCUGUGAAGUUCUCUUUCUCCCAUUCAAACUAUGUAGCAUAUCUUGUAAGGACCCUUCAAUAUUUGGGAAAAUGCCUCUGGCACGUAUUCCUGCCUCAUGAGGAGUACAUUUGAAAAUACUAUUCUAAAACCCCUCCAUAGUUUUGAGCAAACCUAAUAACUGAACUCUUAGUGCCUCUACCUAUGCCCCCGCCCCUUCAUCCUGAUGGUCGCCAACUAUGCAUUUAUCUUGUAUCCUCCCUCUAAGCUGUACUGGCAAUGGUAUACUGACACCCGGAGGAAUAGAUUGUAACCGUAUUCUAUAUCCUUGAGUGUAUCCAGGAUUAUAUAAACCCGUCCUAAGAGUAUCUACGCCCUGCCAUGUUGCAUUACUCCAGAAUUGCCCAUACUUGAUCUCACCCCUGGCUUGGUCCCUAAAGUACUCCACAUCCUGUUGAAAGUCCACUAUUAGAGGAACAUCUUGGACUCUACCCAAUUGACGCAUUACCUUAAGAGGAGUGUAUGGUCGGGUACAAUUAAGCCCCAACAAAACUAGAUGGGGUGUAUGCUAGAUCCAACUAAGAUUACUUUCGGUCGGAACCAUAGAUAGGUACAAGACAUUGCUAUCUAUUCUUGAUUCAAGGAACUCAACCCAAGUGUCGACUUCUAUAGGCAAUGAGAAUUUAGCAAAACCCAUUCUAUAUUCUAUGGUUUCCACUCGACUAGGAAGACAACGGUCAAUCACAUUAGAUUUAAGCAAAGAAAGGGCGUGCAAAUGCUCUAUCAUCCAUAGUUGUAACACUAGGUUGCUCCCCUCAAAAAAUCGCAUACCCCCUUUUAUCUCGGUCAAAGCUUUGUAUAUUUCCACCAAGACAACAGGCAUGAUAGUGACCUUGUCUCCUUAUAAUUGUUAAAUAAGGCCAUCGCUACAGAUUGCAACCAAGUAUUAAUACGUCUAUCUUCCAAGGGGAAUACCAAAGUGCCUAACAGAACAAAGGUGAAGACUUCAAGGCGACGUUUCUCCCAAUUCUGCUUAGUUGUAUAAAAUUCAUCCCAAAAACAAUCAAAACCGUCUAGGAGGCCAAAUCGAGCAUACAAGUAAUAGAAAUAGAUCCAAGAUUGGUUAAGGCAACCCAGAUGGUCAUUAACUUUCAACCCAUAAUCGUGGAGAAACCUAUUAGGAGAAUGACACCGCGCUCGAAUUAUCAUCUUUUAAUGUAGGGCAAUUUAAAUAAACCAGAUAUCUCCGCCAGGGUAGGUGUCAUUUCAUAACUCCCAAGCCUAAAAACCAGACAAGUUGGAUCCCAAAAAGUCAAUGCAUCCUCGAUCAAGUUUGGACGGGGCAUGAUAGACAAGAGAGAAGUGAGAGUGCGUAGCUUCUUUGAUAAUUCAUGCCUUUCGGAGUAGUUGAACGUGCCCCACCACUUGAUUAACUCUUUGGGCACUUUAGAAACCAUUAGGACAUAGACCUUGGAGGCAAAUUCAUCCUGUAACAACACACAAGACUUAUGAUUCAAAAAUUGAUAAAAGGGGAGAAGUUCUCGGCCCUCAGGAUUUGGACACGGACAGGUUAUCAUGCAGAAACAAAACACUUUAGACUCAGAUUAAAACAAAUAGUACCACUAAGUGCGAUCAGCCUACUUGGCCAAGAUUAACCGACGACUCUAGACCAGACUAAAAAGAAAAGACCCCAAGCUAGGACUAAGAUAGUGACCAAAAUAAAAUUUUACCAGACCCACCGAGGGUUGUCUACAUAUCCCACCCGAAGGACGAGAAUCAGGUACGCGUAGUUCGUCCAGCUUGGACAAUAAAGGAUUAAAUGACAAACUAAACCCUGAAAUGAAAGACACGACUAAAGACAUACGAAUAAGAUAUUUUUUGUGUUCUUAAUUAGAAACUAACACCAACUAUGAAAGAAAAAUCUUUUUGAUAUUUUCGUUAUAUAAAAAUGUACGAAGCUCCUAUUGAAAGGAAAAAAAUAUGUUUGAAGUUUUCGAAUUGUGAAUACUUACUAAAGAAAUAAAAGAAAAAUCUUUUUAACAUUUUUUAUUUUUGGAAAAGGAGUGCAAAAAGUAAAAAAAAAUAUAUUUUUUUGAAUUGUGAAAAACAAAAGCCAUAAAGAACCCUAAAAACUAUCAAUUUUUUUUUCACUCUUUUAUUUUUCUUCUUUUUUUUCAUAAUUUCUUGCCUACACACUCUGCUUCUAACACAAACUUUUGCCCAAAUCAGUCUGUCAAAUGACCUCGUUACCCUCAAAGAUGCAACAUUUAGCACGUAGGGACGCUUCAGAGGUGAGUCUCCUACAAAGGGUCACGUGGGUCUCGCUAGAUCUCAAUAUGAUGCAAAUAAGCAUGAACUAAAGGCUGAUCUACGUUGGAGUUUACUAACAAGGCUAUUCAGGGGAGCGUAUGGUCGAUAGUGGCUGCGCUAGAUUUCCACCCACACCAUACCAGCCGACGGCUCUCCCUCCUAAAAAUAAGAAUGACUCAACUAUAGGUCGUGUACAAAGCGUGCACUACAGAACUUGUUGCAGAAAGAAUUGACUCGGGUUAUGCAAAUGAUGUCAAAUAUAAAGCGGUAACACAUAAGAAAAAUACUGUAGACACGUAGCAUGUAAACACACCACAAUGAUAAAACAAUAACACAAAAUAACACGAACAAAAUAUUUAUACACCUAUAGUGACAAACUAAGCUGAUACAACUCCAAAAAUAAGCUCGAAUUCUAAAAUGUUCCCCAGCAGAGUCGUCAGAGCUGUCACACCCUUUUUUAACUCCAAAAUAAUUUGUUAUAAGGUUUCGAAAGAAUUUUUAUUAUUAACGUGACAAAAUAAAUAUUUGUUUCGAAAAAAGAUUAUUUUUAUAUUCAAAACUCAGAGUCGCCACUUGACAUAAUACGGUGUGCCAAGUCACCUUUGGAAAAUCCUUUUUAAAAUGAUUUGACUCUUUAAACUGGUUUGCAAAUAGAGAUUCCGGCUAAGGAAUUAUGUUGACGGAGGGAAAGAUGUUAGGCACCCCCCGAUCCCGUGGAUCGUCCACGGUCGCUUGGUAGAACGCAUCGGUUAAUUUGACACUACGAAUGUACAAACCACAAAGGAGCACAUAAAGCAAUCAAACAAACAAACCAAAUAAAACGAAUAAAAGUAUAGUGUUCAGUCCAAUUAUACAGUUCCAAAAUAAAAAUGCAAAAAUAAAUCCUAUCUAACCUAUACUAAUCCUAACUACGCACCCAGGCUUUACCCGAUGCCUCGGGCCUUCCUCACGAAUGUCUUCCAACAAUAUAGUACGUCGGGGCAUUCCCCGGUGAAUAAAUACAAUGUGUCUCGGGGCAUUCCCCGACUAAAUGAUACAUUCGAUCCAAAAUCAAUAAAACCAAACCAUUCAACACACAUUUCAAGCAUUCAAUAAUUCAACGAGCAAAACACUUAUUCCUAAAUAUUUGCCUACCCCAACUUACUUUUAGCUAUUCAUUCGAUGGCCUAAUCAUGAUGCUAUCCAAUUCAACUAUAUUCAGUAAUGAAUCAAAAUAAACAACCUUUGACUUAUUCGAUUAUCAAUUUUCGAUCCCGACCACCAAAUUCAUUCUUAAUGAUUAAACCAAUUCUAUACACGUUUCAUCAAUCAAGUUUUCAACUCCAAAUUCAACAUCGAACAAACAAACAACGAGGAUUCGAAUAUGCUCAAACACAAAUCAUUUGUAAUCACAGAAAAAAAAAGAAUUUAGAAUUGGACCUUAAAUAGCUUUUGAUUGACUUAAUAAAAGAAAUAAGAGCCCGUCCAAGAACCUCGAAGAACGCCAACGAAUGCCCAAUCCUCUGAAUCAAUCGAGAAACAAUCCAAGAACGCAAUAAACUCCAAAUUUCACUCCGAACCAAAUAUAUCUACAAGUGAAAUCGAUGAACAAAGCUAGACCAAACACUUAAGUAUCACCCAAAUCACCAAAAUCAGCCAAGAAUGACGAACAACCAAACCAGAAUUUCAAUCAACAAAAGAAAGAAAAUGGAAGAACCGAACCAACGAGACUAAGUUUUCGGUGAGCUGAGACAACGGCAGAAGUCUUAAACUCUAGAAAUCUAACAUUUUCUGGGGAGAUUUCUUCUUUAAAAGAAGAGAGAAAAAAAUGAGCAGAUUUGGGAGUUUUGAGGCCGGUUUAUACGAACGAUGAACGGAGGAGAUGAUUCCGGUGAAGCUACAGCAGAAGCAGGAAUAGUAACCUGAAACCUCCCUUUUCUGUUAUCGGAUGGAGAUAUAUAUGGGUAUGUGUAUGUAAAUAUGGAGUUGAAUGGAGGUUGGGGGGUGAGGGGGUCUGUAUGUUUAUCUCCAAGAGCAAAAAACAAAUCCUUCUUUUUCUUAGUGAGUAUUAGUGUAUAGCUAUGGUGAGGUAUGAAUCAAUUCAAUCCAAAAAAUAAAUGACUAGCAUUUGUAUGUUUUCAUGGGUGGGUCUUGUGAAUGGAGAGUUUUUUUUUUAGGAAGUUUGUUAGAGAAAAAAAUAAAAACGUGGCAAAUAGGGCACAAAUAGGGCAUUCAACUAUUCAAAAUCUGAACAAAUAUGACCUCUGAUUUUGCAACCCCAUGCGUGAGUUUCACUCACGCCUAUGUGGAAAGGUAAUCCAAUCACAUGGUGUCAUAUCGUUAAAAGGGAUGACUUGGAGGGAUAUUUGUGCAGUUUUGAAUAGUUAAAGGUCAUAUUUUUACACUGUCAAAGUUUUGAUUUUUGUGUUAAAAAAGCAUCGUUUUUAUUAUUAUUAUUAUUAUUAUUUCUAUAGCUGCAACACCUAAAUUUUUUUAAUUAAAAAAUAGAACCCGCGCAGUAGGUUGAAGGAAACGCCCUAGAAGAGCAAAUAACACCACUGGGCUAUCUAAGUGUCUUGUUUCAUGUGGUUCAACAUUAAUAUACGUACAUAAAUAUAGAUUUUCUACCUUAUAUAUAUAUAACGUAAUUUUUUUACCGAGGGGUUCGAGUGAACCUCAUGGCAACCACGUAGGUCCUCCCCUGCAUUAAAUUAAUAUUGUUUUAAUAACGUUAAUUUAAUAACAUUGUAAUAACAUUAAUUUAAUAUACUACUACUACUAUCCUUAAUAACGUUAAUUUAAUAAUGUUUUAUUAAAACUAUAAUUUUUGUAUUAUUAGUAUAGUUUCAUCUAUAAUUUACUAUUUAAAUAAAUUAUAUUUAGACAUAUUAUAUAAUUUAAAUUCUCCCUCUGCUUCAUAAUAUAUAUACAUAUCCGCGCGAUUUUUUCAUAUGAGGCUGACCCACCUAAUUAAUAAAUAUUCAAUAUUGCUCUUUUUCUGCAAUGACAAAAGAAAUUAGAUACCAUUUUCAUCUUUGAGCCAAAAAUAAUUAAAAAAUAAUAGUGAAAAGUCAUUUAAAGGUCAUAUUUUGCACUGUCAAAGUUUAAGGUCAUAUUUAUGUAUUAUGCCCUUAGAUUUUAAGCUGGACGCACCCAGUUUUGCGUGUUGGACACGCGUUUUUUCACGUAGGAUUGGAGGUCAUAUUUGUGUAGUUUUGAAUAGUUAAAGGUCAUAUUUUGCACUGUCAAAGUUUAAGGUCAAAGUUAUAAUUUGGUGUCAAGUUUAGGGUCAUUUUUAUGUAUUAACUUAGCCCAUUUUAAGUAUCUUCUUAAUUUUGUUGCACUAUUAUGCACAAAAGUUAUUUAAGAACCGAUUUUAAGUAAUUUCAUGAUUUUUUUGACAUUGUUGAUGCACAUAGGUUUAUUAAGCAUCGGUUUUAAGUAAUUACUAUUAUUUCAACAAUAUAUUCAGGUAUGCAAAAUCUGUAUAGAAGAGCAACAACUUCAUCUAGUUCAAGUUUAUAAACAAGAACACAAUGAAGUAUAUCAAUACCCUCAACACAAGAUCAAAUUGAUAUUUCCAAGAGGUGUAUUUCUUUUUCCAGAAAUAAUAGAUGAAGUACAAAUGAAUAAGGCCAAGUCAUCUGAAUUCACGGAAUUUCCUUAAGGAAAUAACUCCCCUCACUAUACCUGAGGUUGUGGAAUUUUUCCUCCCAGGAUAAAAUGACCUUCAAUCCGACUAUACCGGUACCUCAAAUAGUCGGAUUCUAUGAACGCACUGAACGAUUUAAUGAUCACACAGAAUAGUUUUUUCAAGAGAAGAUGAAGAGUUUAUAAUUUGAAAUUUCUGUAAUUUUUAUAUCAAACCUGUGGAUGAACAAUAGGUUAUUUAUAGCCACAAGAUGCCUCUUUAGAAAGGAGGCAAUGGUUCACUCCAAAGGUUGCACCUUUGUUGUAAGUUCGUGUCUGUUCAUCAAAGAUUGCAUCCUUUCCUGAAUAGUCAUAUCUUUUUAUGAAUCAGUGUAUCUUUUACUGAAUGGUUGCAUCUGUUUGUUCAACCAGUGCAUCAAUUCAGUUACAAAAUAGAAAACAAUUCAUCAUUUCUAAAGCAAUGCAACAUUUCCGAAGUAGUGCAACUGUUCUGCAUCACUGUUCACAUAAAACAGUAGCAUCAGUUCCUGCGUCACUGUUACUGCAUGCAUAUAUACACACGUAAAUGGAGGAUUAAACACAAAAAAUAUUUACUGCAUUUUCUCUUGGCAUUGUUCGGAAUUCAAAUAAAGUUUGUCCAAAAAGAUAGAUCUCAUCGAUCGAUCAUUUGAGGUAGUGAGGGAAGUGGUGAGAUGCCUAGGGGUGAGGUGGGGUAGGGGUGGGGCAGUGAGGUGGAUUAGUUUGAUUGAAUAGGUUGGUAGGAUAAGAUAAAAUUAGAGGUUAUUGUUUUGUUAUUUUAUGGAGGAAUUAUCACACAGGUUAGGGUGCGUGGUAAAACGGGAUAAGAUAAUAAAAAUAAUUUUUGACAGGAUAAAAUUAAGUGUCUACACAUGUCUACUCCUAGCCCGCAAGAGUAUAAACUCUGUACGGCUAAAAAAAAUGUUCGCUAGGUUAAAAACCUCGAAAAAGGCACCUAGGCAAAAGUUAGGACGCAAAAAAAAAAAACUCACCCCAGAACUACGUUGUGACUUGAUUCUUUUCAUUGAGGUACGUAGGCGCUUGGAAUUUAUUUUGUGUUUAGUUUCAUGAGUGUCAAAAAAAUACAUGUUCCUCCUCAUAGAAAAAAUUCAAUCUUCAAAAGACUUUUAACAUCAUCAAUCUUCAGACUUGCACCCAAGUGUUGGUGACUCAUUGGGGGAAAAUCCCUAUGAAGUAUAAGCUUCUUUGACAUAAAUUGAAGUCUUUUGAUUCACCAAGUCUUCAUGUUGGAGCUUUCAAGUUACCAUAUUGGAGCCUGCAAAUUCACAAAAUCUGAUAGUUGAAGUCUUUAAAUGACUUAUGCAUAAAAGUUGAAGUCUUUAAAUUCACUAAGUCUUCAUGUUGGAGCUUUCAAGUUACCAUAUUGGAGCCUACAAGUUCACAAAGUCUGAUAGUUGAAGUCUUCAAAUGACCUAUGCAUAUAAGUUGAAGUCUUCAAAUUUACUAAGUCUUUAUGUUGGAGAUUUCAACUUCAUCAUAUUGAAACAUGCGAGUUCACAAAGUCUACAAGUUGAAGUCUUCAGAUGCUCUGCGACUAUAAGUUGAAGUGUUCAAGUCUACCAUAUUGAAGCUUUCAGAGUUUGAAAGUUGGAGUCAUCGGGUUCUUUGAUCUAUAAGUUGAAGUCUUUAAAUCCUUCAAACCUUCUUGAGUUUACCUUCCAAUUUUCAUGAAAUUACCUUUUCUUAUGGCGGGGAUGAGUAUCCAUCCCUGUGCGCCAUAAGAUUACCAUAAGGUUACCUUUUCUUAUGGUAGGGACGAAUAAGCCGUCCCUAUGCGCCGUAAGAUUACCACAUAGUUACCUUUUCUUAUGGCGGGGACGAGUAGUCAUCCCAAUGCGACAUAAGACUACCUUGAAGUUACCUUUACCCUUUACCUUUAUCAUAAGACUACCGUGAAGUUACUUUUACCCUUUACCUUUACCAUAAGACUACCAUGAAGUUACCUUUUACCUUUACCAUAAGACUACCAUGAAGUUACCUUUUACCUUUACCAUAAGACUACCAUGAAGUUACCUUUUACAUUUACCAUAAGACUACGAUGAAGUUACCUUUUACCUUUACCAUAAGAAUACCAUGAAGUUAACUUUUACCUUUGCCAUAAGACUACUAUGAAAUUACCUAUUACCUUUGCCAUAAGAUUCUCACGAAGUUACAUUUAUUAUGGCAGGGAAGAGUAGCCAUCCCUAUGCGGUGCAAGAUUACCAUAAAGUUACCUUUUCUUAUGGCGGAAACGAAUAGUCGUCCCUAUGAGCCGUAAGAUUACCUUCUAGGAUUACCUUACUUAUGGUAGGAAAGGAUAUCUAUCCCUUUACGUCGUAAGACUAUAUCCUUUACCUAAAAGGCAUUAUCUUGAGAAAAAUCUUGUAGUUCACCUAAAAAAGAAAAAGAAGAAAGAAAAAGGGGAACGAAAAAAAAAAAAAGAAGAAGAAGGAAUGCUUACCUAAAUAUGGCGAGUAUCUCGAUCGGUAAAGAUGGAUCAAAUUACACCCUUGAGUUUGCUCGCCUACCAAAAGUGUUGUAAAUAUUAGAGUUCUCUUUCCAAAAAUAAAAAGGAAACUCACAAUUUCAACACUCCCAUGCCGAGAUAUGAUUUGUCUUGUGAAGCCACGCAAACCUGAAAUUGAAAACAUAUCAGCUGGCAGAGGCAAAUUCAAAAAAUUAUAUAGGAUAAUUCUGAAGGUUUUAAAUCAUGAAUUUUGGACAUGUUAUAUAUUUUCGAAUCUAGUUUCUAAAAAAUCAAGCGGUUUAUGAUUUUAUUGGUCCAACUUUGAGAUAUGAAAGUUUCAGUGAAGACGCGCAGAUCUGAAAUUUUCAGCAUGGCAAAAUUUAAAGUCAACGUCAAAAUUUUGUCUAAAAUAAUGCUGAAGGUAUUAAAUCAUGAAUUUCAGAUAUGUUAUAUAUAUUUUUCAUAAAAAGUUGGUAGCAAUCUACUAUAAUCAGUUAAAUGACCAAUUUUGCAAAACACCUUUACACAAUCAAUGUGCAUAACUUAAAUCCUUCAUAUGUAAUUUCCUUCAGUUUAAUAAUAUGAAGUAAGAACUACGGAAAUAGGCUCACCAAAAUUUGGUAAAAUGUAUUUCAUCGAACAAGUAACCAAUAAGGAGUAUAAAUGUAAACUGUAUAACAAUAAAAACACACCCAACGUAAUCCCGUAAGCGGGUUUUGAGGAGAAUGGUGUGUACACAACUUUACCUCUACUUUAUGAAGAUGGAAAAGUUGUUUCCAAUGGAUUCUCGGCCCAAGUAAAGUAAUAUAGCUAUAAACUGUAUUGAUAAUAAUUAGUUGAGGAAAAAAAGAAUUGGCUUAAGAUUAUUUCAACCAAAUAUAGAUCUAAUCAUACUACUACUUAUUUUUUCCCCUGUUAUUCCUCUGCCGGCCAUAAAAUGGAAAUCCAAAAUAGACAUAUGACUUACCAAUUCUGUUGAUGCCUUCUACGCUGAGGUGAAAUAUCAGGUGAUACAUAAACAAUUUGAUCCAAAAUUGUGCGAACUUUAACAUGAUAUGAUAUUAUCUGCUUCGGGUCAAACACACAUGAAUAUUUUUAAAAUGCCUCACAUAAUUAAGAAUAUUCAACACCUAAUAAGUAAGGUACUUUUCUUUUAAAUUAUCAAUCUGAAAUUUUAUUCACACACCAAACCAAAAUAUAUACCACUCUAUGUGAAACAAUUCAAUACAGGUGUUACAAACUUGAUUUUCUUCUAAAGUUAUGAUAUUUUUUUAAAAAAUUUAAAAGUUGUGAGAAAGAAAGCAGCAAAUUGUUACUAUUUUUUUUAUUUUUUUUUAAAAAUAUCCCAUCUGUCUGUAUGUAAACUUUGAGAUAAGGACGAUUGAGUGUGACGUCAGGGGUUAAAAUUCUUGCGAUCAUCCAUUUUGAAAUGUCAAGAACCACAUAAUCCAAUGAUUACCAUUCCUCAAAGAUGAGGUUUGCGAGCUAUUUUUGUCGGUUAGUUUGGAAAAAGAUGUGAAGCCUUAUCACUAUAUAGAUAGAGGGGUUGCUACAGAGCCAACAACCCUCUUGAAAUUAAAGGUUAAGGAAAGCAUAGCAGUAGCUUUAAGCUAAGCACUUAAUUUUCAGCAAUGGCUUCUUCAGUGAUGUCCACAGCAACUGUUGCCACCGGCGCCAAUGCUGCACAAGCCAGCAUGAUUGCAUCCUUCAAUGGCCUUAAAUCCGCAGCCUCUUUCCCUGUUACAAGAAAGCAAGACCUUGACAUCACCUCCAUUGCUAGCAAUGGUGGAAGAGUCCAAUGCAUGCUGGUUCGUAAUAUUGGAUUUAACUUAUAUAUACUGACACAGUACAAGGAAUUUAAAACUAAUUGUAGUAGGUUAUCUGCCUUAAAUUUUUAAUUGUCAAGUUACUAAUCUCAG
This 122026-nucleotide long non-coding RNA is filed under the name Capsicum annuum. Its description in RNAcentral is "long non-coding RNA (CANN_LNC003678)". Lineage: Eukaryota; Viridiplantae; Streptophyta; Magnoliopsida; Solanales; Solanaceae. The record is from RNAcentral.